Molecule: long non-coding RNA, 90491 nt
Filed under: Volvox carteri
Lineage: Eukaryota; Viridiplantae; Chlorophyta; Chlorophyceae; Chlamydomonadales; Volvocaceae
Description: long non-coding RNA (VCAR_LNC001229)
Source: RNAcentral
CCGGGAAAAGUGAAGGGUCACCUUGAACUCGCCGAAGGGGUCCAGGUUGGAGCGGACGGUGCCCGUGAACAUGACCGGCUCCUGGGGAAUGAUAGAAAGGCCUGCGGAAGGGAAGACGCGCAAGUGCGGCAAAUGUAAAAGGAGAUGGCUCGUCAGCUCGGGGCGACCGCAGCGGUGCAAGGAAUUGCCAAAAUGGCAGACGAACAUGCGCGGUAAAACCUGCUAUUUGGCAGAGCCAUGAGAAACCCCCGAGAAUCCGAAUUGCGUCCUCUGAGCCAGGGUAGCUUACCGGUGCGCAGGCGCUUGAGGCUGAGGGUGGCAAUGUCAACACCGUCGAUGAGAAUGCGGCCCUUGCCCAGUUCGAACAUGCGGUACAGCGCCAGCAGGGUGGUAGACUUGCCAGAGCCGGUGCGGCCCACAGCGCCGACCUUCUCGCCGUCGUUGAUCUUGAAGGUGACGCCCUUGAGGGCCCAGGCGGCAUCCAGGCGGUACUGCAUCCAGACAUCCUCGAAGCGGAUGUUGCCGGUAGCUGGCCAGCGAGCGAGCGCGGCAUCAUCCACGACAACCUGGACCUUGCUGGUCGCUGCAAGCAUGAAUCAAGCAGAAAUAUAGACAAUGAAAACAUGGAAAAUCAAACAGAGUAGAAUCAUAUGGUUACACACAAGUUACAUUUGGAUGGCGGUAUUCACUAUCGUGCUUAGGCAGUCAGGUCGAUAUCCCGAUUCUUACCGGGAACAAUCUGGCCAUCAGGCAAGGUGAUGCUCUUGGCGACACCAUCGAGCUGCUUCUGGUCGUAGAAAAUGCCAUCCUUCGGCACGUAGUCAGCCAGCCAAGCCAUCUGCGAAUUAACCAACGACGAACAUUAAUAUUCAGCGAAAAUUCCACGACCGCAGCUUACGGUGGCAGCGAGGCGACUACGCAAUCGAAGCUGCGAACACAAGGUAACGGUGCUUCACUUACCGCCUCAACACUGUUGAACAGCGAGAUCGACUCAGCGAUGAAACGAACCACCCAAGUGUAGAAGACCAACAUCUGAAUGAUGUUAGAGAAGGCGAGACCGACGGUAGCGGCACCAAGUUGAUCUGCAAAGGAGCCACAGAAGAGCGGGGACAGAAAUGUCAGUACCUGUUUAACGAAAGCGACAUCCUUUCUAAGCACUCCAACCUCAGCAAAGCGACAUUUACCGAAACAUUCCGAGCCCAUCCCGCCAUGCAAUUCCCUAGCCCAUCCCGCCAUGCAAGGAAUUGGCAGACAAGUUUUAUAAACAGCCACCCACCCUUGAGGCCCACGGCGAAGGCGCUCACGACGCCCACAAGGGAAGCACCGAUGAGAUCGCACCAGAAGGCCAGCCACAGGUUGAGAGACUCGGCGUUAAACACAGCGGCAUUGGUCACGUCAGUACGGCGAGCAGCUUCCUCGAUGAAGUACUCCUGCUUGGAGAAGGCCUGUACGACGUUGAGUCCCUCCAGCACCUCAGCAACCAGACCCACAAGCUGACCGCCGCUAACGGCACGAGCCUUCUUGAGGGCGGUGGCGGCUGGCAGGUAGAUGGCCAACAUAAUCAACGUCAUGAUGAUGAGGAAGCCAGUGAAAGCGCCAAAGAAGUUGAUGGUGACGGAGACGGUGAUGGUGGUGGCCAACAGAAUCAGACCGUAGAUGCCCAUGAAGUGGAUCGCAUCUGGAAGAUUCUCAUCCAUGAUAUCCUGCAGCAGGAAGCAAACAUCCAUUCCACGACAUGCAACACAAUUUCAUCAGACGAACUCCCGUCGGAAUAUCGUCAGAAUGCCAAGUCACAGGGCCUAUGUCUUUCUGCGAAGAGGUUCGCUAAGAACGCACUCGCUCGCUCAGUCACCAUUUUUUUCGCUCGCUCGCUCGCUCUGUCACAUACACACAUACACACACACACACACCUGAUCCUUGGUGAAGUUCAGCAGCAGGUCACCGACGGGGGUGACGAGGAAGAAGCCCAUCGGAGCGUUGAGCACGUUGUUGAGAGCCUUCUUCCGAAUGUUCUCGGAGGAGCGCAGAACCCACCACAGGAAGGUGGAGCCACGAGCAACCAUAGUGAAGUAGAAGAGACCCACGAGCAGCAGAUAGAUCAGCGCAUAGAACUUGGUAGCGCUCUCCUCGCGCACGCCGGUGCGCUUGGGGAAGUGCUUGUACUCAUCGUUCACCCACCAACGAACCCAGAAAUCGGACAUCUGGCGACAGGUCUGAGCAGCCAGGAAGGUAAUGAAGCACACGAACACUGCGCGGGGGAAGGUUAAGGAGGAAAAUGGGGUGAAGCGGGAUACAACACGGUUAUAGGCAGAUAAGCGGCAGAUUGCGUCAAUAUUCCGUCAUCGCGUCAACAUGCGCUAUUUUACCUUGACCCUAGACCCUAAAUUGCUGCAUUGCAUUGAUCUCCGUUACAUCCAUGCCUGCCGACUCACCCAGGAGGAUAUUUCCGUAGUACGUGUAGAUGAGGGCGGCCUUGAAAGCGGUGAGCUUGGGCGCCGCCUUGGUGUCCUUCUGAGUGGGCUUGCCGAUGGAGGUGGGAGCCAGGGUCAGCUGCAGCGACUGCCUGCUCGGAUCACACAGGGGAAAGGAAAAGAUUGGGGUUAGAUCGACGCACAUUCAUGUGUGUUUCUACGCACAUCUCACGGACUAGAGCCAACCCCUGGCGCCAACGUAAAUUGCAUGGGGUUCCCUCCGGGGAAACCCAACUUACGACUUCUGCGGGGUGGCCUUGUCGUCCUUCUUCUUUGGGGCGGCGGGAGGAGCCUCCUGGGAGCCAGCGGCGUGCAGAAGGUGCGUGAUGGGCAGGAGCUUACCCAGCAGGUGCUGCGACUCCUCAUUCCAUUUACCUGAGAGAUUAGGGAGAUGCGGAAGUGGGUAGGUAGGUGCGAGUAAAAGCUAACGUCCAUAGCGCUGAUGGCAACACAGCUUGCAACUCUUUUUCAACAUAACCCCACGUACCGAAGUAGAGGCAGCGACCCUCGUCCAUAAUAGCGACGGCAUCGCAGCGCGGCAUGAACUCAAUUUGAUGGGUGAUCAGAACGACGGCCUUGUCCGAGAAGAGGCCCUUGAUGCACUUGUCGAAGAUGUGGUGAGCAGUGUGGUGGUCAACGGCCGACAGGGCGUUAUCCAACAGGACCAGAUCAGCGUCCGCAUACGCGCAACGAGCGAGGUUAACGCGCUGACGCUGGCCUCCCGAGAAGUUGACACCGCGAAUACCAGCCCUGCGAAUCGGUUGUAAGUUUCCGAACGAAUUAACACUUUGUCUUGUUGGCUCCUAUUGGAGAUUUACGUGAAAUUCGGGACAACAGACUACUGAACUAAGAUUUUGACUAGGGAUGAGGAAAUCUUACUUGCUCUGGUCCCCCUGAGGAAGAAUCUGCAAGUCCAUGGUCAGCGCGCAAGCGUCGAUCACAGCUUCGUACUUGUUCUCGUCCCAACCCUCGCCGAAAGUGACGUUGUCGCGGAUGGACAAGUUCUGCAGCCAAGGGUUCUGAGGCACGUAGGAGAUGCGGCCUCCCACUUGCUGCGAGCCGUGCUCCUUGACCAUGUUGCCGAGGAUGGCCUGCACCAAGGACGACUUGCCAGCUCCAAUACGGCCCACCACAGCGACCACUUGGCCGGGGCGCACGUCGAAACGGGGAACGUGGAGGUGCCUAGCAAGCGAUCAUAUGCGGCAUUCAGCAGACAGGGCAGAAUUUCAUUCACAAUUCAGGAGUAGGUAUUUCAUUCGAUGUCAGAGCGUUAUGCGAGUCAUGCCGUCCAAUAGCUGAUGCUCAUGUUGGGAGCGUUGCCAGCGGAGCAGUAAAUUAGCUAUGCGACGCGAGCAUCUUUCGCUCCCGCGCAAAGUUACCGGAGACUGGGCUUCAGGAAAUGCUACAACUAGGAGUGUUACCAUUACAUGGCAGGUGUUGGCUUACUAUACAUUAGCAUUGGCGCACAGGGAAUGCACUCUGCCCGUAGCUCUCACCAGUUGGGGUUACUGGGGUGGUGGUAGACGGCGUUGUCCUGCGUAACAUAAAGGAGGCGGGGAGGGCGACAAGUCGGACUUAGCACCCAAUGACUGCAACAUACAUUGCCAUACAACGACUGUACACAUCAAACAAAGUAGAGGAUAAGCAUGAGAAGCCACGUUGUCUUACGAUGUGGACGCCAGGCGCGGAGGACUUGCUGCUCUUGCCGCCCGAAGCGGUGCCCUGUGGCACAUCCUCAAGCAGGUAAGACUCCAGGCGCUGCAGGGAAGCAUGAGCCUCUGCGCACAGGACAUGGGUGUAAAGGUAGCGUCGCGAGAAGAGGACAACGUCAAUGACACGAACAGGGGGGAAUCAGGCGACACAAGCAAACUCCCACUGCAGCAGGAACCCCAAAUACAACACGCAACCCUAGCCCUUUCCACGUUGCCAUGCGGCCACCUACCAGACACGGCGCGCAGAGCCUUCGGCAGCACCACAAGGGGGAAACGCAGAAUGUUGAACAGCGACAGGGUGGUGAAGGCCACGCCAGACACCAGACGAGCCUUCUGGAACUCAUAGGUGGUGAAGAUGACGAACGCGGUCAUGGGAGGCACGCAGAACACGCAAGCCACGUUGAUGACCUUCAUCAUCGCGUUCCAGAAGGACAGACGCAUCUCCUCGCGGCGGAUCUGAGGGGGACGCCAUGGCACGGAAUAAGUAAAUAGAAAGAAAAGCGCAGCCAAAGUCACGGGCAACAUUUGCUAUGCGAUUGUCACGAUGUCAAUAUUGUUACAUUUCAAUUUUCCUUCGUAUCAAUAGUUUGCCAUUCAGUUUGUCAUUAAAAAGCUGCGCCUGUUAUUGCAACCUCACCAUGUCGCGGGACCUACCUUAGAAAUCUCAUCCUCGAAGAACUGCUCCCAUGCGUAGUACUUGACCAGCUUAAUAGCAGGCAGCACCUCCUGCAGGAUGGAGCUGCGCAGAGCAACGUGCUUGGCAUUCUGCAACUUAAUCUGGAUAAUCUUGUAGCCAAAGAAGUACUGCAGCGGCAGGACCAGCAGGAUGACGCCCAGACCAGGCAGCAUGGAAUCGUUGGUAAGGUAGCCCAGCAGUGCCAGAAUAGCAGCAGCCUCGAAGGGAGCAGUCCACAGGUAGUGAAACUCCUGAGAGCGACGGGGGCGCACAUACAACAUAAGGGGAUUAAGGCAGCGGCAAAGAAUCUAGAACCCUGCUGAUGAUGUUGCGGCUGAUGGCUGCAAAAAACAACUCCAGGCGAGCAGAGUAGGUUCAGAACAAGAGCAACUAAAACUUUCGUGAUAACAAUUUUACUGAUGAACAGCUCACGAUAAAUUACCGUUAACUAAUGCCGCUUACCAACGCGCCAUCGUAGAUUUUCUGAAUAUCGGAGGAGACGAAGUUUACGAUGGCGGCGGACUGGUCAGCUCGGACAGAACUGAGACGAAAGGCCUUGUGGGUCACAGCUUGAACCAGAGCUGCGCGAGCGCGGAUACCGACAGACAUACAGAUGUAGCCCAUGCGCUGAAGACUGAGACCAAGAAGCCAGGCAUCGAGGGUGAAUCCCGCCAUCAAGCACCAGCCAGAUACAGUCUUGGAGUACAGGCGACCGUCCUUGAUGCCGUUGACGUGAGCAAGCAGACUGCGGACGGGAUUGGGCGCGUUAAAAGGGGAGCCGUUUGCUUAUCGCGCAUGCGAUGUAGGAGGUGCGAAUAAUAACUGCCAUGCGCAUGAAUGCGAUGAUACAAAUAGCUGUAGUAAGACACAGUUUCCAUUUGAGAAAACAGGUGGGAUGCAGAACGUAAUUAAUGCUAAGGAACAAGAACUACAUGUUAAGAAGCAAAAUUAUAGCAUAAAAUGGCCUAGAGGAAGCAUUCACUGGUAUGGAAGCCCAGCGCGAUCAGUCACUCGGAAUAGUGUAAGGGCCAAGGAGGCGUGCGCUAGGAAGUCAUGCGCGCUAGGGCAUAUUCACAAAAAUCAUCGUGAGCUUGUCAUGUAUUUAGCACGCUGCGGACGCAGUAGGUCUUGGCAUGUGGGAGAGAGAGAUCGGAUUAAUCAACGGAAAUGGUGGUAUGUAACGCUCCGAAAUCGGUAGCCGAGCUAACCUGCGCACGAAGUAGAAGGCGCCAGUGAUGACGAAAGUAGACCAGAAGCACUUGAAGACACCACCAAGAAGAUAGACCAAGCCGAAGGACUUGCGCAGGGCGCGAACAAGUGAAGGCUUCGCGCCCGAGUCCUUGAGCUUCAUCUCAGCCGCCCAGUUAGAUGCGAACAUAUCAUAAGCCUGAAUAAAUAUAAGGAGGGUAAAUGCGUCGAUUCAGUACAAAUUGUGAACACAGACGACUGCGCAGUCCUUAACCUCCGACGCCACCACUAAGCUUACCUCAUGGGCAUGAUUCUCAGGCGGCAUGCCCAUCUUGUCCAAGUCGAUGUCGCCAUUCUUGCCUGCGACAGUCAAAAAUGCCAUAUUGAGAAGUGACUAGUGAAAUGGAAAAAUCGACCACUUGCACACUUCAGAUAUCACUUACGAGCUUCGGACACAUGCUUGAACAUCCAUCCGAAGGCGAACUUGUUAAAGAAUCCCGCAGUGGGAUCAUUGCCCCUAGCGGGGUGGCUUAUCGUGCCCAUCGCUCACAGAUGUAUGCUUCCAGGAACCAAGACUUGGUUACUCUGAUAAUCGCUAUCUAAGUGUAAUGUUUAACGCUUUCCAAAUUGGUCUGCACGAGAUCAAAUCGUGCAAACACUAAAUCACUUUGCCAACUCAGGCUCUUAAUCUACAACUACACCUUCUCAGCGCCAGAGGCUGAUGACCACGACGACUGACCCUGAUGUGGUGAUAAAUGAUGUUUUUACAGCCUUCAUAUAUCCUUGAUGUCCGCGGUUGCCGAUGUCGUACCAUUGCGUGGGAUGUUAGAGGUUGUCCGAUGCCGUACACUACUUUGCCAACUACCCUACUACAUGGAUUGAAUGCUCGUUCACAAAUGCGUGAAAGUCGUGAAACGUACGUGAUAAUUCUGUUCAUUGUCGUGUAUGGUAUACUCUUGAAAUCCUAGAUAUCAGGUGCAUGCACGCACCGAUGACGUUCGCAAUAUUCAUGACUGUUGGCCAUAAUCGCAUAUAAUUCAAUGACGUCCUAACUAAUGAGCUAUAACAUGAUCCUGUAACUAAGUAAUUGCUUGCACUUCAUGCUGAUAUCCAAAGUCAUGUUGUCAGUUGAUGCACUCGACGUCUUUCCUUAACAUGGGUCCUCAUCCCCUGGCAUGUUUAAGCGAUGAAGCAAGUAAUAUGCAUUAUAUAACAAUCUUCAUUCUGCAAACCGAAGGUGAAUAGUAGGUAUUUACAUCUUUCCGUUGAAUCACCAAAGCUUUCCUCAGCACCUCUAAGCACUGAUCAGCAUUAAAUUUCAAUAUUCCAUGCAUACCCAGAAGAUUUUUGAGUUCAUCGCUUGUAUAAACGGCGCUUUCCUGACCAUAUGCAUAGCUUCGAGACAAUUAUGUAUGCAGCUGACAAAUAAGGAUACAAUACAAAUAACUUCUCUGUCGACGACUGCCUAAACAUGCUAUCCAAGAUUUCUAGCGACGUCUAGCUGAUUACGUUCACUCAAGGUCGACAUAUCGAGGGUUCAGUUGGCCCUGCGUUUCGUUUCCCAAAUAACAACUUUUACAACAACUACCUAUCGGACAUGACCUAAAUGUCUACCAUGUCAUAACCAUAAGGCAAACAUCACUCUUCAACCGUCCCCGCACCGACAAGAAAAGCACGCGCGACAACGGUAUGGGAUAGUGGCCAUUUCGCCUUUUUUAAGCCGCAUAAGGGUGAUCUGAAGAAUGUCAAAAGACAAACGGAGGUAAAAGCCCGAUCAUAACUGGAGGGUCCUUAAAUCCGCGGCAUUCCGGCUGACCAACCGCGCAGACCGCGUGCUAAGUACAGCACCCCCGACUGACAAGACCUACCACAGGACAUGGACGGCGCCUUGUUUAGAUUUAUGCUUUCUUUGCCCGGCCUUUGAUUCACAGCUGUAUCGAGGGGGUUCAUCUGCACAUGGGACUUUACUAGACCAAAACAAAACAGAAUCUGGGCUCACUUUUCUGUUCAGUCCAAUCCUACUGCAUAAUUAAAGAUUUCAGAACGCUCACCCACAGCUCCCGGUUCGAGCUUUGAUGCCGCUUUUUGAGUUCAUUUAAAGUUUCACUGGCCUAGGCUUUGGGUUUGGGUUUGCCGCGGCCGGGAGGCCGCAACGCUUUCCUGUCUACGGAGCUAACCGACUGAUGUCCCUUGGGGAACCCCUCUACCUAUACUGGUUUGAAAACACUGUGUAUUAACGCGGGUGCCCCCCUCCCCGGCUCACACCCACCGUUGAAGCGUUGUAUGCCCGUGUGUGCUUCCCAACGGGAUUCAGCGACAUAGCGCGUCAUUUAAGAUGCUUAGCCUAGUAACGCAAAAUAGUGUAAAUGCCGCACAGCCUCCUCUUUAUUAUUGCAUUGCGGAGUCCUUUUUUGUUGCACACGCGAUACAAAGGAAAGGAGCUUGCAUAUGCGGUAUUAUGUUGCGCGCUACACCGCAAUUGCGAGCCCGCUUAAUUACUGAUUGCCAGAUGGGUGCUUCGACGCUGUUGGGCCAUCAGCGGGCCAUAUGCCUCGUGGGUUCAUCAUCAGCGGUUGUAGCACCCAGAAGGAAAGGAGAUAUUUUCCCUCCCCUGCCCAUCUUACAUCUUAUCGGUCUCCCCUUUUGGGACCGCUUUGUGGAUAAGAGUGACGCGCAGCGUGUGUCCGGGCAUCUGAGAGGGAAUGCAACAGAAUGCAGCAAGUCAAGGAAUCUCUCCGUGGGUUGCCACCAGUACUUAACCACAACGAAACCGUCCACCACAGACAUUACAGCGCCAAAGCAGCAUCAGCACACCCCGCUUCAUCCAGCGGACCAGAGGAGUGCAAAAACAAUCAUCUCCACCGAAGAUGAAGAAGAAGACGACGCACCUUCCGUUGGCCAUGGGCUUGUACAUAGUUGACCCCAAACCAUCCAUCGCCAAGCUGCAGCGCAACAUACGCGACUUUUGUGAUAUAAACGAGAAACGCAACAAAAAGAAGGCACACAACGUAUUUCACUAGUUCGAUCUCACCACUACGUUGGUUACAGUCCCAUACCUCAAAAUCCCACACCAACGCGACGAGUCAGAUCACCUUAACAUUGACCUAGAAGCAAUUCGACAGACGACGACACAGGCCAGGCCAUCACCACCUCCGGAAAGACACGCGUAAAGAGCUGUGCACGAGGACCAAGACCAGAAAGACCAGGCAGACCUGGAACAGGAACGGCAGCUGGAAGGGGGGCCGGCGGCGGUGGACGGAACACCUAAAUUCAACCAAAACAGUCAACGGAGGGGGAUACACCACGUUACCCUUUAGCGGCGCAACGCACAAUCGCCUAACCAGCCCGGGAAUUCAAAUGCUGUGCAUACACAUGCACGUACACAACGCAGCAGCAGCAGCAGCAGCAGCAGCAGCAGCAGCAAGCCUACCACAACAGUUAGAUUGCGAGGCGCUCCUCUGGGCCCCCAAAUAGCGUAUACGAGUGUGCAGUACAUUAUCCAGAGCAACGCCGAAACCGCCAACCGGAACCGCCAACCCGCCAGUUCGCCAAAUCCUCACCGGCAUGUCCAACUGGAAAUGAAGGCAUUGUCCGCUUGGGCGUGUCCCUUGGCCCGCUAUUUCCUCUUAGCACUUAAUUAGCACAUCAUACAUACAUACAUACACACACAUACAUACAUACUUUGCCCUAGCUGAGACUUGUGGACUCGCUCUAGCGGGACCUGAGAGCCUUUCGUGGUGUUUUCACUGCAGCGCCAUCCCCGGAUGGAGAGGCUGCGGAGUGGCUGCGUAGAGUGUUGGCAGUCUGAGUCGGGGUCGGGAGCACGCAAGACUAACCGACUUGUGCUGUGUGCUCCCGACCCUUGCGCAGUGUUUCGGCUUCGGCCCCCGGCUCUCGCGGCCCACAGUGUAAUCUAAGUCAUAGAUACAUACAUACAGUUAAGACACGAUCACACCUCAAACCGGGCGGUCUCCUCCUAGCAAGCUUAAACAGUACCCAACCCUAGGCAUUCCUCCUGCCGUGGCGGCGAAUCAAACCCGUACAGAUGCGUGGGAUGCCCAUUCCACGCACCUAAAUUCACAAAAUCGUACACCGCCGUACGUGGCAGCUGUCGUGCACGUCACAAAACACACUUCCGGUGGCUCCCUCCCGAAACGCGAUGAAUGAUGAUGCGCGGUGGCUCCAGAGCGAAACCAGGCAACCUUCUCUCGGAUUAAGAAAUCCAACUCAAUGAUGGCCAUUAUCGGACUACUUGAGGCCAUGUAUGUGUAUUUCUCCCCCAUCAUCCCUCCCCGGGUCUCCUCUCGCCCCUCACCAAGUGCCCCAAUCCACACCUGCUUACACGGGCCCUAUGGGACACCACGACGCUUUACCCCAGCGCACCAAGCAGCUCCGAAACAAAACACACACAGACACACACACACACACGCACAGAUCUUAAUUAGCACGGGCCCGGCCAUCCCGGACCCUGCAGGCCGGCUCUCCGCCAAGGACUCCGCUGAAAACCUUUCAUCAAAGAUAUGUUGUAUUUACAUGCAGCAUUAAUAGGCCGGGCCCAGGGUGGCUCCGAGAAAAAACAAGGAUGGCCUCCGACCACCCGCCGCGGGAUAUGGAGGGGUACAAGAUUAUCCGGGGUUUCCAAGGGUGUUUGUGCGUAUGUAUGUAUGUAUGUAUGUAUGUAUGUAUGUAUGUAUGUAUGUAUGUAUGUAUGUAUGUAUGUGUGUAUGGUAGUGGCGGCCUGCUGGCGGUGAACCCCGCGAUGUCUCAACCCCUCUUGUCACAUUUCUCCUCUAGACUGACUACCAUGGACACGACUCCACAGUUUCAUACUUGUUGUUUGCUUUUCAGACAUACCCCCAGACAUACUUUUUGGUGCAGCCGCAGUCGCAGUCGCGGUCGCAGCAGUGCAGUUACCGGUCCAUACAGGGAUUGGAAAACUCUACCACGUCGCCACGGACAACGGAGAGCUUGCUCAGUAGUCCGAAGCUGUUCGUGCAAAAACCACCAUUGCCAUUUCCCUCAUCGCGACUCAAAUCAUCAAAACCAGGCGGAUGAGUGGAUACACACAACACCCCGCGGCCCACCACAUGGAAACGUGUGUCAUAAAAGCACUACACAUCUUUAUACUUCCCCUUGAUACGCAGACAGACAGACAGACUGACUGACAGAUAGACAGGCAGACAGACGGACAGAAAAUCGCAGCCAGACAGACACACAGACAUACAGACAAACUGGCAGGCGAACAGAGAGACAGACAGCCAUGCCCACACCGCCACCACCACCACCACCUCUGGCGACCACCUGUUGCCUCCCCUCCCCAGCAUCCGCCAUCCCGACGUCCCAUUAACACGCUCGAGGGCUCCAAGGGAGUUUCCGCUCCCCUGCACAAACAACACUUUUUGCUCGUCCAACCCCGUAGUAUUUCCUUUUACAUCAAUGCACGCCCGCAUGUGCCUUCUUUACACAUCACCCCAACCCACCACACCGACACGAACAUCGCAGAAUCGGUUCCUUUCCACCAGCUCAUGCGUUCUUAACCAAAUAUGUAGGCAACCCUAGGCGCCGCAAAUCAUAAACCCCCAGAGGAGGCCAGUAUAGGCAACCCUAAAACCCACACUCACUCAACCCUUUCCGCAUCUUUGUACCAUCGACACGUCAUUACACUAUCGCAUCAGCGCGCUGAGGGAGGGCCAGUCAGCAGCUCUGGAUCACACAUGCACAUACGCAACCGUAUAAUACGGACUUACAUGCGUACAAACAGAGGGGCGCGCACCAUCGAAAUGAAGGUGGUGCAGUGUGAUACCACAGGACUUCGAACCACUGCAGGUAUUCCGACGACGAGGGAAGCAACCCGAACCUGGCGGGCUGGGCAACACACUGCCGUCGCUGCUUCCGUGUUGUUGGCGCACAGCUGCUUCUGUUGCUGCAGCUGUUGUAGCAGGGGCGAUGGGUUUUUGCCCCCUACAAGGCUCACAACAGCUAGCUAUCUUCUUGGGUUUGCUUGUGUGUUCGCUAUCGUCUGCUUGAGCGACGAUCUCACGGAUGCUUCUGCUGCGCUGCGGCAACGGCACCGAAGCGGUGGCGGCGGCGGCAAUGGACCCAGCAGGCCAUGACGGCGGGUGAUGACAGCGGUCGUGGGGAGGAGGAAGGAAGAAAGGCGGUCAGAGCGUACAACAACACUCCUCAAGACUCCGGCUCCUGUUCCGGCUGCGGCUGCAGCUGGGCGGGGUGAGACUCCAGGAUAGGCGGCAUGGAGGGCGGCGGACGGGCCGGCGGCUGCUGCGGCGCAGCAGCACCGGCGCCGCUGCCAGGUACCUGCUGGGAAAAGCCGCCGCCGCCGCCGCCAGCACCACCGAGUUGUUCGGCUCCAGCCGCGAAGAAGGGCGGCCGGGCGCCGAUGGUGAAAGCCCCGGGCAUAGCGUUCAUGCAGUCCUGCGGUUCAGAAAAGCGGUUUUCAUCAGGCCCCCAGAAGCAAACCACCAAUGCAGCAGCAACCGUACGAGGAGGAGGAGGAGGAAGAGAAGAAGGAGAAGGAGGAGCAGAAGGAGGGCGAGGGUUAAGGAAAAAGCCAAGCCGACCGGUGCAGGGUAGGGACCGACGCAAACACAUAAUCCGUCGGGGCCUCCUCAAACUGGCUAUCCAUGCCCACUCACAGUCGCUCGGGGAGGCGACAUGCGAGGCGCGACGUACCGCCAUCAUCAUCACGCGCACACAGAAUAAACAGACAAGGCAGGAUGGAAUAUUUGACCAGCCCAUUUUCCCCACCCUCUUUCCACACAGAAAGACAUCCCUCCUAGCCCCCAAGCUGACACCCUCCCCCCCUCGCUCCCCCCCUCUCCCUCCCCCUUUUUUUCCCUUUCCGUUCACCCACCGCAGAAUGCGACGCCGCCAGGGUGGUGCUUCCGUCCACGCCAUGUAGAUAGAAGAGCCCCUGGCCGCCGCCCAGUCCGAGUCCGAAUCCGCCCAGGGCGCCGUUUGGAAACGCCGAAGAGCCUGACCAGGCAACACAUAAUUAUACGACACGGGGAGGUUUGAGCGCAUGAACGGAGCGCGUGAGAGGAAAUGUAAAGCAGAAGCCAGCCAAAAUAUAAAAAAACAAUGCGAACACGGCACAAUAUGCAUUCGCGUGGGUCCUGUGCAUACAUGCGCAGCGUACCUGUGCAUGAACCUGUACCUGUGUCCGUCAACCUGACGGGGUUACAUGCCUAUCUAUGCAUUACAGAAGGAAGGGGGAAUUAUGUAUGUAUGUAUGUAUGUCGCAUGUCGCGGAUCACGAUGAUGCGCAACCCCCCACGUGAUCGUCGCCUCCCCCUUUCACCCCUCCCCGCAUCAGUCUUUCCGUGGCAUCAGCUUCACUCGUCGUCCCCCCCUUCUCGCCACCAACCCCGCUUUGCUGCACUCACUGCUCUCGCCGUGCAUGGUCACAGACUGGAUCAACCCGCCGCCACCGCCGCCGCCACCACCACCGAGGCCAAUCUGCAUCCUCCCGCGGCCGUACAUCAUCGGCAGCGCCGCAGUCGACGCGGUCAUCAAGCUGUCAUCGCCGGCAGGCGGCGUCGCCGGCAUGGCCGCGGCCGCCAGGCCAAUGCUGACGGCCGCGACGGGGCCAGCGACGCCAGCGGCGCCGGCGGCGGUGGCGGUGCCCGUCGCCAGCGAUCCGCCGAUCGGCGGCCCCAGCGGCGCUGCCGGGCGCGCCCCCGGGUCCCCCAUCAGCUUGGCCUUCAUGCGGGUGAGCUCGCCGAUGAUCUGGUCGAAUGUGGGCCUUAUGGACGGGUCGCUCUCCCAGCAACGGCAAGCCAGUAGCUGGAAGUCAAACGGUGUGUCCAAGGGGAACUGGGGCCUGCAGGGCGGAGUCGAUUGGAAGGAAAAACAUCAUCGGGGUGUGGGAGUGGGUUUUAGCAGUGGGUCUUAGGAAACAGGACAACACCGCACAUGGGAAGCCCCUUGGGCCCUUAGGCACCUCACUGUACAGCAGCCUGAUGCUUUGUGCACCUGCCUGCUCCGUAUCGUGAUGGUUCCCCUCCGGGGAAGCGCUUCUUCCCCUUUAGUGCCCUUUUAGGGAUGAACUAAACGUCAUCUCGACACCAACACCUCAAACCCCCUAAAACCGAAACCCCAAGAUGAUGGGUGAAAAAGGGACCGACCCAUAUCCCCCAAUUUACCCCAAUAACCCCCUCAAAACACACACACAUACACAUACAGAUACACAUACACAGCCCCCGAUAGCUGUACCUGCGGUUCAUCUUGGUCACCUCAUGACCCAGCAGGGCUCGCGGAGUGCCCUUGAACGCCUGUCCCGCAGUGUAUGCCUCCCUGGAGUGAGGCGGGGAAUGGGUUGGAGGUUGGAGUAGAGGGGGGAAGAAGGGGGGGAUGCAGGUGGCCGAGGGUGAAAAUGUCUCAAAAACAAAACCCACCACCUCACUACUGCGCAGCUGGGAUCCAACCGGAAACAACCCUUCCCUCCCUUUUCUCCUGCCUUCCCAUUCCUCGCGGAAACCCCUCCCCUCCCCUCCCCUCCCCUCCUCUUACCACAUGAGGAUGGCGAAGGCGUACACGUCACUCAUCUUGGACACCUUGCCGUGCAGCAGCACCUGCGAGCCAAUCACAACCCACAGAGCGUGUGCGUGUGUGUGUUAAGGGGGGGGGAAAUCACGUGCAAAAUACUCAGAAAUGAACUGCCGGGGUUGGAGAGGGACGGGUUAGGAGAGGAAAUGUUAAGAAGGGGAAUUUCAACAAGGAGGCGAGGGGCGCGGGGUUAUGCAUGUGUAUGUGUAUUUGGGGUUGGGGGUCGGGGCUAAAAGAGUAGACCGGGGCGUGAGGAGUGUGGGGCACAGGAAUGGUUGCAGACCCAGUCCUUCCAACAACCACACCCAAACCCGUAACCGUGUCCCGUCCGUGCCGACAUCUAGGUCCGCACACGACGUCGUACACGAUGUGCCGUACACUCACCUCCGGGGCCAUGUGCGUAAUGGUACCUGGGGACAGACAAAUGGAGGAGGUGCGGGUGCAGGUGGGGGGAAGAGGGGAGGAAAACACACAUGCGACGAUGAUAUCAUGGUGCAAAAUUUGAACAGGACUAAACCGCCGACGUCCAAGGCAUCAAGGCGAGGGGUUGCUUUGGACACGCGUUGAAAAUGGCUCGUGUGUGUUUUUGAGGGCACGUGGGCAUGAAGGGGGGCAACUAGAGCCCGGGGCCCACGGGGGUCACCCAAUCCGAGGCCCGGGGUGAAGAUGGGGGAAAUUUCUAGGUUCCGGAGCUAGGCCGUUGGGAGGUAAGGCACGUGUACCGUCCACCAAGAAGAUAUAGACUAGAAAGGAUUUCCGUUCCAAAGAAGAAUAAAAAACAUCAUCAGCUGUCAGGCACUUCAAAUUCAAACUGGUUCACGAGGCCAGGAAAAUGUUGAGAGCGCUAAGAGAUCCAAAGGUCAAGGGACCAUAGACAUCGCAGUGUAGUACACGUGCCGUACACGUACCUUGGUACACGUUGGACACAUGCGUCUCGUGUGGGUCAAUCCGUAAGCUCAGGCCAAAGUCCGCCACCUGUGUACGACACAUGUAUAAAAUGACGAAGCGUACAUCCAGCGUAUGAACGACCUUAACCGUUAACCCACAACCGAAACAACCAGCAAACCUGUCUGUCCGUUUGGUGUGUGGCUUACCGCUCUGGCUCUCUGUCUACAUGUCUACAUGCGCAAUUACACGCAUGCGCAGGUGCACCCUGUGUGCCUUUCAAGAUGGUAUCUACCCCCCCUCCCCCUUUUCCAAACCCUUCUUCUCCUGGUUCCCCCCGCCCACUCCCCCCCCCUCACCUUGGCAACGUACGAGCGUCCAUCUCCGACACAACCGCUUUUAAGCAGGAUGUUGCGAGCCUUCAAAUCUGCGGGGAAGGUGGUUGGGAGCGACACACAGAGCGGCACGGAAUGAAGACGGCAAAGGUCGGGCAUAAGGCCCGAAAAGACCAACCCACCCUGGAUUGAUCCUGGCAAGGGGCCCCCCCGUGCACCCCCCUCUUCCCCCAAACCCCCGGGGAAGUGUAUUCCGGUAAUCUCAACCUGGGUGGUGGAAAGACACAGCAAGGGUGCUACAAACGUUCCGCCAGGGCCCAAGCGCCGUUGCGGUUGGGGGGUGGGAGAUUCAGCAAACUCAACUUGGAUUUGGGGCGUCAACAAGUAAAGGUGCCUCCCGCCCACUACCACUACCACUACCACUACCGCCCCCCAUUACCACCAACCUCCGAAACCCGUUCAUCAUACACCCUGGGCGGGGCCCAAAAACCCAAGGUGCCCCCCCUCCCCCCUCCCCCCCUUCCCCCCCUGGAAAACCCGUCUCCCCCUCACCGACCCCCCCCGUACCUCCGUGUACGAUAUUCUCGCUGUGCAUGUGCAGCAUCGCCCUCGCCACGUCAAGACAGUUAUCAAGCACCUCCGCAUACCCAAGCGGACAACUCGCCCGGCUGAUCAUAGCCGCAACGCCACCACCACCACCACCAGCUCCCGACAGGGACGACGGACCGGCAGCGCCACCGACGCCCGAGGCGAUGUCCGCCGCCGCCGCCGCCGCCUCGAUUGCUGGUGCUGCUGGUGCUGCCAGCUUGUCAGCUGUUGUUGCCUCGGGUGCCUCGCUCGCGGUAUUGCCCCUGGCUCUCAACGCCGCUACGGCCGCCUCGUUGAGGACGUCCCGGAGGGAGCCCCGGUCGCAGUACUCCAGCACCAGACGGACCUGCGUGUGCGGGUGCGGGUGUAUGUAUGUAUGUAAUUAAGUAUGUAUGUAUGUAUAUGUAAUGGGCAUCUAGAGGGAGGACACCGCAUACGUCAAAGCGCGGGAGCAGCGCUCCCACAACGCACAGGAUUAGCCAUCAACUUCCGGAAUGGAGUGUGUUUUGCAUGCGCCUAUGCAUGCGCAUGUGCGUGUGCACGUGUACAUGGACACGACGUGCGCCAUACAGAGCUGCACACGUGUGUCUUAGGCGGUGGUGGUGGUGGUGGUGGUAAGACGAACCACUGACGAAUGUUACGUGAUGGGGUGAUGAUUGGUGAUGGGGAGAAGAUCGGGGACCUAGAAGAACCCCAGGUGGCGCAAUGAGGGCGGCACGAGGAAGGGGAGGAGGAGGAGGGGGAGGGGGAGGGAGUUCCGGUGUCCCCCUUCCUUCUCCCAGCAGCCCCAGCACCGAGGACACUUUCUACCCCCUCUCCAUACCCCCCCCCACCUCCCAGCUGUGUAUGCUCUGUGAGGCUGCACCAGGCGCGGCUCCUCCCAGCGGACUGGUGCUGUCCACCUCGAGACUGCAUCUACGGGGGCGGGAGGGGUGGUUGUGUAAUCCGUGGGGGGUUUGGGGCUUUGAGACUGGUGAGGGUGGUGGUGAUGAGGGUGGUGGUGGUGGAGCCAACAGUUGCGGUCGUAGUAGAAUGGGGGACUUGCUUCUGGAGGCUGAUUUGUGCCGAGCGGGAGGAGGGAGGGGGAGGAAGAGGGGGAGGAGGGGGAGGAAGGCGGGGGAGGAAGGCGGGGGAGGAAGGCGGGGGAGAAGAGGAGGGGGAGGAAGGAGGAGGAGGGAAGUGUUCCAGGGGGCGGUGUGGGCCCCCUAGCUAGCACGAAACAUACCAAGCCAACCGCCAAACACCCAACCACCGCUCCAACUAACCCGGCGCCGAGCUUGCUCUCCAAUUGGUUGCCAUCUCCCUUGACUGGAAGAAUGGCGUACGUGUACGUCUGUAUGUAUACGAGAGGGGAAGGGGGAGAGGAAAGAGCUGGGUGGGGAAUCUGGAGGUUGGGUAGGUGAUGGUGUCGAUCUGAGGUGAGGAGUUCGAAUGGCGGGGCUGGGGGACCUUGUGUCGUGAAGGAAGGGGCGACACACACACACAUACACACACACAUACACACACACCGGUGCAUUACCUGCACGAUAUUGGGAUGUGACAGUGACGAGCUGAUGGCCGUCUCCAUGACCGCCAUCUUCUCCCGCUUCUCCUUGCCGCUCAUGUUGGUGGGCAGCACCAUGGUCUUGAUGGCCACGGUGGUGCCCCGCCAAGUGCCUUUGGAGGGUAUGUAUGUAUGUAUGUAUGUAUGUAUGUAUGUAUGUAUGUAUGUAUGUAUGUAUGUAUGUAUGUAUGUAUGUAUGUAUGUAUGUAUGUAUGUGCGGUGGUGUACAUGUGUAGAUGUGUAUGUGGGGGGAGAGGAGAGGGGGGAAAAGGCAGGAUGACAAGAGGUCAUGUAGAUGGGAAGGACAUCACAUCAUGGUGAUGAUGAUGUUCACCAUGCAAGAUAAGCAAGCAGGGGGUCCACUGACGGCACGUCCAACGUCCNNNNNNNNNNNNNNNNNNNNNNNNNNNNNNNNNNNNNNNNNNNNNNNNNNNNNNNNNNNNNNNNNNNNNNNNNNNNNNNNNNNNNNNNNNNNNNNNNNNNNNNNNNNNNNNNNNNNNNNNNNNNNNNNNNNNNCACCCACACGUACACCCACACGUACACCCACACGUACACCCACACGUACACCCACACGUACACCCACACGUACACACACACGUACACCCACACGUACACACACACGUACACACACACGUACACACACCUCUGUAGACCUUGCCGAAUGUCCCCUCCCCCAAGAGCUCCGUGAGGGUGAUCUGCUCGCUGCGGUGGGUACCCGCCAGCGCGUUGUGUGCGGUGAUGGCGCGCUUCAUGUCCUCAAUGCGGGCUGGGGGGAAAUGGGGGAGGCGGGCGGGCGGGGAAGGGGAUGGGGGAGGAGGGCGCGAAUUACACAUGCAAGAAUAUCAUCAGUGUAUCAAAGCUGUCGUAGGAGUCCAAGGAAGGUGCGAUGUGGUGGGGUGUGGUGGGGGAAGGGGUGGGGUGGGGUGGGCGAGGGGGGAAAGACGAACCACACACGAUUGAAGCUGCUACCCGGGCAAGAGUGUAUGGGGGAGGGGGGAAAGACAUAUCGUAUUUGGCAGAAGCUAAUGGUCGACUGGUAAACAAAGAGACGGAGACGAGUCAUAUAUGCGUAAAUGGGGCGUGGGGAGGUAGGAUGGUGGUGUGUGUGUGUGGAGGAGGUUGAGCUGGGGCUGAGCGGCCCCUUCCCUCCCCUUCCCCCGUUCGGACAUUUGUGUCUUUGUAUUGUGGUUACAGUAUUUCCGCCGCCGACGCGGCGAGUGCCCUCACGAGCCGUGAGGCUCCAGAGCACGCUGUUGACGCUCAUCGAAAACCUCAGUAAGGAAAGUAGCGAUUUUCCUCGGAUUGGUAUUAAGAAAUACCUUGCGCAUAUCAGUAUCUUCAACGUUAAUCAGAAACCUAUUACGCAACUCAGUAUACGCCUCACACUCCAUAAGCACAUGAUAUUCAUCCUCAACCUUACCCGACGUACAGACCUGACACGUACGGCACUCUCUCGGCCUAUGGUGCCCUUUGUUGACCUCCAAAGGCCAACAACAAAGACGGAAUUUGGCAACCAUACGCAACUGGUUGACCGGCAAAUAAACACGCAAAUAGCCUGUGGGAUCAGAGCCCUCUCUUGCAGGUGAAGGGGAGCCCAUCCAGUUAUGAUACCUGCAAAGCGAAACCCCUUUACCUUGGAACACACGCGGAUCACCCCCUUGGCUGAACUGAUCCCAGUCACUUAAAAGGAACGCAGAAAACCUCUCUCUUGCUCUCUCUCGCCCCCUCGCCUAUGCACAUGAAUCCCCUCCCCUCCUCUCUCCCACCACACGCAUACACACCUUCCGUCGGCAUGCUGGCUGACAUCAUAGAUGUGCUGAAGGUGGUCGAGUUGGCGACUGCGGUGGUUGGCCCCGCGUUGUUGCCCGUGGAGGAGCCCGCAGCGGGGGUGGAACCGCUCUCCUUGCUACUGCCGUGUUGGCCCUGCUGCUGCAGCUGACUACCGCCGCCGCCGCCGCCGCCGCCAACACCGCCAGCCAAAUGAUAGUUGACCGCCAGAGGAUCACCGCCGCCGCCGCUGUACGACAAGUCUCUGCUGUUGAGCUUGCCACUCGGGCCGCUGCGUGCGGCGGCCUUGUACUUCUCCUCAGCGGCGGCGGCAGCAGCGGCAGCGGCAGCGCUGGAACGGCGGCGGAGCCAAACGACGAGUACGACAGUGGCUGCGGGGGCAUCAUUAUGGCCAGUGUUUUGUCACGGUUUCAUUCGUGGAUAUGAACGGGUGGAUAAAGCACACGAAGAGACUGAGGAUAAACGGGGGAAGAGGGACCUGGUUGCGGGGGGAGGGAAAGCACACACGGGAAGUGGCGCCAGAGAUGGGGAGACCUCAGCAGCUGCGGGGACAACCUUCCCCUUUCCCCCAUCUCUCUUCCUUUCCCUUCCAGUCCUUUUUCUCUCCCCUUUCCCUCCCCCCACUCUGUCCUCUCCCCCCCCCCCCUUCUGCACCACGCACACCUGCAAUCACCAGCGUCCCACACACCGCCACAGGUGCCGCAAUCGCCGCCACCGGCGUCUUCUUGUCCUCCUCCUUCGACGCUGCUACAGCUCCUUCCGCUCCGAAACCAUCCGGCCGCCAUGUCAGCGCUACAUCCGUAUAUCCCCAGAAGCCGGCGCCCUGUAUGGAGCGGUUCUGGGACACCGCCACCCACUCCGUCUUGUUGAAACGGUACUGGAAGAUAAAGGCAUCAAAGUAGGAAAUGUUGAGGUACGCGCCGCGCGGCGGUAUGAAGCCCGAGCAAUAGGGCCCGCAGGUGUACCAAUAGUUCCAAAAGGGGUCGAUGGCGUUCGUGAAGGGGGAGGAAGUGUUGCCGCGAAUCUCCACGCCCUGGGGUCGGCCACCCGGGGGGGGAAGGGUGGGGUGGGCGGGGAAAGGGACGAAUAGGGGUAAGAUGAACCAGGAGGGACGCGUGAAACGGGGUGGGAUUCAGUCUUCGAUGGUUCUAUAUAUGGUUCUAAUCACGCAAAACUCAAGUAAGGAAACGACCUCCGGCAUCCCAGGCACCUACGUGCCGUGAAGACGUCGGAAGCGAUGGCGGCAGGGCGAGGGGAGGGGGGCAUUGGGGCAUUGCAUGGAAGGGGGGUUGGAGGAACGUGGAGGGGAGAACACGAACACGGGCAGCGCGGUGGGCGGUGGCGGAGUGGAGUUGGGGAACCCACCCAAACUUAUUCCCGCCACCUCACCCACAUCGAACUGAAUGACACCGUCCGCCUCCACCGACAACGCCCCGAUCAGCAUGUACAUGUAGGAGCGGCGCGGGGAGGGCCGCGGGUGGGUGAGCAGCAGGCUGCCGCGGAAGGACAACGUGCCAAACACAAACACGACCUGACGAGGCGGAGGGAGGGGGGGAAGCGCGGGAAAGGGGGAGAGGAGGGGAAAGGGGCUAGGGGAGAUUUCGUGCAAUACCCCAAGGGAGGGAGGGAAAAGAAACGCAAUAAGCAGAGAUGGAGGGAGGGAAAGGGGUGUGUAUGUGUAUGUGUGUUUGGGGGGGCGGUAAGACGAACCACGAGCGAGUGAAGCUGCUGCCAAGGAAAGAGAAGCAGAACUGUGGGGGGGAAAAGGGGGAGACUUAACCCGUAUAUUGGAGGCAAGCAAGUAAGCGUGUAUAGACAGCCGAGACCCAAAACACGGUGUGUAAAGGAGCCAGGGGUGCCGAGGGAGGAGGCGGAAGGAGGGUGGCCGGGAGGCAGCCAGGCCAGGGCAGGCCAGGCAGCCUUUCUUCUCCCUCUCUCUCCCUCCCACAUAGUGAGCUGGUCGGCCUUCCAUCAUCUUUCAUUCACCCCCCGCGUACUACUCCACCCCCCUUGCCUCUUGAUUUUUUCCUCCCACCUCGCCAGGCGGGUGGUUGCCGCCGCCGUCGCCAACCCCGCCGCCGGACGCUCCCCAUCCCACUCCCCCUUGGUGAGCUCUGGUGGCCAUCAUCCCGCCCCCGGAGUUUCUCUCCCCACUCUUCAAGUUGGAUUCGACGUUAUUAUAAUACAAGAUCUCCACUAAGUAGAGCAACAAAGUUUAAAACAACUUCACGCUUCGAUGUGUAAUAACGCCAAUAUUUACGACCGUCUUUGGUCAUCUGCGUUAUUGUCCCACUGUCGCCUCGUCGGUCCCGUCUGUCGCCUCCACAGUCCCCUUCCGCGGCGUGGCGUUGAAACCCUACAUUUGACACCCCCCCAAAACACACAGACACACCCAUUAUCCCCCCCCCCACAGUCGCCAACACCCCCAACAGUUCUCUGGCCUCUCGCUCCGACCUUUCAAGUGUUGUUUUAUACCUCCANGGAGUGUUUUUCUUCCAGGGUAUCCGGUUAGGAUAGCCGCGACCGUGGCCCCGUGUCAAGAGCCCGGUCAGGCGCUGUAACAAUACACACACACACUUUCACGCGCACAGCACAAUGACCAAGGUCGUUCUCUUCAGCUCUCAGGCGUCGACAUAAGCGCCUUUCUCUACCCCCUUCCCCCAAACACGCACACCCACCCACAUACACGCACACACCCACCCACAUACACGCACACACCCACAUACACGCACAAUGCGCACCUGGCCCAGGUUGCCAAAAUCAAUGGUGUAUCGCUUCCCGGGUACAGGGUGACAUGCAUACACCGUCUUGGUGCCGUUCACAAAGAUCUGCCCCUGAGCCGGACCCGACGCCUCCGGCGGCCAUUCCGACGCUACCAGCUGGAUGUCCCCCACCACCCGAAUCGCCGGAAUCAUGUCGUCCUUCAGCAAGUCGCGGAAGCUGCGGCCGUUGUCCGCAUUCACGCCGAUACCGGGCGGACAGGCGCUCUCGGGAGGCGAGGCGACUAUCACGUCACGCAGGCGCCAAAAGCUGGCGGCGGCGGCGCCGUCACGAUCGAUGCCGGGCGAUGGAUCCCAGACUGUAUCCCCCGAUAGGAACCACGAGGAGAUGAACGCGCGGCUGGUGUUUCCGACGGUGGUGGUGGCAUUGUAGACCGGCUUCGCGGUUGCGGGAAGGCUGGCUGAGAGAGCCUCGAAAUGGGCCCCCAGGUUGCUGCUAUCAAUCGUGACGAUGGUGGAUGAUUCGAUCGUGCAGCCGCCUCCCACACCCACGUACACUAGGCCGAUGAGGGGGGCAAGGAAGCGGGGCCAGAAGAGCUGGUUGACCACGGCAACAUCAGUCAGGGUGAGGCCGCGUAACGUCAAGGCGCCGCCGUUGCUGAUCUGCAUGCCGAACCGCGUCCAGUUGUAGUUGGUGUUCAGGGCGGUUCCGGAGCAGCCGUACACUUCCAAGGAGCGGUUGCCGGUUAGGUUGACGGGGUUGCUAUAAUUGAAGUCCUUCGGAUCCAAUACAAAGUCCUGUCGCCGCACAACGAUUGGUUAAUCGGUUGGUUGGUUCUUCGGCAAUAACGGUACAGAAUAACAAAAUAGGGUAGGCUUCGGAGCGCAGAGCGCCGAGGUGUGGGUAAAGUUUUAUAUUAAUGUGAUGUCAUUUGGCAGGGGCCAAAAACCCAAACUGCUUCACUGAUUCCCGUGUUACGCAUAGUGAGGCAUCAGCACCGCAGCGAGGCUCGCCCUGGGAGUUAGUUAUUCGUGCCCCUCUCCCGCCGCCCCUAACAGUAAGCCUCAUCCGGCCGCAUCCCCCCGUUUUCAACCUCCGCCCGGGAGAUUCCACCGGCACCCCUCCCUAGGACUCCUUACCGACUUCCCUAAAGAGUCACGGGGGGGCAUCAGGUCUUACGUUGAUGGUGGCAUCAAUGGUGAUCCACAUCGCCGUACAAAGGACCCCUCAACACCUGCCCCCGCAUCCAUAUCCACAACCCCCUCCCCUCCUCCGACACACAACCCCCUCCCGUCUGAGUCCAUUUAUAAACAUGCACAGACACAUAUACCGACAUACGGGGCCAGCACGGGGGCCUCACGGUCUUUGGAGCUUCUACUGGGCCGCAAAAUGACGUUCACUUCCCACCCCAACACACCGCAGCACCUUCCCUUCGAAAUCACGUGCUAACACUCCAACCCAAGCAUAGCGUGACACAUAUACUUGCAUACACAUACGUGCACAUGCACAUUCACAUACAUUCACAUUCACAUACAUAGACAUACACAUACGUGCACAUGCACAUUCACGCACACACCAUCUCCGCCCCCACCUUACCCGAUACACAAAGACCGAGGAGACGUCAUUGCGGCCCAUGGCCGCCCGGAGGGAUGGCGAGUCCGUCACCGGCACUCCGCCCGCAUAGCAGUCCACCGCCGAGGGCCUUGCGUCGCUAGGCAGCAGCAACACAUUGCUAAAGCUGACGGCAGCUUCUGGGGAGCUGUACGACACCACUCGCUGGAGACCCUGCGAACUCACGUGGUACCGGUCGGUUGGGUUCCGGAGCAAGAGGGGAAUUUAGGGAUGCAGUUCGUGUCGUGCGGAUUGCCGUUUGAAAGGUUGGGUGAGGAAACCCAGAUCGGGAUGAAAACAGAGGUAAGCCAACUUGAAGCCUAGGGUUUGGGGUUCAGGAAAAGUGAUGAUGUGCAGAGGAGGACAGGGCAGUGUGACGCAACGGGGCCGUGGGAUUGGGGAUGUUCUGGCGGUCAGGUAGGGAAAGAGCGGGACGAAGGGCCCCGCACUCAGGGCCGGUGUAAGGCCCUGCCAGCUGCGAUGGCAACAGGACUUCAGUAAGGACUGAAGUUCGAUUCGGAACUAAGGAGCCCGCAUGCAGUCUUGUGAAGAAAUCACACAUCUUCGUAGGAUCGACAGGCGGUAAUCACGUUAAUCGGGCGCUAGCUUACCGAUCCAAGUCCGCCGCUUAGCUGGGGUUCAAGAGUCUCCAAAAAGCCAUUUACUGACCAAAAGCGAGAGAUAUUGGCUAGGGUGCGAAAAGGGGCUAUUACAGUUACGUUUUCAAAAGCGAGGUUCAAGCUGCUGCCGUUGAAGGCUGGAAAAGGACCAGAGCUGAUAGGAAACACUGGCGCGCUGCUGGAUUCCAGUACACCUUUUUUGUAAAAAACCGUGACAUCCCGAAGCAUAAGUGAAGCAUUUUCACCCAGCCCCAUAAUCAUGGUAUUAGGAGAAUGUAAAAUAAGCGAUCCAGGCCCAGUGAUAGUAACUCUGCCUUUCAGAGUGGCCGACUGGUCGCCUCGCCAGACCCAAGGCGAACCCCUGAGAGAAACGGUCGCCUGGUUAGACUGCAGCUGCUGCCAUAGGUUGGCCUCGGAUAUCGUCUGGGCAGGGGCAACCCCGAUGCAUCGGAGCACAAUUAUUGAUAGCAUACACGCCGUGAGCCGACUAAACCUGCAACCCAGCAAACUCGACCGGUCUCCAUUGCUCAUGGUAACCUGCUUCCGCGCGUUCUUAUUCUAGUGCAUGUUCAUUACGGUUAUGGCACCCGGCUAUCACAUAACUUCACAUCAUGGGGCAAGUUCAGACCCUGCUGAGUUAUAAUACUGGCCACUGGUUGAGUAGGAUAAGGUAAACAAACACUGUUAGGUCAGGGCAUGGCGACGGUUGACUUGCUAUGGUCCCUAGCCACAUUGUACCGCACCGGACAUGGAGAAUGCAUGUGCGACCUAUACCCACAAGGUUGUGCUUAGUGAUUGUAAACUUCUGGUGCAGAGGAAAGCAUGCAUAAGCCGUAAGUGUUUUAGGUCCUGCAAAAGCCUAGAGAGGACGUCGAGUCUCGUAACCUGGUCAGCAUUUGCCUGACAGGACCUGGCAAGUACAGACUGAAUACUGUAUUGGGAGGUGUACAUUGCACUUCGGCAGGCAGAGAGAAGUGGCCACGUUCUUACAAAAGAGGGACCUCUGGCAAAGUUCAGAAAUGCAUGUCCUGCCAUGAAUCUCUUUGCUUCCAUACGAACCUAGUCCAGGCAACUGAUCGUGCGUCCAUUACGUCGGGCGGUACUCCGUAGUCCAUACCAGAACAAGGCCAGUGAGUUUGCCACCUACCUGGGUAAGCAACAAACCUGCCCAUGUUUGAAACUCAUAUGGUCGGUUGGGCGAAUAUAAAGCAAUCUUUUCGUUACGUAACGUUUAUGUUACUCAGCUUACUACUCGGCUUAUGAGAGUCCUUACCGUACGUGAAUCUGACCCUGCUCAGCUUGCACGGCAAGAACAAUUGCACCAUUUUUUUGUCAUUAAGCCGAGUAAUAAAAGUCUGUUCAAACCAUUUGGCCUGUCGCGCAAGACCACAACAUGCCUGGUUGCGCGUAAGCUUACAGCACGUGGAGUUACAUCGCUUCAGCAGUGGCGAAAUUAUUCGCGCAGGGUGACGUACGGACGCAAACACCGGGACCACGACCUACCUUUUAACCUAUCCCGCCCAGCGGGCUACACCCCAGGAGGGUGGGAGGAUGACCAGCAGCACCAAGCGAAGCAGCACCGCAAUCACAACCCCCCAGUGCGGACUUGUGUAAAAACGUGCACAACUUAUGAAACAAACCCGACAAAACAGACCACACGUGCCAAAUGUUGCCACAGCCCCCCUGCUUCCAAUCAAUCGUCUAAAUGUUUCCUCAACCCUGUUUCCUUCUGUCUAUCCUUUGUGCAAAUUAGGAACCUUUCCUCAUCACUUGUAAUAGAAGCACUCGCAACCGCUCACGACCAACGCUGCAGCUGCAGCGCUUCAGAAGGAGCAGCCUCACCGCGUCUCACCACAUUACUCCCCGAGCAUAUCACCGCACGUAGCACAACCCCAAGAAAGCCCAGCAGGGCUCCCACUUCAAGCCCUCCCUUCCCUCCUUUCUUCUUGCUUAUUUCUGGCGUAUCAGUCUAUCCUUGGCAUCAACUUCACUCGUUCGUGGUUCGUCUUCCCUCCCCUCCCGCCUAACCCAACCCAACUGAAAUCCAAAUCCAAUCCAACCGGAUAGGCAAGGGGAUCCUGCUGGAUUAGAGAAGUUCCGUACAUUUCCACCAGGUAGGAAGCCAUCAGCCUGCAGCAACGGCGAAACGUGGCCGCGAAAGGGGGGAGAGUCAUGUAGUGCAUGAAGCAAGGUGUCUGGGGAUGUGGAGCCCCGUGGAGGAAAAUGUGCAUUACAGACAUUACUCUGCAUGCAUGCAUGUUCGGAAAUCAACGCCGGAUGGGGACGCCGCCGGGCAAAGGGCCCGAAAGGACGCUGCCGAAGACGCCCGAGAGCUGGAAGGGCCAGAAGGCUGGGAGCUUUUACACACGCACACACACACCCCUUUUCGACACAGGUAUUAUGCACACAGAGUGCAUCCACAACGUGACUUACCAACCAUUACAAAUCUCAUUCAUUUACCCAGCAGGACCCACCCACCCGCCUCUGCGCCCACAUAGACCCACAUCGGUUCUCAUGAAGAGGUCCUCUGCACCCACUGCCAAUCGGACACCCGCCAUCGCCACCACCUUGGGCACCCACACGCCCAUACACACACAAGGCGCACAUGGCCGGGCGCGGGCAAAAGAACUGUGCAGCCGCUGCCGCCGCCACCGUACGACACAACAGAACAGCCCAAGGGUCUUCUCCCCGAUUGGCAUUUAAGCAGCCGUCGUCCUCCGCUGGGAAUCGACCAUCCACGACUGCUGCUACUGCUGCUGCUACAACUGCUGCCACAACUGCUGCGGGGGCUGCUACUGCUGCAGGCCGUUAGCUCUGCGUCCCUCUCCGCUCAGCGCCUCCCCGCCACGUGCGCCUUCUCGUACCGACUGCUCAGCACCCCGAUGCGGGGCGGCGGACCGAUACGGAGGUACGGCACCACUGCCUCAACCAACUCAGCUUGGCGUCACCUCCGCCGCGAACCUCCGUACGCAGCACAACCACAGCACAAGCAGCUUCUGUUGGCAAAGCCGGUCUAUGUACGACUAUCUUCCCAUCUGCACCAGGCCUCGCGAAAGCUACCUAUUCGGUUGGCUGUGGUAGCGCCCUUUCCCCCUUCCCACCUGCACCAGAGCCACCAGCAGCAGCAGCAGCAGCAGCAGCAGCGCUCCUGGUUUAUGCGGAAAUGGAGACUGCCGACUCCAGGGAAGGCGGUUUAUUGAAUCCACUGACAGAGCGACCGAGUCCCCCUGACCUGGCUGACAAGUUGGCGGGAGCGCUCGUGCGGAUGACCGGUCUCCACACGCCCUGACGUGUUCAAGGACAGUCGCUGCCGCAGCUGAGUCGCCGCUUGUCCAUCAUCCACGAGAACGGCGUCUGCGCCUGCGGCAGUGAGGGCUGCAGCCCUCGCCUGCUCAACCCACCCUACACCACGACAAUCUGACCUCUGCUCUAGGGCUCUGGCAUCUUCGUCAGGACCCAGCUUCCUCUGCUGCGCUCAUGGUACUCCAGCUGCAUCCUCCACUGCCGCCUCUGCUGCUACUGCGCAGCUGUUGCGGAGCUGCUGCGGCAACUAGGCGGCACAAUGGCUCCUGGUGCUCUCCGAUGCAUGGGAAGCUCAGAAAGGAGGAGACGCCGCACGCUGCACAUCGCCGUCACGUCUCCUUGCAUUCCCACCCCCCGCCAGCCUGCACGGACUUGACGACACGGGCUCUCAGCACCCGCCUGGGUUUGCUGAGCGGCCGUCAUACCAUCGUUACCAACCACAACGAGGGGGGUUGAGAAGUAGAGCGCGGAGCAGCACAUACAGACCGCAACGAUGAUGAUGUCGCCUAUGUCGGGCCUAUCGCUCUCAGUGGUCCCGUCUGACUGGCCGUCUGCCUGGGGGUCCGCCGCUGCGUGCCUGGCAUAUCGCGUUACUGUUCUGGAAAUGGGUGUACCAAGGCCAGGCCAGCCCAGCCCAGCUCGGCUGUCCUCCGAGCUCCUCAGCGCUGCCGCCUGAUUUGAACCCCUGUGCGCGCGCACGUGUGUGUGUGUGGGUGUGGGGAACGUGUGUGUGCGUGCGCACGCACGUGUGUGUUGGUAGGGUGUGGGGAAAGAGGGGGAAGAGGAAUGAGGAACAUGUGCCAGAAGCAACCAUGCAGAGUUUCAUUGCGGUGGAGCAGCAGUAGCAGUAGCAUCAGGACUAUCAGUGGUGGCACUAGCAACACCAGGAGGAGUGGCACAUACACUACUGUAAGAAUUAGGGGGGAAAUCCGUAAACUUGAGUCAUGUAGUCCGUUGCGUGUGUGUCCUGGUUCCCAUUAUGAGAGGCCAUGCGGAAUUAUGAGAGGCCAUGCGGGACUAAUCCAAAUCCCAGCAUCAGAGGUAGAGGAAACCCAGGACCCUGACUGGCCCUGAGGGCUCAUAACCUCACUUCGCCGUCCCGACUGAUCCACAAAAUCCUAAACGCUGAGGCUGGCCACCAUCAUCCGCAGCUUAUUUAUCCUCUGGCCCUAAGCAGUCACAAGUCCUAAGGACCCACCCACGCUCUCCACCACGCUGGGCACUCCUGGGAUGGCUAGCUUCCGAAUGGUGAAGUCCACUUGCCGUACUCUAGGGUGUCGCUGCAGUACGGCACUCACUGCGCGGUGCGCCACUGCCUCCAGCAGUUUGCAGGGCGCCCCUUCAACCACUGAUUUGACGUCCCUGGAGGGGCCAGCCCAGCCGGCGGGUCAGGCCCUUGUGAGAUAUUCAGUAGACCCGAAUGAAGCGCAUAGGGAUAGGAAUUCUCGGGGGCUAGCGAGGGCGGCUUUUGCAGGUCAACAUCGCAGCAAACUGUGGAUGCACAAUAUCACGUCGAGCAACCCACCCGUAAACGGCUGCAUAGUUCACGGUGUCCUCCAGGUCAUCGCUGAACCCAGCUCGGGAGGUGUUGACUUGGAGUUUAAGAUCGACCACAAAGCUCUGACCGAGUCGAGUUUCCUGAGCACAAGCGCAAUCAGUCAAGAGGCGAGUUCGUUAAAGGUCAACUAAAGUCACGUCAGGUCAACAGAAAUUGUGGGCUUGAGGGCAAUGUAGCCACAGCCUGUGCUCUUUCGUGAUAACGUUAGGAGUGCGUUGGCAGCGUUAUGGCAUAAUGCACUCACGAUGCCAAAAGUCGGCUGCGGAGUCGUAGAAUGGGGUUUGAAAAGCGCGUGUUCGGAAAAUAGAUAGAGGGUUUGGAAAGUGCAACUGCAUUUACCUCGGGGAGCACGCCGUGAUGGCCGUGAAAGCGCAUGCCGGUGAUAUGAAUCCAGUCGCUGUCGCCGAUCUGGACAGGAAUGCUAUGAUGGCUAUAAUUACCUCCUGGAAAGGAUGUGCAAAACGACGAGCAGGUAAAGGACGGACGCCAGCACCUACACGCUGCGGCGUCCUGGAGGAUACUCAUUUGGAGACUCGGAAUGACUCUCAGUCUUGAAAUCCUAGGGAUCAUGGUGGGGCGCAACCGAAGGACGACGCGCGUGAAUGGUAACUAAAAGUGUUCUAUAUAAGGGCGAGACUUAGUACUUCACGGGAAAGUAAAGGAAGCAUACAGUCCCCUUACCAUUACCCAAUUGAGGUUUCGUAUCGAUAUCUGGUUCUUUAGGAAAGGAAUUCGGGAGGGAGGACGAGAAAACAAAGGGCCCGCGUACGGCUGUUAAUGUGAGUCUAUUCCUUCGGUCCGAACAUGUGAUUUCUUCCCUUUCGCUGCGCCUUCCAGCCACCGCCUCCUCCCCAAUUUUUUCUUAGUAGUCGACACAAUGUCUGAUCACGAGGUUGAGACUUUUGAGAGCGCCGACGCCGGCGCCUCUCUGACCUACCCUCAGCAGGCCGGCACUGUCCGUAAGAACGGCUACAUUGUCAUCUCGGGCCGUCCUUGCAAGGUGUACAGGAGCAUCAGCCAAUUGGGAAGAAUGUUGUGGUCUCUGCGAGGUCAAGAACUGAGCGCGCGCGUUUCUCUGGCAGGUGGUGGAUGUCUCAACUUCCAAGACGGGCAAGCACGGUCACGCUAAGUGCAACUUCGUUGGUAUUGAUAUCUUUACCAACAAGAAGUAUGAGGAGAUGGCGCCAUCUUCCCACAACGUCGAAGUGGGUGCACGAUGCUGCAGGCGGCGCAAUUACUGUUAGAGGGGGACGUGCCGCACUGCAUGGCAUGGAUUGGGACGCUGGCCUUACCACUUGCUUGGUGGUUUAUUUGCAGGUUCCUAACAUCUCCAGGAAGGAGUACACGGUCAUUGACAUCACCGAUGAGGGCAUCGUAAGUUGGAUGAUUUCUUUUGGGCAGUUUGCUUUUAUCCUUUUAGUCUUAAGGGCUGCUGUAUAUUGCGGUGAUGCUCAAAAUUGGGAUAGUGUUGUUCGCUUAGUUGCAACUACAGAUCUCGCGGUUGUUGUCCGAGGUCUGGCUGGCUAAGGCUGUCCGGCAACCUUUAUAGGUGUCGCUAAUGGACGAGUCGGGCAACACGCGCGAUGAUCUGUUCCUUCCCAAGGGAACUGACGAAGCUGAAAAGCUCGCUGAGAUUAUCAAGGACCACUGGCAGAACGACAAAGAGAUGGCGGUCACUGUCAUCAAGGUGCGAGCUGCUUUGAGAAGGGUCUGUGCUGGUGUUCGAAGCGGGUAUGGUCAAAACCCGUGACUCAUGAGGACGCGGGUAUUGCAUUGCUAUAUAAUUGGGCUGACUCCCCUUUCCCUCCUGCCUAUGUAUGAAUCUGUUGCGAAGGCUAUGGGCGAGGAAACGAUCUCAUCGGUGAAGGUGAGGGGGGGUUUCAUGGACCAACCAGCAUUCCUGUGUAUUAUGCUUCUAUUGUUAAGCAAUUUAAGGAGGGUCCUGAUUUCUUGUUGCUGGGUGAGAACAUCAUGACUAUAUCUCGUGAGACUUUAAGGCGUCAGGGUGGCAUUAUUUCAUAUCGUCCACCUCUGUGCUGCCAGAUCAUUAAUUUCUUCACCCAUUCCCCUUCCCCCUCAGGUCAUUAACGAUACCAAGGCUUGAGCAAGUCUGCACGUUGGAUGUCGCAGCAUGGGCGUGGUGUUUGGUACAUGUCCUUGGCAUUCGCUCCCGAGACAUCUCGGCGCGACUGUCUCCCGUGCAACAAUAGCUCAGAUGUGGUGAUGGUUGUGGCGCAGCGCCGUCCACUGCACUGAACUUCAUUGUUUUUCAUCACAAGGACUGCUUUGCGUGUCUGUGGUUGGCGAUGCAGGAGGACGGACGGGGGCGUGUAAAUGAUAUGUGACUGGCUGAUUUGAUCUCGGCUGCGUUUCGACGGCUUUCCCAUACCUGUUGGUAUGGACGUUUUGCUCACACUAUCAGGACUGGAUCUUUCGCAAAAUUUUGGGUUGCAUGACAUAUACACACACAUAACUCACCCUGACGGGUGGCAGCGUUGGAAGCAACGAAUUGGGUCACAGCUAUGCUGUGCUGUAAUCUUAAAGGGUGGAAAUUAAAAGAGUCCUAAAUUCCAUGCAUGUCGGAGGCACGUAGUACCAGCUCUACUAAUGCACUGUGAAUGUACGGUUGUCGUACACAAAAGCCUCAGAUAAUGUAGCGACAAUCCAUUCUUCCUAAUGAACAUAGCAAAAUGCUAGCUGAUCUUAAAAAUCUACCAGCACGGUGCUUGGCUUCUUGCAGCCUAGUCUUCCGAACGGAACCAACUUAUUACUUAUGUACCCACGGUUCUCAACCACCCGAAGGUCAAAUAAUUCAUACUGAUCAAAGCACAUCGGCAUUACUUCGUAUCGUAAGGAAGCGGGAAAGUUCUGCGGUCACCCUUAAAAAGUGCGCGGAAUUGAAGGAUGGAAAGCGUCCUCAUGAGUCGAUGGCUGCAGGCGGGGCUGAAGGACAGCCUGCAAAGAAGCUGAACACUGGCGCAGCAGCCGUAGCCGCCAAGGCAAGCCAGGUAUCCGGCCUAUCGCAACACCUGACAACGACAUCUUUGACCGCUGAGGAGCUGAAAGCGAAGACGGUUCCGCAGCUUAAGGAGUUGUUACGGGCUCGCGGACUGGCCGUCUCCGGUGCCAAAGACGAACUCGUUCGCCGCUUAGUCGACCACCAACGGGCAAACAAGUACAAAUAACUCGCCCGGCAACUCGCCGGGCGUAGGAGCAAUCGGAGUGGUCAUGCAUCACAACUUCAGGGGUGUGCGUGCGAAGGCCAGGGCGUUGAGGAACUCAAUGCAGCACGACGGCGAUGGCCGCGCAGCCUGCAAUCCUGGCUUAUCUGCGCUAGAGCAUUGUGCCACUGUGCCUGCUUAGCAGGGCCUCGAACAUUCCUGCGGUACCGGGUGUGGAGAAGGGACGUCUUUGGGGAUAGGGUGACGUGACCAACCGUACUGCCAACCAUUCAGCGCUGCUGCUUUGGAAUGAAACUUAAUAAUUUGCUGACGGGGAUCUAACGAGCCGUCACGGCUUGGGAGGCAAGACCAGCUUACCGUACAUAUCCUGGUGCAUGGGACCGAAGAUAUCUCUUGACCGGCGGAGAGUCUCCUCACGACUUUGUCGCCCCGCGUUGAGCUCCUUGAUGUUGUGCAGGAACUGGCAAACGUGGGUUGAGCACAUGGGGAUAGGGGUCAGUGACGAGGUGUGGAUGCGAAUGGCACUCGUGGCGUGUGGCGAUUGGCAUGCAAAUCAGGAAAUUCACGACGAUUUUCUGUGUGCGUUUGAUGGGAUUGUAUAUGCGCCGCCGCUUUGAUGGCGGCAUUCAAGCUUUCGGACUUCUGAAAUCUGAAACCUCCCAUCGCCGCCGUACAGGACUGGAUGUCCGAAUGAUUAAGGAAAGGGGACGACGUGAAAUUACGAGAAUCUAUGCUAGGGGACGGGUCAAAAAACACUUCAGCGAUAUGCGUCGAUGCCUCUGGCGGAACUGGAUUGCCUAUUGCGCAACACGGGAUGGAUGAUAUCCAUCGACAGGCUUGACCUCGCCAGAUUUGACACGUACUGCAUGCGUCCAUGAAGUUACACAGCUCGCUCACCUGGCUGAACUGCUCGUAAGACAGUUGGGCUCUGCAGCAGGGGCAACCGAUAGGGCGGGAUGUUACCAAAUACAACGACACACUACCGCGGCCAGCACUCAGAAAUUGCAAUGACAUCACCAACGAUCCCCAGCGAUCUUCCAUUGAAUUUUCCAACCAACAGUUGAGGUCCGUAACAUCGCCUUCUGCCAUACCGCCCGGCUGCUACCUGGCUUGCUUAAAAAAUUCUUUUCCGUCGAUCCGCGGCGGUGAACCAGGAUUCCCAUACUGCGCAUGCGGCAUAGGUGGUGGGGGCGGUGCAGCGUACUGCGCCGAGCUCGUGGCCUGCGGUGUGGCUGCGCCGUACAUGGGCCUUCCGGACGUGCUCGGGUACGCCGGGGUUGCCGCUGGCGCCAUGCCUGUUGUGCGGGCCGAAGAACACGUGUUGGCGCGGUGCGCACAGGCCACGGUAAGCCUGGACUUGCAGACUCUUUCACUGCCCAUGAACCGCUUUGUUCAGAUAUAAACGCCGAUGUGGUUGCGCCCUUAAUCAGCAUGGCAAGUGCUGAUUAAACUGAAUAAGCUGUACCGUUCUGGUGAAUGUUUUUCCUAUAGGCCGACGCCUCCCCGCUUUCAUGGCGUUAUCAGGCCGGCAGAUUUGUAAAUCCACCUCGCCGGUGCCGCCAGCAGAAACGCACAGGUCAUCUAUGCCAUUAGGCGUGACCUACUCCUUGCAAAACUUACGAACGGUGUAGGCGCUCGGUGGCUGCAUGGCCGGCGGUUUGCUGAUGCUGCUAAGCACCUCCGAAACCAGCCGUUCACCAGCCACAUCCGCAGCUGCUACGCUGGGCUCCAGCCCAGGCUGGCGUUCCCAGUGAUGCGUGUGCCACGGGGAAUGGAAUCGGCAGAAGGGAUCAGUCACGAGACCCGUCAGGUCUCAAUUCUAUCCGUAAGAUAAGGAUGCAGUGGCGAAAGUUGGCGAUGCAGAGUUCAGAAGUGGACUGCGCACUAACAGCAUAAGUAAUUGCGAACACAAACGAACGCAUACGUCACUACAUCACAACCACUACAUGCAACCCUCUCCGCUAUGAAACCCAGCCUAGGUGUAACCAAGGGGGCCCCCAUCGUGGCAUUUGGAAUCUCCUGGUCACCGACCCACCGGCCGCAUCGCUAGCCCGGCCAACACGACCCCAGCUCCGCCCCAAAGCCCCAUCUUAUCACCGCUUGUCUACCACUGGUGCCCUACCUCGUCCUCGUUGUUAAGGGUGUUGAGCAGGUUCUUCUUGAAGGCUUCCAACCGAGCAACAUCCUUAUGUAACCUUUUGACGGUAUCCGCUAGAAGGGUCUUUUCACUUUGCAGCCGGUGCGCCUCCUCUAUUGCUUGCUUGCUCUACAAAGCAAGGCGAACGAAGAUGUAUGUGCGUGGGAAGUCGCUCAUGUACUUGCCAACCCACGCUGGUGGGGGUAUGCACGCUAAGACACUCCUUACAGAGUCUCGCUUCUCCCGUGGGCCCCCUAACCUUUGCGGCCAUGUCCUGCAGCUCCAGCUCGAGAGUGGACACUCGCCGCUCGAGCAUCUUUAUGUGGUUCUGUUUUUGUACGAGGGCGUCCCGCAGCUGCUGACCUUCCGCCUCCAGCUGCGCAGCCUUUGACGCUAAGGCAUGCUGCGCUAUUUUCGAUGCUAGCUCCAACUGAGCAAAAGGAUCCACCGGUAGCACGGAAGUGACCUACAAAGGUGCGCAAGGAGUGGUCAAGAUGUUGCUGUUUGCUUCGCUUGCAUUAUAAUCUAGAAGCUACGAACCUCUGCAGGUAAUCCUGAAGCCAUAGGUCCUACAUUUGCAAAAGAUGCCAUGCCUAGGCCAGGGAAACCGAGGUAGUCUGCUAAUGGAAAAAUUUUACAAAUGUGCGCAAUCCGCUAGGUAUAAACUCAAACGUUAAGGAAGCAGCGUCGCAAUAGACGUCUGGAAAUUAAUAUGUUAUGUCAAGGACGUCUUGGUGACUAUCUGCCUUCACAACAGCUGGUUGACCCGGCCGUUGACCUCCCGUACGUUGAGCUUGAAGAGCAUUUGAGUGCCCUUGCACACAAGAUUGCAAAUGGUAAUACGUUCAUAAAGAAAAGGGAAAGGCAGUCGCUCGAGACAGGAUCCGCACUUGCGCACCAUCGCCUUCUGUUCCUUUGUAAGUUUCUUUAUCCAAGGCCACUUCAUCAACUAAGGCACGAGCCAUCCUAAGCACUUUCUGAGUGCCACGCUCCACACGGGGUCACAAAACAUAGGGUGCACCUCUUUUACGCGGUGAAAAUACGUUUAGGCCUGUGCCUAAAAACAUACAUGAACCUAUGGUUGGAGCCAUGUCAAUCACAAAGCCGUGCCUGGGUUCAGUGCGGCUCUUCCGACAUCCGCAGCGCACCUAUGUUGCUCCGUCCACCCAUACCAUUGGCCAUAUGCAAGCAGCCGGGAGCACAACAUUUCGCGUUGUGAAACGCGCAAACUUCAACUGACACGCGCUUUGAGUUUCCCCGCCAACUCCUGCCGCCACCUCGUGCCACACCACACACCCUUCAAGCACCUAUCUCCUUCGACAAGUUCCCACAAGCAUGUGCGAGAACACGCGCAUGCGUGUGCGCUUCCUUCCCCCUCCCAAACCUCUCUCAGCAACACACAACCCUAGUAAUACGGCGCCACAUAAUCGAGCUUAUAAGCCCCAAGCUUCCGGGUCCUACGCGCAGACUGGUCAUGUCCUGGUCUACGUUGUCCCUUCUUAAUUAACCCCCACGCGUUUCCCAGCGUGGGGCGGCCACAACCUUAGGCACUGCCACCUGUCCCACUACCGCCAUAGACCAAUGCUGAUGCAAGCGUCUCCACCGCAUCUGAGGGCGUCAGAGGCUCCGGUGCGGCUUCCCCUGGGGCACUCUCGGCGCCCAUGCCCCCAUCGCCUCCGGUGCCGGCGGGGGCGCUGGAUGACGCAUGCGCCGCCGCCGCAGCAGCAGCGGCGGCCGCGGUCGGGGCAGUGCCACCGCUGACGUGCUUUGAAUGGUGGCGCGCGCUGCGGAAUCGUGCCGGCGCACCACCCCCCGACCCCUUUCCCCCCGAUCCCGUCCCGUCGUCGUCGGGGCCGCCCAGCGCGGCAACCAUCUCCGAUGUCACCUUCGUUGGAACGACAGGUGUGCCGUACACUACCAUUGACACGCCUUGCUGCUCCACCACCUCCUCGAGGUCCGCCACGUCCAAGCCCACGCACUUGGUGAUGAACGUCAGUACGGCAAGCAGGUACUUGUUGUACCGCAUCUGCGAAGACAUGUACAGUAGUAUUACCAAAGAUAUGCACAAAGAGGCGCGGAGAUGCACAUCACGCAGCAAGAUGAUUUCUUAUCAGUGAGGUAGCUUCCAAUCCAACAGCAAAAUGCCGGCGAAGAGGGGAGUGGGGACACCAUGACCGCGGCGUCGGGUAGAAAUGGCGUAAAGAAAAGUGAGGUAUGCUGGCUAGGGCCCCGAGGCAGCUGGGCCGACAAAAGGGAACGACAGAGACGCGCGCGCUUAGCAAGAAGCAGUCUGCAACGACAGUGAACGAACUUUAUGUGCCACGAGUCCAAAACCCCAACCCACCCGCCCCAAUCGCCCAUUCACACAGAAACCCACAAAUCACAAGUCGGAACGCUCGGCAGCUGCAUGACAGCAGCGCCCUCCCAGGGGGAUCACCACAUUGAAGCCACAUGCACCCGUGAGCCUGCACGGCGAGCGCUGAGAUGACGCGCGCCCCAAAAUGGGUUGUACGGUAUCGCGUGCCCUGUGCUCAGCCCUGUCCCUACCGCGGCUGCAUGAACCCCAAGCCCCGCACAGCCUACUACCGCCGCCGCCGCCUCUUCCGCAACGGCCAGCAACACCCCAUCACCACAGCUGGCCCCUCCAGGCCCCAGCCCUAGGACCCACCAUGCCCGCGCCCUUGGCAAAGGCCGCCACGUACUCCAGCACUGCCACCAGCAUGGGCCGGUGCAGAUACACACCGGCCUCCAGGAGGGACUUGACCUGGGGGGGGGAGGAGUAAGGGGGAGGGGGAGGGGGAGGAGGCGGGGUCGCAAUGGGAGAGAAAGAUUUAGGUGGCAGAUGCGAAGGAGCAAACACCCCCCACCCCCACAACGACCCAUGGGCAGUAGCAGCAGUAGCAGUAGCAGGAAGAAAGAAAGAAAAGGAGCUCUGGACCUCUGGGCCCCUUUCAAAAGGUCCUCUGCCUCCCCCUUUCAACCCAAACAAGGAAAACCACCAACCCAAAGAACUCCCCCAUCCCCCCCAAAAAAACACCUCCUCUUCUUUCCCACACACCAGAUUAUCAGCAUGACUCGAAUCAGGGGGCCUGUCCUCGCAUACGCCUCUCUGCAUCUCGUCGCACAAGAACCAACCAGCUUCCCGGAAUCCCCAAGCCCUAACCACUCCGUCAAACCCGCCAGUGGCUGGUCGCCUUUCCCAUCCACCUCCUUGCCCUUUAACCCAUCCACCUCCCCACCUCCCCAGGCCGCCACCAAACCAAGCAAAACACAUUGCACCCCCAGCCCACACUCACCGCCGACUCCCAACCCUCAAACACACACACGCGCACACACACGCACGCGCACGCACGCACGCACAUAUCCAUAUCCAGAUACAUACUUCAGCGUGGGACCCGAACAGGUGCAACAUAAUGCAUCCCCAGUGGGAUUCCCCACACAUACACCACACAUCCCCACACACUCCCCAACACCCACACCCCCGCCCCUACAUCCCCCCAUCCCCAAACCCCAUAAACAACCUAACCUUGGAGACCACCAUGAGGCACAGCGGGUCGCUCAUCCUCUGCACCUCCACCAGCGCGCACAGCUGGUCGUAGAAGCGCUGCAAGAUCCGGAUCUCGGUGGGCUCCAGAGCCUGAAUCGCCUUCUGCUUCGUGUUGCGACGGGCCGCCUCCUGCGCCACCUGGUAGGCCUCCAGUCGCGCGUAGGGGCUCACCACCUUGCCGCCUGGCAGUGGGGGCGGACGUCAGACGGGGUUCAGAGGCAGCACAAGGGCGGGCUUGAGCGACAUGGUGAGGAGGGGGAGGCGUCGAGUAGGCGGCACUCUUUCAAAUUUCAGAAUAUCCGUGUCAGAGCAGUAGCAGAGCAGAGCAAGCAGUAGCAGAGCAGUAGCAGAGCAAGCAGUAGCAGGAGGACAACAUGGGAGGGGGGUGGAAGAGUGGUGGUGGUAUUCUAAUGGUUGUUGCUGUGGUUGUUGCAGGUGGAGGCGGAGGUGGAGGUGGGGUGCAGCAUAUAUGACGAUGUGGGCGAGGAUAAGAUGUUUAAGGGUUCUCUCUUAAGCUGAUCAGGGAGGGGAAAAGGAAGGAGCACAGAACUCAAGCCCUGCGCUGCCUCUCGCCGUGAUCUGUCUUUUACCGUUGCGUCUAUGGCUGAUAAGAAAGCCACCACAGUCACUACAGCCGUCGCAGAAGCACCGCUGACCACCAUCCACCAUCAACAGAACUAAACAACUAUAUAUAUAACAACCAUAAAAUAACUGAAACAACUACAACGACCAACUACGGAGAUGAUGAGCGGCGCAAGGCAUGAUGAAAACUAUGUUCCCCCAUCAGCAUAUACCCCCCCCAAAUCGUCACGGCAACUUUUUCGACUUAUUUAUUCAAUUCAAACAUUCAAACACGCACGCAACGGAGAUCCUGAAGCCCGUCCUGGUAGCAGUAUACUAUACCGCGUACCGAUUACACAGGGUUUAAAUUUGUACCGACCGCGCGGCUUACCGGAUGCGUAGGUGGGCAUUCGGCCCUGCGCCAGGUUGAGCACCCCGAACAAAGUCGUGGACAGCCCAGCCGCGUUGGUGGGCUCGGUCCGCACGGUCGCACGGCCCUGCGCGCGCGAGAACAACGCCGCCUGCAGCUGCGCCCGGCCCGCCUGGCGCACCGCGACAAAGUCGUUGUGCCACUUGUACACCGGAUUAGACUCGUCGCCGUACAGCGGCACCACAGGCUCCACCAGCGGCACAAAGGAACCGUCAUUAGGAGAACCUGCGGCCGCGGCGGCAAAUGAGGCUGGUUCGCUAACUUGGUGCGGAGGAAUGUGACGGGGGGUGGGUUGUGGGGGGGUUGUGGGGCGGGUGGGUCGCGUGGGUUGGGUUGCGGGGUGGGGGGUUGGGGGUGGAGGGGUUGGUUUUAGGGUUUAUGCUGCCCUCAACGCCACGUCGCGGUAGUUAUGGUUGCUAUGGCCGCCGCUCGCACUUCCCAAGAUGAUGUGCUUUUGAGCUGGCAGUGCAACAUGGUACGGCUGCUACUGCUACUACUGCUACUACUGCAACGGCAGCCGCGUGGCUUAGCCGCCUUUGCUGUCGCGCACACCCCUUCCCUCCCUGCUGUGCUUUCCGCUGCAUCCCUCUCGGGUUGUCACACUGCCCCAAGCCCCGGCUUGUCCUCUCUCAGCCGCCGCUACUGCCGAGACCGCCCCCCGCAUCAUUCCCGCUGCUACUGCUUCUCACUUAAGAAAGAGCUUUGCUACAGCCCCUUGCUCGGCCGGUUAUUCCUGCCAGUCAAGCCCAGCUCUGUCUGGCCCCUACCACACGCCACCUUACCCCGCUCCCCUUACAGCCCGAUGAGUACAGAUCCUCUCCUCCCUCCCAGAGGACCCAGAGGACCACCGAGUUUUAAAUACACACACACACACGCAGACGCACAUCACGCACAUCACGCGAGCAAGCAGGGGGCUCCGUUGAAGAGCCCAGCCCAUCACCACAUGCUCACACCAGCCGCGCUGCCACACCCACCCCGCCCAGCCUCGCGGCCCCUCCCAACGGUAAGCGACCACCACCACGACCAUCACCACCAUCACCACCAUCACCACCAUCACCACCACCACCACCAUCACCACCAUCACGACCACUGCCAACGGCAAUAAAACGCCCUCCUCCGUGCCGCCACUAACAUCAGAACACAGAAAAAAACCCUGUACCGUUUGUAUCAGCAAGUUUAAGUUACGCUGUGUAACAUUAGUACUAAAAAAAUUAACGUCAGAUACAGAUACACAAACAGAUACACACGCCCGCCCGCCUGCAUGCCAUUUUCAGCACACGUCCCUUACCUAGCGGCAAUCCAGCUACAGCCACGGCCCCCGUGGCGCCCAUAGAUCCAGAUGUCGUACCCUCGUGCGGCGGUGACGUGGACGCGACCGCGCCGUUCUCCAGGGAGGUGCGCCUGGGGCGGGGCGGGGCGGGGCGGGGGUGAGGUGAGGUGAGGUGAGGCCGAGAGGGACCAAUGGGGAUGAGGGUGUAGGAAAAGAGGUGUAGGGGUGUAACAGAGGAAAUCCAUCGCCAGGAUAUGGAAGAAGCAAUUGUUCUUUUCCUUCUUCUCCUUCAUCUUCAUCGCGGUUAUCAGCCUCCGCACGCGGUCGCCAAUGUCAAGCAAUGCCACGCAACACCAACCCCCUUCACGUCCCACGUCCCCAUUGAAGCCCGCGCUAAAAGCCCCACGACCGGAUUAAGGGUAGGGGAGAGGUUAAGACGAACCACUGGCGGAGGAGGAGGGGGGAAAGACGAACCACGAGCGAGUGAAGCUGCUGCCAAGGAAAAGGAAAGGGGGAGGGGGGACGGGGAAAGAGCUCCCCUCCCCCCUGGAGCCUACUCGGAUGACACUUUCCCCGGGAACUGGUCAACAACUGGGCCCCUGCUGCUGCUGCUGCUGGCCGCCACUCCGCCUCCAUAUGUGGCGGGGGAGACGAGGGUUAAAUGUGAUUUGCUCCAUUCUGGAUCAAUUGAUGACACUGGACAAAAAGCCUUUAAUAGGCCUCUACCUCAUCCUUCCUCCCCUAAAUGAACAUGCUUAAAACAUGCUUAGCGCAAAAGUGUGCGAAAGUAGUUGGCGAUUGUGUGGUUUCGUGACACGUGUGGGAGCCCCAGGGAGCCUGUUCCCUUCAAAGGAGACACACGAGCCACUCACCGGCGUUCUUCAUCUUGCGCCGCCUGGCCGGCCUGCUGGGUCAGGAAGAAAGUAGAGCCCUCGCCAACUCCGACGGCAUCGUCGCCGGCGCCGCCACCGCCGCCGGUUGCGCCGUGGAUGAUCCGCCGCGCCGCCGGCGGCAGCGGCACAAGCUGACGCCGUACCGGCGGCGGCUGGCCGAAGGCGCGAUGCGGGUCGGAGAUCUCCUCCUCCGCCUCUCGCCGAUUGACAAAGGCGCCGACGGAGGCGCGAGCGCGCGCUGCUCGUACAUUUGCUGACGUCAGCACUGCCGCUGGGAAGGCUGCCUCCGCUCGGUCGCUGACGGUGAAGCGCAUCACGGACUUCUGUUUGUUGACCGUGUCCUCCGCCUCGCGUGUUGCCGCACGGAUAGCCGCCUCCGCCGGUGAUAGAUGCGAAUCGGCGUCGGCGCUGCUGCCGUACCCCGGCAAGCUAUCCGAGUCGUAGCCGGCGGCGGAGCCCGGCGAGCCCGGGCGGGCAUCGCCGCCGCCGCCAGCGGCGGCGGCGGGGUUGCCGCUGCUGCCGCCUCGUCGGCGGCGGCUGCCGCCGCCGCCGCCGAUGCCGGCACCGCCACCGGCCUGCUGCUGUGCGCCCGCCGCCGCCGCAGCGGCGGCGGACUGUUGUUGUUGGGAGGACUGUUUGGAAUUCUUCCGCCGGGGCCUGAUGUGUGUGCAUGUAUGUAUGUAUGUAUGUAUGUGUCAGGGAAAGGGCCGGCAGCGUUGACGUCACAACUCAUGACCAUCACCUUCCCGAGGGGGGAACCCCACGGCGCUUUCAUUUGGGGGCAUUUGCACUUGGAGCCGGGCCGGGUGAAAGCCUCGUGUACAUAUUAUCUUGUGCGGAAUCAAACGUGCGCACGAUACACACCACCAUGGGCGGCACAUGUAAACACACAUACACGAUAGAGAAAACGCAUAAUCUAGAAGACCAUACGGGCAUAGACGCACAUACAUACAUACAUACAUACAUACAUACAUACAUACAUACAUACAUACAUACAUACAUACAUACAUACCCGCGCUGUCCGUCGCGACUGCCCAUCUUAUCCCGGUUCAGAUCCGGCAGGGUCUUCUCGAGCUGCAUGGUGUUGUGUGGCGGUUGGGGGGGAAGGUGCAUGGGAGCAUGAGACAGGACUUUGAAAUCGAGAUGCGGGAAGCGGUCCUACCAUACCCGAACACAUCCUUGGGAAUGCGGCAUUUUGUGAAGUCGGCGGGGUUGGGAAGGGUUGGUUUACUGGGGCCCGUGGAGCUCUGGACAGCCGGACUGGACAUGGAGCCGGUCUGGACAGCCGGACUGGACAUGAAAAAAGCGAUUUGUGGAUAGGAAAGCGCGGCGGUGUGCAUAGGGCCCGGAAAUGAAAAAAAACGAAGGACGCAGCGCUUGGGAAGAGACAACCCGGACAACAAACCACCCUCCCCCCCAAAACAGACGAAGACACAUCCGUUGGAGCAGCUGGGCAGCAGUCCCUGGCCACCAGUGUCAGGCCCGGUCAGGUACUUGUAACCUUCGCGCACGUACACACAUACAUACUUGCGCUCUGGACGUGAUCUCUUACAACACUUCCACAGGUAUGCACACGCGGGGGGAGAGGUAAGGUGAGGUAAGGUGAGGCCCGUAAUUUCCCUACCCCCGCCACAGCCCGGGAAUACGACGACUACACGCUUGGUACGGCACCCAGCUUGUUCAGAGCUGCUGUGGCUAUCUUCAGGCCUGGUGCCGUCGGGUUCCGGUAUCAGAUCCGGUCGGUACGGCGAUUACGUGAUUGAGUCCCUGGUACGGUGAUCCGGUCGGUACGGCGAUUAUGUAAAAAAAACAGGCUGAGCCACCCCGCUGAGUCCUCCCUUUUCCGGGUCAAGAAAUCCACCAGACCGGGUCUAUCAAUGAUCCGGUGACUUUUUUUUUGUUUGUGUUGUCAGCUCAGGUGGUGUAUGAGGCGCUCUACAGGAGCGUGAUUUUUAAAAUGGUUCAUCCUCCACGUCCGCCUCAACGGCUGCAAACACGAGCUCUCCAUCGGAAGCCAUACAUUCCCCCACAUGGAGACGAUGCUGGCCGGGUUUGGUACUUAGGGUUACAUUUGUCCGAGCAGACAAAGUCCGCAAAUCGGGGGCUGCGGGUUUUUUCGCUUUGGGUCUGGCCGGUCACGCCAUGGCAUGCAGCCACCGGGGUGACUGACAGUUGGGGUAGUUCACGUGCUCUCAGCGCUUACCUCCUUAGGCUCUCCAAGCGGGACGUAAGGAGCGCCGAAGGACGCCCAGACGCCCUGUCUGGCCUUCUCCUCCUUAAUGGCCGUGUUCUUAAUUAGCUCGAACAUGCGCGCCUGGCCCUCGUACUCAAUCGAUUUGGGGUCCGCAAAUGGCUGUGGCAUACCCGUGUCCUCUACGACAGCGUAGCCCUUGCCAAAUUUCUUCGCUCUGACGCUGCCGGGAGUGCGAAACUCCUUAAAGAGAGGGUUCGCGUGCAGCGCCUGACACUCACGCUGCUGUUCGCGAAGCAUCUUUCGAAUGACCUCCGUAUUUUGAGGCUUGUAAGCGGCGAUUCCCUUGGGCCCGUCCUCCACAUUCGACUGGAGGAACUGCACUCCACCGCCAGCGGCCAUUGUUGUUUAUCCUCAGAAGCGAAUAGAUAUUUAUAUAGCAAUGCGCUGCAGUAGUUUCACAGACGCUGAGGAGGCAAAGCAACUCUAAUUAUACUUGGGGCGUCCAAAGGCCUGGAAAUCCUAGUUUUGUGAAUAUGGAGGUAUGUUGUUAAAAUGAUACCCAUUUGCAUCCCUGUAAUGGGUUCAACUAUCGACAAGAAACAUAGGUUUAACGGAGCCGUCAUAAAGACGCAAAGGUGUAUUGCAUCCGCUGGUAUAAUUAUGUCGAUGCCAUAAUGAAUGUAUUGGGUUGAGGUUGGGUCUUGGAUUGGCUCUCACUCCAUGUAACUGUACAAUGUUCGUUGCGCUAACCAGACAGCACAAACCAAGUGCAUUCUCUUAAGGAAAAGAUAACAAUAUAUGCUAUUGCUAUUCCUGCAUUCCGCCGUGCUUGGCUUUGCACUUGGUGUUGUGCGAUCGCGUUUAUAGUGCUGGCCUAACGCUGCCCCUCGGUGCUUUCGGUAAUGCAGACGAUCGUUACCUAGGUAUUCAUUGAACUUUGUCACCUAGCUGUGGCAGGCAUUGAGGCGGGAAUCGUAGUUAUGGCGGCAAGCCAGCUGCUCGCUGCGCUGAAUGCGCUGUAUCACCAUGACGACCCUAAGGUGAAAGAUGAAGCUGAUCGGUGGCUUGAGCAAUGGCAACAGAGCUUGGAGGCAUGGUCUGUGGCGGACGGAGUCCUGCAUGACCCCAACAGCAGUAUGGAGGCGCAAUACUUCUGCGCCCAGACGUUGCGCACGAAGGUGUGCAAAUUAUUUAUCGCUGAAAAUAAUCAUGAUAAUGGAACGACUGGUUGAACGCACUCGGCUGCGCAAUUGACAUAGCUCCCCCGCUCGCUUUAGCCCGUUUCAUCACAAACCCCGCACACCUCAUGCUUUUAUGCAUGUAUCGCUUUAGAACGUCUGGGGGAGCACUCUUUGGUGCUUCUUAUCUUGCCCUAGCACCGUGCGCCGUUAGGCGGCCGCUGAACAGCCAUGUACCACAGCCUCGAUCCCAACCUGGGGUUGUGCCAAAGCGCUCACAGAGUUCAUCUAGGUCCUUCCCACAACCCAGUCUUGCACCGUGCGCUGCCGCAUCUUGCUUUGCCCAACAUGUUUUUGAGUCCGCCCCACCCCUACCAGGCUUCCAACUGUACCCACAUCACCCUACCUUGAUCACGUCCCCCCUCAGCAUCAUUUUACAAACACGGCUUGCUCCCCAACCAAUCCCGUUGCUUAUGGCACGUCCCAGUCCCUGCGCCGCGAUGGCUUCUUUACGGUGUAUCACCUUGGACGUAUUGUCGUAUUGCCGUACGCAGGUGCAGCGCGAUUUCGAGGAGCUCCCGUCGGAUGCAGUGGACAGUCUUCGAGACAGUCUCCUGCAGCUGCUCAUCCGUUUCAGCAAGUGAGCUAUGUGCGAGGGUGUCGGCCCAGGGAGGGAUGACCAGGGGUGCAAAGAUUUCCAUGCCCUGGGCUUGCAAGUAUACACCCUCCACAGCAUGGGCGCCUUAGGCCGCAACUCCAAUUCAUCGCAGGACUUUUUCAUGUUAGCGCCUCUGCUGCUGCUGCUGCUGCUGCUGUUGUGGCCAUUUGGGUCAGCACCUGUUCGAUAAGCCCGCCCAUUUCCUGGCUGCAGGUAUCAUAACAGCUUGGACUCUUACCUUUCUUUGACUGGCCUUACACAACUGUAACUACCUCCUCCCACGCUUCUGCACACAUUUCAAGACAAACCUCACAAUUGCCUGCGUUCACGCACUCAUCUUGCCACCCGUCAACCCCAACGACCUCCCUGCCACAUCGCGCCUUCCAUCCCCAUGACUGUCGGGCUGCAGGGGCGCCCCACCCGUGCGCACGCAGCUGUGCCUUGCCCUGGCCGCUCUGGCGGUGCACGUGCCAGCGGCGCGCUGGGGUGAGGGCGGCGUGGUCCGCUGGUUUGCAAUCAAGUUCUCCACACUUCCCUCGGACCGGGCGCUUCCUUGCAUGCUGGAGCUGCUGACGGUGCUGCCGCAGGUAAGGCUGCAAGACCCUGUAUCGAACAUAUAUCUACAGGCAGCUUGUGCAUUGUUGUCUUGGUAUGCACCGGUUUCUUCAAGCGGUGCUGCUGGCACGAAGGGCGCCGGGACGGCGUUGGAAGGCUGCUGGCGCUGGCAGCUGGCCCGAAGGCCCACAGAUGCAAAGCAAAACCCAAAUGCCGUGGCGACCCAGAUGGAACGCAACAACAAGCAGAUUGAGAACACGACUGUUUCCCCUCUUUAUUUGCUCUGCAAACGACCUGCAAACAAAUGAUAAGGAAGCUCUGAAUGGCGCAAAGGAAAACGACCCAAAUGAAAGAGGUCAGCUAGGAAGCAAGGAGUGAGCUGUCUUCUUUCUUCUUCAAGAAGGGGCCCCCUUUCCCCCCACAUCUGGGUCCCGCGGCCUUUCCGUCCACCACCGCUCGCACAGGAGGCCCACAGCUACAAAAUCGCGGUGCGGCCCGAACGACGGAGAGCAUUUUCUAUGGAGCUCCAAGCUAACACGGGGGCGGCCUUUGAGAUUCUCACCAGGUGAGAUUCUGACCAUGGUGGGUGGGUGCAAGGGGGUACUUCCAGGUUACGUUGGCCGAUUCGGGCGAGGUGGGUGGGUGAGUGGGUGGGCGGCGGGGGGUUCAGGGGCGCCCGGCUAGCUGGAGGAGCUCCGGCGAGGGAGUUUUUUGCGGUAUAUGGUAAAUAGCUUGCACCGCGCGCAGGAGACGGGGUGCCUGCGUUGUAUCUCCGGGGUUGGGAGAUCUUCGGACAGGACGUGGCAGGAGGGCAGGGAGCCAGGGCGAGUAGUGGCGUGGGGGGAAAUGCAAGGAUUGUAGGUUGUGAUGUGCAGGUGGUAGGUAGGAGUUUUGAACGCGCAAUGGGAGCGCCGGGAGAGGGAUAAUAUGGGAAAUUUGGCGGCUGCGAAAAGCGCCGCCUGCUCUGCCACGCCAUAGCGCUGAAACCUGCUCAGUAUGUAUCCCCGACUUCCCAGUCCCAGUCCCAACGAGCAACCGUCCCGCCCCGCUCCGCAGUUGCGUCUCUCAGCCCGGGGAGCGCACUCGCACGCAGGUCCUGGAGGCGUUCGGGUCGUGGCUGAAACUGAACGAGGGCCGCCCGCUGCCCACUAUUGCCGCCGCUGCGGCUGCGGCCGGGGGUGCGGCCGGCGGCGGCGAGGACGCGGCGGCCGUGCUGGCUCGCCACCCCUUGGUGGCUGCUUCCCUGGAGGGGCUGCAGACCACUGGGGAGACGUUCCAUGCGGCUGUGGACUCGGUGGGUGAGGGGUUAGGGCUGUUGAGGACCCGGUGCGAGGUACGAGUAUUAGCGGUCGCGGUUCCAGAGUGGCGUUGGGGAAAGGGGAGGAAGGAGGGGUGGUAAAGGGGAGGGCUUGUGUGAGUUCGACAGUGGUGGUCGAAUAGGAAAAUGGAGGCGUUUUAGUGUAGCUGUCCCGGGCGCGAAAGGGCGCGCGUCUCCAUUUUCCCAUCCACCCCCCAACGGGCUUCACCCCUCGUUGACCACCAAUUUAUACACCAAAACGAAAAAUGAACAACGUUAAGCCGCUUCCAGACCUGAGCGACCCAAAUCGACCCAACGGGAGCCCCUAAUUCUGUUCGAUUGCUCGUUAAUUAACCAACAACCUAACCGACGCAACCAACAGAUCUGUGAGGUCAUCUGGACGACAGUAGAUUUCAACGUCCAGAGCGCCGGGGCGCCGGGGGACACCAGCGGCGGCAGCCCCGGCGGUGGCGGUGGCGGCGGGCCACCCGCCCUAGCGCAGGCUGCGCUGCCGCUGGUCCAAGCCAUCGUGCCCGCGAUCAUGGGGCUCAGGGGCCGGUUCGCCGUGGCAUCCGGGCGCGGCGGUGCGGGUGCGGCCCAGGGCGAGUUUGACGAUGAUGAGGACACCGCCAAGGGCAUGGCCCGUCUGUUCUGCGAGGUCGGGGAGGCCUACCUGUCACUCAUCAUCUCGGCGGUGGCGGAGGUGAGGAGGGUGUGUGAUGGGGCCUUCCACCCGGUGGGGGUCUUAGGGGACUGCGUGCUUUGGUUUCGGAGGUAUUACUGCCGGGAAGUGGCGCACGGGAGGGGGGGGUAUAGAAGACAUCAAGGAAGGGGAGUCGGUGGGGGAUUUUUUGAAAACCGUUGUGGAAUGUGGAAAGGCGGGGGACCGGCCCCGGUCGACCGCCGUGUGCUCUUCCCGUGAAGCAUGUGUGUAUGCAUGUAUGUAUGUAUGUAUGUCCCCCAUUCCCGUUCCCGCACCCGCGCAGAUAGACCGAUGUGUCGCGGGAGUUCACACAGGUUAAGCCCACCUGUCGAGGCCCCCGCACCCCGCUGCUCCCCAACCGCUGCUCCCCAACCGCUGCAAUCAUCGAUCUUACGAGUGAUAUAUGAUCAUUCUCUCUCUUUUUCCCGUGUUUCAUAUUUGGGUGUCUCGCCAUCGCACGAUUCUCUGCCGGCCGCGACCCCAGGUUCGAGCCCCGGUGGAGGCGCUUUUGGAAGUGGCUGCUUACCCGGACUUCGGCAUCUGCUCAAUGAGCUUCAACUUUUGGCACAGGUAUAAAACCCAGCCCCGGCACGAGGCCGCAAGCCCCGCGGGUUGAUGAGCUGCUGUAAAGCGAAAGCGGGAAAGGAUAGCAAUUACGCCGCAUUUGGUGUUCCCCAUCGUCCACGUCUUCCUUUGCCCCGGCACUCUUCUUUGCCUUCAAAUUUUCCUUCUCCGAAACCUGAAACCCCCUUAAAACCCCUUCCAAUUCCGCCCCAGGCUCUCCCGGCAGCUGCUUACCGGUAUCUCCGCCACCUCAUCCGGCGGCACCGGCGGCAGCGGCAGCAGCAGCGGCAAUAGCGCAGUGGAUGCUGCGGAGCGAGAGCGGCGGCGGCAGUUCUUCCUGCCGGCCUUUGAGAGGCUGGUGCAGCUCAUCCGGGGCAGGGUCAGGUGGGACGAUGCUGGAUGUGUGUAAGGGGGGGGCCCGGGGGCUUAUGCAACUAGCAGAAAAGAAUAUGGUGGGAUGGGGAAGGCACGGGAAGGGAUCCUGGAACGGUGCGUAUGUAUGUAUGUAUGUUGGGGAGCUGCUGUGGGACGCGAUGGGAGAGGCCGGUGGGGGGUGGAGAGCAGCAUUGGGUGAGGAAAGAGGGCGCAUGGUUGCUUGAUGGUGGGUGUGUGCGGGUGAAGGGCGGGCUCUUCGGCGCGGGACGUCGACAGUUUCUUCUUCUUCCACUAACCGAUCCACUCCAGUCCAGCAGUCAUUUCCCUGUGUCUCCCAAUAGACCUCCUAGAUCCUCCGCGUGUUCCCGCCAUCGCGACCAUGCCGUACAGGGAGCCCGAGUCGUACAGCAGCUGGUCCAAGGACGAAAAGCACGAGUUCCGAUCUGCACGUGACGAGGUAGAGGCCGGGGGGGUUGGGUGAGGGUUGGGGGGCGGUGGGGUGGGGUGGGGUUAGCUAUGAGAGACACCCCCCUUGGGUAGGUACGCACAGCAAAACCUUCCCGUACGGCAGCUUCUUACGUACAGCUUCUUACAUCCUCAAUGUGCGCCUGAGCUGGUCUGUGCACGUCUCCCCGCCUGUAUGUUGUAUUUGCAUUCGGGGCUAUUAAUACCUUGACCACGGAAAUCGAAUUGUCCCCAUCAUUUGUGUGAAAUCGAUCGUGAAUUUGAACGCCCCGUAGGUUGGUGAUACGCUAGAGGAUUCGGCUGCGGUGCUGGGAUUCGGACGCUGUCUGGCGCUGCUAGUUGAGCCUCUGGCGGCGCUGAGCCAGCAGCAGCAGCAGCAACAGCAGCAAGGAGGAGACGCGGGGGCAGCCGGCGGCGCCGGGGCCGGCGCGGCCGGCGGAGGCGGAGGCAAUCGUGGGUUCGACUGGCGCACGGCGGAGGCGGCUUUGUUCUGCAUCAAGUACGGCGUACGGGACGGACGCAAGGGGCCGCGGCGCGUGGUGCGCGUGGCAUUGAAAUUUGCUGAUGAAAACUUAUUGGGGUGGUGAUGGUGGCAGGGUUUAGUUCCGGUUAUUGAUGGUGAUGGUUAAGAUGAUGCUCAAGAUGGCUGGGCCGCCUUUUCUCUCCGCGGUGGCGUGGUUUGAAGAUUUGGGUUGUUAGCACGUAUUUGUUUUUCAUCACGUAUUCCUUCCGACCUCCCCCCUUUUGGCAGUCACUGGUCAGUUCUGCUUCUUCUACACUCUUUCCUUGGCAGCAACUUCACUCGUUCACGUGGCUCGUCUUUCCCCCCGGGCCCCCGGUGGCACUUGCUAGCCCGCUCCCCUCCCGCUCAGCCAGACCAUGUCCCGACUAAAAACGAUGUUUGCUUGAACCUCUUAGGGUUCCGAAACCCCAACCCUGCACCUGCACCAAUAGACGCACACUCCUGCUGCUGCUGCUGCUGCCGCCGCAGGUCCAUUCAUCGCCACGCGACCAGCCCCGGGGACCCCUCCCUGCAGCAGCUCCUGGAGGCCCUCCCUGGACUGCCCCGCGACUUCCCCCAGCUUCAGGCCACGGUGUGCAGUACGAUAGCCCGGUAUGCCCGGUGGCUGGAGAGGUCCAUGCAGGUGUGUAUGUAUGUAUGUAUGUAUGUAUGUAUGUAUGUAUGUAUGUAUGUAUGUAUGUAUGUAUGUAUGUAUGUAUGUAUGUAUGUAUGUAUGUAUGUAUGUAUGUAUGUAUGUAUGUAUGUAUGUAUGUAUGUGACUUAGGUUACACCGUGGGCCGCGAGAGCCAGGGGCCGAAGCCGAAACACAGCGCAAGGGUCGGGAGCACACAGGGGUUAAGACGAACCACUGGUGAAUGAAGCCAGAGAUACCAGCGAUAGUCAGAUAGUGCAGGAGAAGACAAGUGAUGGGGAGCAGGGGCAAACUGGGUCUGGGUUCCGCUCUGGGCUGAUGACGAAGAGUGGGAAGAGCGCGGCAUUGCAUGGCAUGGCACGUGUGAAGGAGUACAGGGUGUCAGUUGCGCCAGACGUCCAGAGCGCCAGUGUGCUGCUGGGAGUGCAAAGCGGGAGGGGGCAGGGUGGUAGACCUAGGAGGACGUGUGCAGGAUUGGGGGUUCUUGGCGGCUUCUGAGGCCAUCACUUGCACUGCUUAGCGUAACCGUGUUUUCAUAGACUCCCCCCCGAGGUGGGGAACCUCCCUUUCAUCCCACCCCCCCCCCACACACACACACAUGCAUGCGUGCAUGCACCUUCCGAUGUCUCGCGCUGCAGGCCGGCUACUGCCAACCGUUGCUACAGCGACUGCUUGGCCUGGCUGUAGCAGACCUGGAGCUGCCGGGGGGGUACUGCCAGGCCGCUGCUGCGUCGGCUGUACGGCAUCUGUGUGAGGAGUGCGGCGCCUUCAUGGGGUCUUGUUUGCAGGUAAGACCACCACUGGUUUCGGAGACACGGAGAUUCGUUGCAGGCUGUCCUAGUAAAAAUUGCAACCUGGUUGCGAUCCUCCCGACAUCGUAGCUGGUAGCAGAGCGCCGUUCCCUGUGUUGUGUCUCCGUGCUGCAUUUCCCUCCGUACGACAGGACCUUCUAGGGCUGUACAACAAGGUCUUAUCCAUGGGAGCCGCCGCCAGGGCGCCUGCCGGGGCGAAUGGAGUGGCGGCGGCCGGGGCUGGCCAGUCGAUGCUGCUGGUAAGCGGGAGAGAGGGGCGGGAGCCAGGGAGGGGAGUUGCUGGGGCUGGAGGGAGGGAGGGAGGGAGGGAGGGAGGGCGCGGGGAGAUUGGUGAACGGGGCGUGCGGCGGGAGAGCAGAGCGAGAGAGUGAGAGAGGUUUGAAAACGGGAAGGGAGGAGGGUUUGGGAGAGAGUUUGAGAGAAAGAGAAGCGCAUCUGAAAGCCCCACGGCCCUUCGCGCAGGAGGAGGACGUGGAGUCCAUCAUCGCGGCGGUGUGUCAGGCCGUGUCGCAGGCGGCAGCGCCCGAGCAGCGCUCUCAAGCGGGAGGUGCGCUGCUGAUGCCCGUACUGCAGCAACUGCAGGACGCGCUGGCGGCGCUGGGGCCCCCUCCGCCGCCGCCGCCGCCACCGCCGCCGGCGGCAGCGGGGGGGGCCUCGGGCGCACCGGUUCCUCCCCCGGCGCCUCCCCCCGUGGCUACCGCCCAUCCGCACCUCAACCCGUUGGUUGACCGGCUGGCGGAAGUGUUUGGUCGUACAGCGGAUAGCGAUGUGGUGGCGCAAAUGCUGAGUGAGUGAAGGGGGGGCCCCCGUUUGUGAAGGGGGGACGUUUUUUUAAUAGUAGUUGGAUUACUCAUUGAAGCCAUACCCCUGUUGAGCAAGUCUUCCAGGUGGGCUGGGGAAGGGGGACGUUUUUAUGGGUAAGGGCACGUUUUCUCACAGUACCCCCUGUGCCUCCGAAACCGUGCUCAGCCCGGGUCAGUCGGCUUCCCGACACAGCUCCUUAACGGCAGCUUGCGGUUCCUCCCCUCUCAACCCUGACAUCUCAAUUGGAUUCGCCUGGUGGUCCAUCCACUGGUGCCUUCUCCAUGACGCUUCAUCACUCUUACCUCCUACCUUUUCCUAAGGCUAAGGCUUUCCGCUUAUCCGUCACACACACAUACACACAAACACACAUCCCCCGUGCACUUCUCCGUAUCCCUCUGUAUCCCCCCGCCGUACAUGUCCCCCCGCCGUACAUAUCCCGCUGGGUUCGCAGUGACCUCCUGGCCGGUGCUAGACGCCCUCAUGGUUCGCUGCGCCGGCUGCUCCAAAACAAUAGAGCAUGUGCUCCGUACACUUCGGUACGGCAUCAAGGGCGCCGGACGCUCCGCCGCGCAGCUGCUCCCCACGCUGCUCGAGGUGCUGCCAUCCCGGUUCACAGCGACCCGCCACUCGGCAUUUCUGUAAGUCGGGGUGGGGGACGGUGCGCCGCGGUGACGGAGAGGGUUGUGCGCACGGGUAAUCCGGCGGAUGAGGCCGUUUAGAAGCACCGUGUGGGUUUCGGAGGCACCUGACGUGUGGGUUUCGGAGGUUGGGGAUUCGGUGACGUGCCGGGGUUGGCGUCGGCACGUAUCACUCUCGCAUACCAACUCUCAUUCCCCCCAGGGGCAAGGUUUCGGUGACUACUGGCAAAGUGAAUCAAUGGCUGCUUGGGACAUCGUCAAAAUGUUUUGUCGUUUCUGCAGCUUUGAACCCACCCACCCCAUGCGUCACGUUCGUAACCCUAGGCCCCUUUCUUAGUCCAUACGGUACGACGAACCCAUCCAGGAACCACAUGUCCAAAAAUGCUCCUUUUGAAUCCCCUUCCUCCUGCUGACGUUAUAAGUCACGCGCUUCCCGUGCAAUCGUUCUCCUUCCCUUAACACUUCUCCUCCGGGCUCCCCCUACCCCCCUCCCCCCACACCGCACACACAGCUUCAUCGUUUCUGAGCUGGUAAAGUUCUUCGGUGAUGACACGUCUAAGGACAGCACCCUGGCGCUCAUUUUGGCGGGACUUAUUACGGAGGCGGGCAGGUAGGGUGGAUGGUGCGGCUGGGGGAUGGUGGUCGUGGUGGUGGUGGUGGUGGUGGUGGUGGGGUGCUAGGAAGGAUGGAUUUCCUCCCCUCCAUGCACAUACAUACAUACACAUACAGAUGCAUGCAUGCAUGCAUUCAUAUACAUUCAUGUAUACAUUCACAUAUAUACAUACAUACAUAUAUUCAUAUAUACAUUCACAGAUUCAUUCAUACAUACAUACAUACACCUUAUGGCAGGCGGCUGGCAGAAGUUAAGGCCUGACUUCUGCUCCCAGUCGAUCCAGUCGACCCGGGUUCAAAUCCGCCUGCCAGCUCCUCGGGUGAUUGAGGAGUGAUGAAAUGGGAGGUGGCCCCCCAUCAUAUGGACGGUGUAGGACGUGAUAAUAUCAACUUGCGAGCUGACCAGGAACUAAGUUGAUGCGCCGUUGAUCCGCUAGAUUUGGUUUGAUGCUGGUGGUGAGUUGCCGAACCCAACGAAUACAUUCUGAAGUCGGAUGGGGUGACGGAUUAGGGUGCCCCUCUAGCAGGGGAGAGCAGGGACUGCCCCGGGAAAGGGGGCCGCUGGCGAAGUUAACCACCCUGUAACAACAUACAUACACCUCGUGCGAACUCCGGGGUUUCUUGUGGCCUACUUCCUGUACCAUGAGACCUCCCGCCUCACGUGCCCCCUCCCCCUGCAGGCCCCUGACCAGCUUGGCCGCCCUCACCUCCGCACCCGACAUGGUGGACGACUUGUUCCUGCUGGGGCUGAGGGCGCUGGGCUACGCGCCGCGGCUGCUGUUGGCGCCCCCCGGGCCUCCCGGGGCGGACUGCCGCGCGCUGGUCACAUUGCUGGACGUGGCAAUGGUGCGUGUGUGUAUGUAUGUAUGUGUGUAUGUGUGCAUGCCUUGAAAUGAUUCGAGCCGCAAAAAACAAGUGAUAGGUGAGAAGUGGUACAAGAGUAAGAACGUUAACGUUGAUGUGUGUUGGGUGGGGGUCGGGAAGGGGAAGGCAGAGGCUAUUAAGACGCGCAUGAUGGGGAGAACGGCCUAGGGGGAAAGGAGGGGGCUCAGCACGUGGUGGCGAUGAAGGACCGGCAACGUACUGGGGUUUGCGGAGAGGAGGAGGAGCCGGCAGGUAAGGAGGAACCUCAGGCACCCUAUGGCGCUAGGAAAUCCUAGACCCCCUAAAUUUGUCUUCGUUGCGGAGUGCUGGGUGCUAGUAGAGUAAUGACUCCUUCCUUACACCCUCUUCAUCCCCUACCUACUCGCGCCGUCGCCGAUGCCGGCGCCCUUCGUUCCCUAUACGUGGCUCUCUCUCUCCUCCAACAUGCAGAUUGGCUGCGUGAUGCAGCACCGGGAGGCCAACGGCUCCGUGCUGGGGUUCAUCGCUCGCCUCACGUCACCCACCACCCUCGCUCGCUGUCCGUCCACCGCCGCCGACGUGCUCGGGGCUCACCUGCUGCCCCGCGCGCCUAUCUUUGUCCGGCUGCUGCUGUCGGGUAUCUCUGGCACGCUGCCGCUGGGUCGCGUGUCGGUGGUGGGGGCGGCGCUGAUCGGUGUGGUGGGGUUUGGGGCGACGAGGGCGGCCAGCGGGGGCGGGGGCGGGGGCUCGGUGGAUGUGGGAUCGAGCCAGGGAAUGGGGUGGUUGGCGGCGGCGUUGCAGGCGGUGCCGGACGUGGCGGCGACGUCGAGCGACAAGCAGGUGUGUGUAUGUGUGUGUAUGUAUGUGUGUGUAUGUAUGUGUGUGUAUGUAUGUGUGUAUGUAUGUGUGUAUGUGUGUGUCGGAGCGCCUGGGCGUGUGUCUCUCUGAACGUGUUUCUUACUAAUCCGUGGCUAACCCGUGGUCUGCAUGCGAUGCGUGCUCUGGGUGUGCGCGUACGUGGUGUAUGUCCCUGCUUUCCCUCGUAUCUCGGACAUGCUGUGGAAGAACCCGAAACGUGCGCUCCUUUGCGUGUUCUUUGUGGCAGUGUAUAUAUGUCUGUCCUUUACACAGCUUACAGAACCACGUCUUGUGUGUGUGACGGGAAGCAGCCCCAACGACCCCAAACUGUCCCAACCCACUUCAACGAAUACCGUUGCUACAACUGCUGUGCACGCCAAAGCUUUCGCGAUAAACUCCAACCGACCCGACCCUAGUCAUAACCGACCGACUCUUAACUGCUAACCAAGCAACCCCAACCGCGCACACAGGCCUUCCUGGGUGCCGCCACUGCGGCUCUGCGUGCUGGUCCCCGGUCGGGGCCCAACCCCGAGGACAGCGACAUGAUGGCCAACGGAGACGGAGGUGAGCGGCUCGGGGCGGACGGCGGGGUGGAGGUUGUAGGGUGGGAUCCCUUCCUGGAUGGGUUUGAAAAGACCACAGUGACCCACGGGACUGCUCCAUGAACCCGUGUGAACUCUGGGUUCCGCCAAUGGGCAAGUGCCCUAGUGCGCACGGUACAUGAGAAGCGGGGGCCCGGAUAUUGCGCGCAUCUGCCUAUGCAGUUACGGGGGGGGGGAAAAGGGAAGACGACGAUAGGAAUACUACAAGUAAUACGGCCCCUUUACGUAGAAGCACCCCGUCUCCUUACGUAAAAACAUGGCCGAUCCUGCUGGUCGUGCUGCUGCUGCUCCUGCUGCUGCUCCUGCUGCUGCCAAUGCACAUUUUGGUCCUCCACCUCCCGGUUGCUGUAGCAGGCAGUGGCGGUUAUUACGACAGCGGGUGGGAGGCCGCCUGCCAGGAGUUUGCUGACCUGUGCCGCCGCAACAAGAGGGCACGGCAGGCGGCCCAGGCGGCGUUGCUGCCCCAGGAGCUGGCGGCGGCGGUGGACCUAGGGGAGCGGCGCCGGGGGGGCUGAGCGGGGCUCGGAUUCGACGGGUUGGGGAGAGGGGGAGGGUCGGGUUUGUGUUUCGGGUGUUGAGUUCACCUUAAGGAGCAUCGUGCUUGGGUGGAGAGGGAAAGACUUGUUGCUGGCAGGGCUUUUUUAAGGCGCCAGCGGAUGGGGGCGUGGGGAGAUGUGGGAGGUGGGUUGAGUGGGCGCGGUGCCACUGUGGUGAGGUGGUUUAGAUUAUUCGACUUUGUAGUGUGUGGGGGGUGCGGUGGAGGUGGAGAUGAUAUGGGGGGCCCAAGGGAGUGCCAGAGUGUGUGUGUGUAUGUGUGCAGCGGACGUGGAGAGUUUGGGAGCAGGCGGGUUCCGAGGAAACGACACGUGAACGCAGACCUUACGGCGGAGAAAGUGGAGAGGAGGCAUGGAACGGACGAACAGACGUAUGGACAAAACAGGCAACGUGGUUAUACCUUGCAGCAUCAGCAGUAGCAGCACCAGCACCAGCACCACCAUCAGCAGCAGUAGUGUUUCGUCUGCUGCUACCACUGCGCUGCUGCUACCAGCAUUCAUUGGCCUGGAGGGAAUUCCUUCGCGGUCGAGGGCGAAAGGGUCUCAUGGCCGCAUGGGCCUCGGAUUGGGAGGCACCAGAUUUCUGCUGCUGCUCUGCUGGGGGGGACUUCGUAGGGGAGACCGGGGCGCGGAGGCGGCGUCGUGUCCCAUAGCGCGGGGUAGACACGGUUGUUGAGGGCCAGACGACCGGGCCCCGCUUAUGGGUGCUGUGCAUGGAGGGAGGUGCGCGUGCAAAUAAGAAUGGAUGGAUGGAUGGAUAGGGGGAGUGUGGGCGCGCACUCCACGAAGGGCAAUGAUGUUGCCGCAGUCGGCGGCAGUAGCAGCAGCAGUAGCAAUAUGGAAAGGUCAAUGCAGACCAUGGAAGGCGCCGUCGCAUGGGUGGGGGCGGAGCUAGGGGAGAAGGAGCGGGGUUCGGUACAUCGUGUCGUCAUCGUCAUCGUCGUUAAGAUUGUGGUGGUGGGCAGAGGCGGCGGUGGGCGCUGGAUCAGGAAACGUGUAUACGUCCCGGGAGGCCCCCCUGCUAGAUAAGAAACUGCAGCUCCAGAUUGGAUGGCAAGGCACUGCUCGGCAGCUCGUAAAGGGAGUCAGGAUGUGUUGCUCAACUGCCGCCCUGAUGUGUAUGUGCCUCCCUCUCUGCAGAUGUCAUCGUUUAUUUUUGCAGCCUGCCGUCCGUCUUUGCGCUGCUGCUGGUAGCAAGGUACCGAGCCAGCUGCCAUUCGCCUGCAGUCCUACAAUUCUGUGCGCGCGCUUUUUUGUGUUGCUGCAGAGCGGCUGCCGGAGCUCCUACCUGUCCUGUGUUGUCCUUUCUGUGGCCGCCGCGAGGGUCAACCCUCAGAAACUGUCGAUGCGCGGUAACCGUUACCGUUAUGGUGACCGUUAGGGACCGUUGCGCCUGAGUAACGGCCAGCAGCCAGAUGUGUGUGGUGUCGAAAUUGCAGACAGAAUUCUUCACGUAGUAGCACAAACGCCCGUACAGUCUCCCUCCGCUAUUCCAUGUCGCUGCAAGCAAAGCUUCAUGCAUGCCUCGAUUACGUGCGAUACCGCUCACAUCUGCAUGCCCCAAUGCUGUGCACUGCUCGACGGUAGCCCCAACGCUGUGCACCUUGCCACGUCUCCCUGCCGCGGUGACCUGGCCAGCUAGAACUCUUAACCAAUGAUUCAUACAGCUAUUUCAAACGUACUGCAUUCUCCUCCUCCAGCUCGUUCUGCUGCUUAAGGAAGUAAUCCUACCCUGGAAAGCCCCUCCGCCGUGGAGGUGAAGGGCGCCGCAGACGCCACAGCACCUGGCCUGGAAAGUUUCCAUAACCCGGAACCCAAUCCGCUCACAACCCACCUGUAGUGCUUACACUACUAUUGAGGCUACAGAAUGUGUGCCGUUGUGAUGGCACGUAAACAUGUGCGAGCAAGGUCCCGUCGCUGUUGACCUGUUGAUGUUGGGCACUGUUUACUGCCCUGGAGGUACGCUUCAUGAUUAUAGCGAAGGGCUAUCGAGGCUGAGCGCUCACUGCUGCUUUGAGGCAGCUGCUCUGCUAGAGGCAGGGCUCACUGGGGCCGGCUGGCGGUGCGGCGGCCGGUGUGAAGCAGUCGUGACGUCGCGCCAUCAUAGCUUCCCCGCCAUAAGUUUAGCCGCUGCGUAAGAGUUUAAGCUAAAAUACGGUGGGGAGUGAAUCGAAAUAGCUGGAUUUAAGAGGGCAAGGAACAUUUUGUGCGCGUGGCGUCCGAGCGCGCCUCAAGUCUCCGUUACAUCCUGACGAUGACAAUCCCCUGUUAAUGACAAUCCCCUGCCUCAGAGUACAGCCAUUAAGAGCAUAUCAGCAUAUAACAACACAUGUAAUUUUCAUGCGUGCUUUGGGCCCGGGCAAAGACGCAGUUAUGCAGCACGCAGCAUGACGUCUGACCUGGUCUGACAUAUUUCAAUCGGGUCGCGGCGCAUCGACAGAUCAGGCCUGGGAUAAGACCGCGCGGAUCGCGGAUUUCACGAAUAUGUCCUUGUAUAAUAUUACCUUGACAGUUUCGGUCAUCGUUUCUCUGCUGUGAUGCAACGGAACGAGCCCUCCCUCUCAUCGGAGAGAACCAGUAGGCAAUCCACAGCAAAACCACAUGCAUUUGCACCCAUCAUGUCUGCAUGUUUUUUGUUCGUCAAGGGCUAUCUUUUGGUGUUGCUGUGACCCAAGCGUUCUGUGCUAACGCUCAAAGCGGAUUGCGUCGUAUUGUGCGAAGGCGCCAUAACCGCGGAAGAUUCCUGCUUCGCACCGAUAGCCGACCAGCCAAGUUCCGUGGCCGAUAAAGUUUUUUUCCUUGCAGUAGCACCUACCUUAUCAAUCGGUCCGGAACGCAUGGAAACAGCCGAAGGGCAAGAAAAAGGAGCAGUAGACGGAGGCUGCACGUCAACUUUUUCCGUGUCUGCGUAAGAUUAUUUAGCAGGAACAGCAAUAAGGUGAGAUCGGUCGGUCGGUCGGGAUCGUGUUUCCUACGCUGAUAAGUCUGAUUUGUUUUGUUCUCCUGCUGAAACGGGCGAAACUUGACAGUGUUAAAGGGCUGCAGUAGCUCUGCCUUCCAAGGGCCAAAAACCACAAAAGCUUUGCGUUGCCCAUACGGUAGAUUACAGGUGUUUUUUGAGCGUCCUAUGCGGCAUUAGGACUGAUAAACGAUUUGUGCGCGGGGAAAGUGUUGUCCAAUGCCUUGUCGAUACAGAUUAGCGAUCGGUGCGGGUUUCCUUCUUCUGACGAAACAGGUCCGGUACCAUCCUUAAAUAUCCAUGUCACUUUCUGUCCUUGCACAAGGCAAGGCAGACCGCGCGGGGCGGAAACGGGGGGAUGCCCUUGCUGCUGCUGCUCUGACCCACGGGUCACAUCUCACGCGGCGUACCAUACACAACAGGACGCACGCUUCGCCCCACCUUCUCUUUCCACCAGCCUUCCCCCAUAUCCCUCCUCCUACUUUCGUUCCCCUUGACUAGUAUCUCGUCAGUUUGUACUCAUCACUAUCAUCGGCCCGAGGUUUUACUUUUCACGCGCCCAUUCUUCGCCGUCCCACCCUCCCACCCACUCUCCCGUACUGGUCCCCGGCUGUUCUGCGCGGCCUGGACCCAUCCAGGCAGGCUACAUGAAGCUCUCCGAUUCGGACUCACGGACGUUUCAAGAACUAAGCGAACCGCAGGUCCAACAGCAGCGUGUGCAACCCGGGCCUUGCGGCGGCGGUGGCGGCGGCGGCGGCGGCGGCGGCGGCAACGGAAGUGUGUUUGGGUCCAACAGUAGUGAACCAGCCACAGGGAAUUAUGAUCCAGUGAUCAAAAGAGAGACGCCGCUGCCGCGCGCCGAUGAUGCAGAUGGACCCGCGCUCAGGUCCGAACCUGAACCUGAAUCCACGGCGGUCGGAUCCGGAUCUGGAUUUUCAGGAACUAUCUCGAUCCAGCCAAUUAGUCCAUCUAGCCGGCGGCGGCGGCCCGUGUUUGGUGGCGGUGGCCUGAUGGCGUUACGGUCUCCCCCCCGGCAUAGCCCCUGCGGGGCCCAGGACGCGGCUGCUGCUGCUGCUGCUGCUGCUCAUGGGCCGUUGGUACAACCACCUGCUGUUGGGAGCCAACCGCUUUUGCAACCGCUGUCGCAGCCUUCGCCGGAAGACAGGCAGACAUUCUCAGUGUCGCAGCAGCAGCAGCAGCAGCAGCAGCAGCAGCAGCAGGAGGAGAUGGGGCAGGUGGAGCCGGGCCACCACCCGCCAGCCCCCGGCUGCGAGGGCCAGGUAAUACAGGGCUUGGUGAACCAGGGGCCCCACGCCGCCGCCGCCUCGACAGUCGCUGAGGAGGCCGCGGCGGAGGCGGCGGAGGCUAAGCACACAUCCUGGGUGGGUCUCGAGCCGGCGGGGGUAGCGCCGGCGGCGGCGUCACCAGCCCCGGCGGCGGCGGCGGCGGUGGCGCCGGACGCUCCGCAGCAGCCUGAUGCGGCGCGCGUCACAACUUUGGAGCAGCAGCAGCUGAAACAGGAGCCGCCGCCGCCGCCGCCGCGGCCGCAAUCGGAGGACCCAGACUCGUCCCAUCGAACCCUGCCGUUGCCCGUACAACAGCAGCAGCAACAGAAACUUCAGCAGCUACAGCUACAGCAGCAGCCGCAGCAGCCGCUAGAUCCGGAGGUCGUGGAGCAGCUAAAGUGCGCUAGCCUGGAGGCGGUGAGGCAGCCAGGUGGCCGGGGAGUUGGACGAGCAGGGGAGCGGGGAUGGGGGGGAGGGGAGCAGCAGCAGCAGCAGCAGCAGCAGCAGCUGCCGCUGCAGCAGCAUCGAGAGGAGGCCAGUACUGCUGCUACAGCUGCUGCUACUGCCGCCGCAAGCAGGUCAAGGGAACGGCUGCCAGUGGUACGGCAGUCCCCGGUGGGCUAUGCCGUGGAGUGUAACGGCUACAGGGGGCUGUUCUAUCCAGACCUGUACAUCAUCGCCUGCAGGUGUGUGUGUGUGUGUAUGUGUGUGUUUGGCAGGAGGGGGGUUUGGAGGGGGGAAUUGUGUCGCUGGGGUUUCAUUCUUCCUCCGCUGCCUACACCUACUGGCACUGGUACCUGUAGCGGUAGUGGUAGUGGUGGUGGUGGUGGUGGUGGUCGUGGUGGUGGUGGUGGUUAUCAGCUCUGUUUGCCAGCAGCUCUUGAGUCCGUGGGGGCCUCCCCCCGGGUGCCCCUUCUCGUCAGUGUGUUUUAGGGUUUCGCGGGUUUGUGUAGGGUGUGUGUGCUUUAAUGAUCUUCGGAGCCGCCGCGAGAUGAUCCGCCGGACGAGCGGUGCAGUGGCGGUGCACAAGAUUAACAACCCUUCAUAUGCCGAAGUGAGCUCCGGAGCGUCGCGUGUGUGUAUUCGAGUGGCGUUCGCUGUGGCGGGCCCCCCCCCGCCCCGCCCCCAGAUGCACUCGGUGCCUGACUGAGGCGCACGGUCGUGGCAAGGCUUUCUACCCCUUCGAUUUCGAGCGCCAUGCCGGCAUGGGCGCCAACAAGCGGUGGAAGAGCAGCGUGCGCGUAGCGGGGAUGCACUGCAAGUCCCUCCCCUCCAGCGGCGGCGGCGGCGGCGGCGGCGGCGGCGGUUCCGCCGCCGACGGCUGUAUGAGCCUGGGUCGAUUCAUGGAGAUCCAGAACAUACAAAUCGAGCCCAGUGCACUGGCGCGCUCGUCCACCGCAGCGCCGCCGCCGCCGCCGCCGCCACCCACGUCGUCUGCGUUGGUACAGGAGGCCGCUGCAGCGGCCGGCUCCAGGCCGCCAACGGCGGCGGCGGCCAUGCGUGUCGGACCGCCGACUAGAAGGUCAACAUCGGCGGCGGCGGCGGCGGCGGCGGGGGCGCUGCCUCCCCCCGGAGUGCCCGGCAGUAGUCCUGAGUACCCCCCGGCUACUGCCGCGUCCCCUCCGGUUCCGGUGGCCAGCUACAGCCAGCUAGGACCCCGCCACCGGGCAGCGCUCUUCCCCGUGCUACCGCCCAACGUCCCCAGGAUGGUUCCGCCCGAGUUGCAGGGUGGGUUAUUACCGCCCGGUUGCCGUAUCCUGGUGUGUCGUACUGUCGUGUAGCACUACAUGGCCGUACAAGUAAGCUGACGGUAUUCGCGUGUGUUGCUGUGUCGUCGCAGUCAUCGUUCUUCUGCUGCGUCGGCCACUGUCCUGCGGCCGCGAAAUUGUGACAUGGAUUAGUUUGCUGUCUGUGUUUGUUUUUUCUGUUUCCUGUGGAAACGAAACGGGUUGUACGGGUAUUGCCGUACAAUUUCGUCCAACUGCCGUACAUCCAAUAUGCAGGGCAUGCUAUGGUCGGCCACCGCGUCCGGAUUUAUUGGCCCAUUGACAAGGUGUACUACUCCGGUACGGUGACGGAUUUUGACCCGAGAGCGCGACUGCCGUACCGCGUUGACUACGACGACGGCGACACAGAGCGAGUAAAUCUCAACAAAGAGAACUGGCAGUUGGACGAGCGAGACGGAAAGCGGCUCCCUCCGAGCCUCUUGGAACGCGUGAUAGCUGUAGCAGCAGCAGCGGCGGCGGCGGGGACUGUCGGCGCGCCGCAACUCGGUGCCGCCGCCAUCGCGGCAGCGGGGGCAACUACAACUGCAGCGGCAGCAGCAGCAGCAGCAGCAACAUCAGCGGCUGUAGCUGCCGCCGCCCCUGGCGGCGGCUCCGGCGGCAGCGGCGGCAGACGCCCAGCACCCGCAGGUUGCGUUCUACCCGCCGCCGACGCGGCUAGGCAGCUGCCGCCGUCGGCGCCGCCGCCGCCCCCAGUGGAUCCGACAGCGCAACGUUGCCCCACGGCACCCAAGAACGUGGGAACGGGAAAUGACUUCCCGGGCGGCCCGAGCAGCUGCGGCCUGGGGGGCCUUGUGGGCAACGGCGGCGGCGGCGGCGGCGGCGGGGAGGAGGAGCUGUGUCAAGCGUUGGCAGCGGCCGCCCCGGUGACGUCAGCGGCAGAGAGAGAUGGGGGCGGCGGCGCCGACGGCGGCGAUGGCAGGCUCGUCCAAGCCCGGCCGAGCAAGUUGCAGCUGCCAGAUCUUAACAAGCAACAACCGCUACAGCAACAACCGCUACAGCAACAACCGCUACAGCAACAACCGCUACAGCAACAACCGCUACAGGGGCCCUCCGGGGAAUCCAUACGCAGCCCGUACAGCCAGCCACUACAGCCGCUACAGCUAGAUGGCUCCGGAGAGGAGUUCGACGGUGGUGCCGGUGAUCACAAAACCCCGUGCGGUGGUACGACGGCGGUGUUGGAAGCGUACGGAACAGGUGCGAUUGCUGGUGGCAGCGCCGGCGGCGGCGAUGAUGAUGGCGGCGCCGGCGGCGGCGCUGGCGACGACAAGGAUGGUGACAUGAUGGAUGUCGGAAUUGUCGGCGGUGGUACGGCAACAGCCCGUACAAGGGAUGACGGGGAGCUCUGGUUCUCCGGCCUCCAGUUGGCGGAUCUUCCGGAAAGCGGGGAAGUACGGCAUGACGGCGGCGGCAUGCCCGCGGCCGCGCCAUCACCACAUCUGCCGUCGACGUCGACGUCAGCGGCGGCGGCGGCGGCGGCGGAUGGAAACAUGAUCGAGAGUCCUGACGUUGAGCCCAUUGAUGUAGUGGGCCCGGCGGCGGCAGCGGAUGGUACGACGAACCGUACGGCAACCAGGUCGGGAGAUCUCCUGCAAGUGGGCGUCAGGGCCCCUAGUAUCGGCGCCGUCGAUGUAGCACACGUGUACUUUGAUGGAGGCGGCAGCGGCGUCGCCGCCGCCGUUGGAACUGACGUCACGGAAGCUGCCGUACGCCGCCAGCAGCCCGGAUCGGCGACGCCGGAUGGUGACGUCCUGGAGGGGUCAGCGGCGGCGGCGGCGGCGGCGGGUGCAGGAGAAAAGAGAGAGGCCAUGCCGGCGGGUUCGUACGGCAAUGCGGAGGGUUUCUUAGUUGAGGAGUGGCGGGAGGAGGAGGAGGAGGAGGAAGGUGGGAACUUGGCGUUAGCGCAAAACACACACAUGGGGCAGGAUUCCUCCGGCCGAGGCGUCGCAGCGGCAGGAGAGGUGGCGGCGGCGGCAGCAGAGGAGGAAGAGGAAGAAGGGCUGCAACCCUCGCUAAGUAUCGGCGUCGACGGCAGCGUUGAUGACGGCGUCGACAGAAAGGUUGGGCGCAGCGGUGGCGGCGGCGGCGGUGGCAGCAGCGGGGGUGGCAGCAGCGGCAGCAGCAGCGGCGGCGGCGGCGGUGCUACUGCCGCCCAGCUUAGCGAGAGCGACAUUCACAGCUCCCUUGUGAAGGCUUGCAUGUGUGCGGAGGAGGACGAGGAGGCGGAGGAGGAACAGCAGGAGGAGGAGCGAGGUCAGGGCCACCGGGAAGGGCGUGAGUUCGAGGUGGAAGCGGAGGCGGCCGAUUCACCGAUGGCGGCUUCUGAUAGCGGCGGCGGCAGCCCCGCCGCUGCCGUCGCGGCCGCCACCGCCGCGGCGACGGCGGCGAAACGCGUUCAUCCGCAGGCUCUGUCCGCCGCCGCCGCCGCCGGCGCCGCCACUGACAGGGCAACUAAUCAGCGUCGCCCAUCGCUGGCGAAGAAGGCGGCGGCAGCGGCGGCGGCGGCGGCAGGUCGUGAGCUCGACGGGGCGAUGCCGGUGACGUGCAACUACAUCGACGCCUGGUUCCUGCUACGACAUAAACUAGUUGCUUGCGACUGUGUCGGUUGUCGUACACAGCCUGGGAGCGGCAAGAGGAUUUGCUGGACGCCCAUCGGCUUUGAAGAACAUGCAGGUCAGAGGCUGCUCGGAUAUGGCGAACUGUGUACGGCAUGUGUACGGCAAUACCUGUGGGCAUAGGGUACCGCGGAGCGACACAUACCAGAUACUCCUAGAUCUUAUAUACACAGAAUUGAUAAGCCAAAACUUAAAAUUGAAUGAAUAUUAUGUUGUGUUGUAUGUUGUGUGUAAGGUUUCGAUCAUUUAAAUAUUAUUGGUUGUUACAGAGUGGGAGGUAAAACUUUCUGGGGCGAUUGCGCACGUUGGAUAUAUUGAAGGUUUGAACACCACAGAGCGCCAUACACCAUAGCCACAACGAAUGUACUGCGUCGUACAAACUGUGCAAGUCCAAGGCGGUUGAUUCUGCUUUCUAGAUGCCUUCUCGUCCAGUCACCCGAACAUGUGGGAUUGGGGAAUCUUCAUAUCUUCACCCCCGUGCCGCCCCUACCGGUGGAUCCUGCCAGUGGGACACCCUCGCCUAGUCACCCUAGUCAAAACUUCUCAGUGGAUCGCUCAGGUUUCGCACCCACCACCAGCAUCCACAGAUUAUGACAGGUUGUCGAUGGCUCAACCUAGGUGAUCGAAUGAAAAGAAGUAAUCAGAAAAUGAACUUAUGCACCAGCCGAGAAUCGAACUCGGGUCUGGUCCGUGGCAAGGACCUAUGCUACCACUAUACCACUGGUGCAAUCAACUGCAUAUCGUGUGUCAGAUGCAGAAUUCGCACUCCAUUGCACUUCAGUCAUUCAACUUCCCCCUUAAAAACCCCACACGACGAUGAUAACUGCAACAACUACAACUACCACAUCCACCACCUCAACCCGUGGAGGCAUGAGAGCCAGCAAGAAAUGGAAGAACAGUAUCCGGAUGAGGCCAGGGGCGGAAGUGGAGGUGGUUCCGGAGCCUGGCCACCUGGGGGCCGGCGGCGGCGGCGGCGGCGAACCGCUCGGCGAGUGGUUGGACCGCCGCGGCGUUGUGGUGCCACCCAGCAAGCAGCGCCGGCGGGUGAUGGAGGCAGCUGAGGUGGAGCGCUGCGUUCUGGUGGGCUAGCUAGCUAGGGCGUUGGUUUGGUUUGGGGGGUUGGGUUAGUUUGAGGGUUUAAGACUUGAAGGCAUAAUCGCUGUUAGGUAAGUAUGUAUGUCGGAGUUGGCGUAUUUUUCCUGUCCCGUUUUUCCCUUACCUGGAUCUUCGUUCUGGAUCUUCUCCCUCGUACACAGCCCUCUUUCCACCACCUUCCUGACAUGACACAAUUUAUUUCUUCAUGUUGCUUUUGGUUGGCCUUUUAAGACUCACCCCUCCACGCCGCCUUGGGAAACACCCCAACCACCGCAACGACCCCAACCACCGCAACGGCCCCAACCACCGCAACGACCCCAACCACCGCAACGACCCUGCUCCAGGCUCCCAUCACGGGGGUCAGCAAGGUGUCGGCGGCCGUGGCGGCGCCGCCAGACACCACCGCCGCCGCGGCCGCCGCCGCCGCCGCUGCCAGGUUGGCCGCAGGCUCCAUUCGUCCAGCCAGCAACAUCAUUGCCGCUACAAGAAAGCCGGCGACGGCGGCGGAUACAGCUGCCGUACCACGGAAGCGAGGUCGAGACGUGGCGGCGGGAACGCCGCCGCGGCCACCGCCGUCACUGCCGGCGUCGGGAAUGGAAGGUGGGGCUGGCGGCUUCGGCAGCGUGCCUCCGCCACCGCCAGCCGUAAAGCGGAAUAAGUUUGAUGCGGCAACACAACCUCGUGCCAGCGGCGGCGGCNNNNNNNNNNNNNNNNNNNNNNNNNNNNNNNNNNNNNNNNNNNNNNNNNNCCGCCACCCCCGAGCACCAGAGCUGCGGCGAGACGGCGAUUGCCUUGGACCUGGAGGCCGACGACGUGGAUGUUGCCCCCGCCGCCGCCGCCGCCGCCGCCGCUGCCGCCGCCUCCGGCGGCACCGCGGCAGCCACCGCCGCCGCCGCCAACUACGGCGGGGAGGUCGUCAUCCGCGGCCCCGGAUACAAUGUGAGCGGGAGCGGGCCCAAGAACCCCUGGUACCCGAUAUCAAAAAGCGUGUUGUUUUACUUCGCUCAAAACCGACGCGGAGAUCUUCCUUCUUCCCUGAAAGCCUACAGGGCCAAUCUAUACGCUCCAAACUUUUGAAUACUUGUCGUAACGAAGACCUGUAAAUCUGAAAUUGUACGGUGUUCGUUCUAUUCCGCAGUCGUAGAAUUCUAAUGGAAAGCCGUCCUUGUUGCAAGAAGACAUUUUUUUUUCUUGAAAACAUUUUUUUGUUUUUGUCACAAAACUUGAUUUUGUUUCUUGUCCUGUUUCUUGCCCUCUUUCGCCGCGGCCCCCGGGGACCGCAGGUCCUCCGCUGCAGUGAUCCCCCCGGCUUUGAGGUGUUUUGCCUGGUGGCUGGGUACCUGGUAAGGAAGCCGUAAACGGAGGAGGAAUCAGGCGCUUAUUGUUAUGAUUUUCAAAAGUCAUGUGAGAUACAAGAUGAAAGGAAAAAAUGAGACAGAAGUCUGACGUUGCAUACCCUGUUCGAUUCCCGUGCAGAGCAAAGGGUCUCUGCUGGACAACAAAACCUUUUAAUCCUUGAAUAAAUCCAAUAGAGAUCCGAAACUAUCCUUAGCGCUGACGCCUCUCCCAACAGUGUCGCUUCACGGCAGGUUGUCAAGACAUUUUAGCGUCACGUUCAUUUUACCGUCUUUCCUACUUGUCUUAGUUGAUAUCAGUAUGAAUAUGAGUCUGCCGUACGCACGUGUUUUGUCGAUGCUACAGUCGUAUGACGCGACAAGCAUAUGUGACUCGCCCUCCCCGCCCUCGCCACCACUGUUCGACAGCUCGAGGAGGUUUCCGUACGAGCAUACGACUACGGCAAGGUCAUCAUUCAAGCGCAGCCGCGAAACUCCGAGCGUGCGGCCUUGUGGGGAAUAUCACCGCUGCGUCAUGUCGUACAACUGCCGGGUGCCGUACACGCAGAGAGCGCCCAGGCCCUCAUGACUUUACACGGCCAAUUGUACGUCAGAAUAAAUGCUCAAUAAUAAGACAGGCAAAGAUACGGCACGUCGGUUGCGAUAUCGAAAGUAAUAAUGAAAUGUGAAAGGGGGACGUCAGUAAAGCCAAGAAGUGAAGGUACUUGGGGCCCAGCUCCGGGCAACCCACCCAGCUCCGGGCGGAUCAACAGCAUUGUCUGAUGCAAUGUCAGGAGGUUUCUGCCCACCCCGAUAUGUAUUUGUGUAUGUGCAUUUGUAUGUAUAUGUGUACGUGUGUGAAGAUCUGUCGAAGCCAGCCGCGGGUGAGCGUGAGGUAGUGAAAGUGGCCUCGGGGGAUAUCCUCGCUUAGCCAUGUCCUGUCAAUCCACAGAGCUUUCAUAGCUAGCAGAGCGGGAGGGCAGGAGGGCAGGAGGAGGGCAGGAGGGCAGGAGGGCAGGAGGGCAGGAGGAGGGCAGGAGGGCAGGAGGGCAGGAGGGCAGGAGGAGGGCAGGAGGGCAGGAGGGCAGGAGGGCAGGAGGGCAGGAGGAGGGCAGGAGGGCAGGAGGGCAGGAGGAGGGCAGGAGGGCAGGAGGGCAGGAGGAGGGCAGGAGGGCAGGAGGGCAGGAGGGCAGGAGGAGGGCAGGAGGGCAGAAUGCUGAGAUGGUUCGUCGCAGUUGGCAAGGAGCAUCGGGAGAUGAAUGCGCCGUCACCAGCAACAGCAGGGGUAGCAACAACAGUGAAACCGGCGCUGCAUUACUUCGCCGUGCACUUCAUGUUUGUGUGGUCCGGGUGCGGGCUAGGUAGGGGCCCUACUAAACCCUAAAACCCUAAAACCCUAAAACCCUAAAACCCUACAGUAGGAUCCAUGGUCCAUGUAAUAAGGAGCGUGAGAAGCGGAGGAUAUCUGGGCCCUGUGUCGACGGGGUCCUGCUACCUACUCCGUCAGCGGUACAACACAGCCAAAUCAAUAAAAUGGCCGUAUACCUGUGGGCAUGUAGGACUCCGGGCUUUUUGAACUCCUUUUUGGACUCGGAAUCCAGAAUUAACGAAAACUGCUGCAUAUCAUUCAGAGAUGGAAAGGAAACAAACUGGGAUUUCCUUUUUGGUAAUGGUGAGUGAAUAUAGCGGGAAUACAGCCAUCCUUGAAAAUCCUCCCUUGGAGAAUUGAAAUCUUAGAAGAACCUUCAAGGGCUGGUGGAACUCUGUUAUGAGCAUUCCGUUACUUACUGAAUGACGUAGUAUACUUAUUACUACUACUUGUAACGCAUAGGCGGAACAACUCCUGCCGUACUAUCGUACAGUCGUACCCAAUCAGGGGUAUAUCCUUCCUCCGGUUACUUCCGUCUAGGCGGACAUUUGGUUGUCAGUCAAAAACCAACUAGCUGUUAUACAAUCUGUUAUAAACGUUUCCGCUUUAUUAAUACUCGCAUUUCAUCCUACUCCUCGUUACAAACUCGACCAUAACAAUAACUGCUGCUUCACUUUAUGAACCUGAUAUGUACUACCUGUGUGCACGUGGGCACCGCCCCACGAUAUCCAUUUGGCGCGCGCCAUAUCGCGGGGAAGUGUGAUGUGGGUCCCAUAUGGGUUCAAAGGAGUUCACCUUCGUACGUACGUUGCCCUGGCCAACACACCAUGACAGCAUCAGCACCCGGUAGUCGCUCGGUAGGUCGACCCCCACUGCGGCCACAGACAGCAAAACACACAGGGUGUGGGUGUGGGUGUGGGUGUGGGUGUGGGUGUGGGUGUGGGUGUGGGUGUGGGUAGGGGUCAGCGCGUUUGGGCUAGUGUCCGUUUUGGUACUGUGUGUAGUGUAAUGGCAUCAGUUUGCCUUCGGGUUGAAGUUGUGCGCAGUGUGCUGAUUGUGUAUAGUUGCUCGGUUUCUGUGUUUUUGUACUGAGGGCUUUUAGUCGUUGCUCUUGGUAUUAUUGGGUGCCUACAUGUAUCGCCGGUUACUUAGUCCGGACGAGGUACGAGUCGUGCGCCACUUUUAGGCCGGUUUUCAAUGCGGGGAAGGUUUUUGCCUUGUCUCCGGUUUCCCUCUUCCCUUCCCCUCGUUCGCCUGGUACCGAUUUCGUUAAGGGGUUCGGAGAGGCUUUGGCCGUUUAGUGCUUUCCCUUCGCACCACGGACGGUGCUCAUUCCGAAAAAGGGGGAUAUGUAAUUUUUCGAAGUUAGUUGGCGAACUUACGGGACUCGUGUUAGGUCUUGUCUUAACUUCGGAGCUAGCGGAGCUAGGACUACGGCGUGUGAUGUUGAUGAUCGCAAGCUUGACCAUAUGUGUAACGCCGCUAAGGCGGCCCUUGGCUCACCGGGCCAACGGUCAUCGUCCCAAGCAGGCAUAGCUAUUAACAUUGAAAGCCUAAGUUGAUUUAGAAAAUCCCGAUUCUCUUGGCUUACGCCAGUCUCUCGGCAAGUAAAGUCAGCUUACGCUUCCCAAUUGUUUAGGAGCGGUCCGGUUCCUUUUCACAACUUGCCGCCUAUACAAACGUUAUAACACAGGAGGUGCGGUUUAGACAUAAGGGCUUCGCCUGUUUAGAGAUGUACCGAGCCCUAAACUGCAAUUGUGAUGAAGGCUUAACCGAGCGUAGCUUAUCAAAUAUAUAACAUGGCUUCAUUUGUGCGUCCUCUCAAUCAUGCUUGCGUCAUGAUUUACUCGCCAUAUAUAUGGCAGUGGUGAAGGUAAAAUUGUAUGACAAAUUCGUCUCAUAAGAACCAUGGAAAAGGCAAGCGCGGUAAGAAAAACAUUAUGCUCGCCGGAUUGAGCCGAAGAAUCACCAUCCACGCGGAUAUAAUUUGUGAAUGAUCGACAUGAAGAAUGCGGCCCAUGGACGGGCCCUCCCGGGCGCCACGGCCAGCAACAGACGAAAAAGGCUUGCACUCCAUGUCUGAAUUAAUGAAUUCGAAACAGUUCUUCCAAUUGCUUUGACAAAGCCUUCGCAAAAGAUUGAACCUGGCAAUGACUGAAGAUCGUAAAUACGUUUUGAGAUGGUCAUACCUAUUAUCUGAUACCUAUUUUCAGUACGAUAACUACAUUUUGCUAAGUGCUGCUGUGUAUCUGGCCAAGGCCUUUUCCAGUACGACUGAAAAGAUUACGCGCAGCCUCUCACCAAUGCCGUAAUGGCCAAGAGAAUUCACACCAAGAACCUCGUUUUUUGCAAGUUCAAGUGAAGAUGUUACAACAAUAUCAAAAAUGGACAAGUAGGGUGUCGGCUUCCUUGAAGCCAUGAAAAAGGCGGUGCCCACACUGAAUCCGUACAUCCAGGUUGAUUAGCUGCACGGACGGCAAAUCCUGAUGGGGAGUUCACCUCCCAACCCCCAACCCUCCCCCACAUCAUCCAUUGAAAACAUCCUCAGUCGGGGGAAAAGGGAGGAAGAAAGCCCAGCGCGAAAAGGAGCAAUUGCUACUGCUUGCAUUUGAACACGUACCUACCCCUUUCCCUUCCUUACACUCACUCAGAUGACUUCCUUAUGGGGGAGGGGAGAGUCCCACCCUGCUGCGGUCGGCAACGCAAGCACUGUAGCCCAUAACCUCCCACGACCUCCUUGACCCUCAGUUAGCAGGGAGGGAGGCGAUUGAAUCGCGCGAUGGGGUCGGAUGCACAGCGGGCUGCGGCAAUUGCGAAGGGUCGCGAUGUGGGCGCACAUGGGCCACGGAAAGUGCAUUUAAUUAAUCAAGCGUUCCUUAGUAGACCACCUUCCGGGUGUGUUAUUCAUUUCAAAGUGCCGCCGGGUGGCGAAGGUGGGCGCCCCACAGCAGUCAGCAGACAGAAUUAUGUAGCUCAUGUUUCCCAAGGAAGGAAAAUCUAGAGUGUCGUUGGGGAAAUGUUAUCAUGUUUAUAAAUUAUGGUGGUAGUAGUAGUAGUACUAAUCGUAAAAAUAAUAAUAGGGGAAAUAAUAAAUAACAUAUUUUUUAAUUCAGGCCUUCCUUAAUUCAGGCUGGCUAUAGUACGCCUGAGUAGCCAGCCUGAAUAGACCUGAAUUAAGGAAGGCGUGCAUGUAUUACGGGGCGCCGGGGAUGGACAUGUUAUGGAUAUGUUCCCCUCUGCCCUUUAUGUGCACCUCCCUCCCGCCAUCGUCUUCGGUGGUGAGAUGGCUGUUCGUACUGUAAACGGCAUUGGCCGCCGCCGCCGCCACCACAGCAGCAGCAGCAGCAGCAGCGGUGAUAAUUCUGCGCUGGCUGGCAAAAACGACAUUCGCAGCUCCCUUGUGAAGGCUUGCAUGUGUGCGGAGGAGGACGAGGAGGCGGAGGAGGAACAGCAGGAGGAGGAGGAGCGAGGUCAGGGCCACCGGGAAGGGCGUGACUUCGAGGUGGAAGCGGAGGCGGCGGAUUCACCGAUGGCCGCGAGGGGAGUAUCGGCAUCCACGGCGAUAUUUGCAUGCUGCGUUGACGGCAAGCUUGCAGCUGCCUCUUCAGCGGCUAUAAAGUACGGCCACAUGCAGAUGGUGCGCCGCCGCAGCCGCCGCAGCCGCCAGGGCGGAAGCAGCCGUGGAAGUUGCAACCGCGGCUUGUGAGGUCGAUGCACGUGUUGUGCAACUAUGCCCAUGUUUGAUUCCUGUUGCGGCACUUUAGUCGGUGACUUGUGACUGUGUCGGCUAUGUGAAUCAGCCGGCGAGCAGCAACAGGGUUUAUCGGGAACCCGCGUCUGGGACGGCUCAUGAGCAGGGGGCUCACGAUGCUGGCCGGGCUGCUGGCUGCCGAUACAAGUCCACGGUUCAAGGUUUUUCCAAAAGCAGGUUCCGUACAAGUGCGGUGGCGAGAUAUCCAUAAGAGCCCGUUGGUCCAUAAGCCCAUGGGUCGGUCUGGGUCGGUCUGACUCGGUCUGGGUCGGUCUGACUCGGUCUGUGUCGGUGUGGGUCGGUGUGGGUCGGUGUGGGUCGGUGUGGUUCGGUGUGGUUCGGCUUAGCCGGUCUCUUGUGGGUCAGUGGCUCGGUGGGUCAAGGUUGAGUACCGUACAUACCCAUUGCAGUUUAUUCAUCCAGCCCCAUCCCCUCGAGACCUCUCACUUUUUGACUUUUUCUCCUCCCCCUGUAGCUAGGGUAUGUGCGGCCAUGCGGGCAUUACAAAAACAUGAUAUGUAGCCAAACGAGCGCUACUGCGCACAUGGACGACAUGGGACUGAGACGACAAGGGAAAAACGUGUGUGAGAGAGACGGACGUCAUUGGUCAACCGCAAAACAAGCGGCUGCAGGAAGAGUGUGAACCUGUAAAUGCUUUGUGGAGUUCAGUCACCUCUUAAGUUCCAAGUAUGUCAUUCGAGGGGGAUUAGGAGGUUGUGCGGUUGUGAUCGAAAAAGUCACCGGAUCCGUUCGGGUUCACCAAUUACAACGGUUCUAUGCGGCUUAUAUAGCACAGUGGCAGCAGCAGCAGCAGCAGCAGCGCGCGCGGUAACAUUUUAGAUCCAGGAGGGAGGGUAUUUCAUAAGGGCUGUUGUUUGCUGCAAUGUACGGAAAUGUAGUACGGGUGCCAGCCUCUGCGGAACCGACCCAUUCCCAGCGCAUCCUAGACUUAUAGCGAAGGUGUUCGUGCCUAUUAUUUGUGCGUCAUGCAAUGCAACAUGCACGAGAGUAUUUGCGUCGCAUUUCGGCCGCAAUGGCACCCUGGAACCCAAGGAUACGCCAAUGGAUGGGCGUAUGUAUGUAUGUAUGUAUGUAUGUAUCUCGGUCGAAAAACGCAAAUGUGACACCAAGGGGUGAAGGAAACCCCGCCGUCUGCCUUGUAAUUCUUGUAAUACAAAGUGUAGGCCUGUUUCGUUUCCUUCGUUUCUUAGUUUAUCAGUUUACUUUGAAAUAUAUUUAUUUUGACUGUCUGGUGUCAUGACGGGUGAAACUUUCGUACAGGGGCACCGAACAGUUUAGCGGCUAGCUAAGCUCUUGAGGUUGACCGCAGGCUCAGGUGCCAUGCGGGGUCUUUUUUCCCGCACCUUGAUUGGGCUGACCAUUCCUUUUCUAGGCAGUAGAAGUGGAAAGAGCUAAACCCGAGGUGAUCGGCAGAGGAAAGGACGAUUCGCAGCUGGAUGGGGAAAAGUGGUUCGAUGCCUUGGCAGGUAGUUUUUCGCUGUGAUGCGGUUGGCAUUUGGGCAACAGGUGGGAAUGGUCUGGUAAUAGGUCGUCCGCCGGUUACGCGAGGGACUGGGCAAACUGGUGCAAAGACAUCGUGUCGUGUCGGGCUUUCUUACGUGAUGUACUGUUUCCACCUAGCUUUGGAAGGGUUUGCGGCGCCAUUUCUCUGCGCCGGUUGGGUUUUACAGAGCCAUUAGGAUAGGUAAUCUCAAAUUUUACCCUCUGAAUACAUGAUAGCUGUACAAUUUAUACGCUAUAAUGGGGCCAUGGUCAAAGUUCUCGCGAACAGAAAGACUUUGGUCCGGAACCCCAAGGUGUACUGAAGGUUGGGCGGUUGACAAGAAACACCGGAACUGGAGCAUCCUCGGAGCUACGAGCUCGGCCAUGAGAUCGGCCACUAGCUUGGCCAUGAGCUCGUUCUGCCCGUUGCCAUGUCAACAGAAGAAUGUGCUGGCCUGGGCUUUAACAUUUGCUGGGCAAUUUCAUGACAGGCUUCUGAAACUAAUAGGUUAUAUUCCCUCUUCUACGUCUCAGCGCGUGCACGUGCGCCUGAAGAAUGCCGGUCUCUACUGUUUACGUGAGGCACGCGCGUAGGGAGAAGACGGCGCGUUCCUAUAGUGUGUUGUGUGUCAAUAUCGCGCGUCAACAACACCUUUCCAGUAGAGAAUCCACACACAAAAACAUCGUAGCAUGACACGAACUGCAAGGAACUGAUGUUGCCGUAUAUAACGGUCUUCCCCGGUGUGUCCUCAUUGAGUAUCGUUCCAAACACUUGGCCUAUAGAAUCUGAAUAAUCUUGCAUGUAGCCAUGGGCACAGCUGAGUAGCGAAGGAUUAUGUUAACAGCGAUUACGUACUUCUAUUUGUAAGCGGUGUACACACGCCAUCCUAACGCGAACACGCAAUUGAGCUAUAUGGAGUAUGGGUAUAGGCUUGACAUCUUAUUUGGGCUUCAACAUGAGUGUUCUCCUAAAUCUUAAGCUGACAAGAAUAUGUUUUUUGAGGACCUGCAGCUGAACCUUUUUCACGAUGCAACAGUUUGCUACCAUGAAAAUAUAAACUUUACGUGGUGGAUUUCCCCCUCUAAUCGACCGUCGAGGUGAGGUAACCAUUUACUUGGACCUUUUACUCCUCGUCGGACGCGCACAGCUUGAUGACUGUGCUGACCAAGGCAGGAAAAGACAUACCAAUUGCGAUAAUUUAUUUUUGUAAACCUGACAAGGCUAUAUCUUGCGUCAUGAAUUCGGCGCUUGUAGUGCUUUGUCACAUUACCCGUUCCUGACAAAGAAUGCGUUCUUUGCGUCACGAUCCCCUUGUCAGGUUUUGAAGCCUCUACUGGUAUGGCGCCCUCGGGCGCCGGGCUCUAUCCUGUGGGCUGCUUGCUCCUUUGGUUGCUUGCAGUCCCGCGUUGGGCUCGCGCCGAAGCCAACGUGACUGCACCAGCCGAUACUGGGUGCAUCAGUAUAGACAAUGAUAUUGCAGAAGCAAUCAAUUCCUCAAUGUCGCAGCCGAACGUCACCCUGGGACCCGGCUGCCACAUCCUCACGCACAACUUUGCAUGCACGCCAAUCCAAAACUCGUUGGUCAUAACCGGCGCUGGAGCAAACGCUAGCAGCUGGGACACGGACUUCGGCUUGUACCAGUUUUCUGUGGAGCCUGGUGAGCAUUGCUGACCGGGGGGAAGCUGGUGUCCGCGGCUCCCUGGGCCUCCCUGGGCCUCUGUCUACAUCGCUCUCUCUACACGAACCUGCUGCCUUGGGGGGUAACUCCACAAUCCCCGUUUCCCCGCAUUCCACACGUUCUUCUGUCCCACUGUGCGUCCCACUGCCACGGCUCACCUCUCCUUUACCCCUCCCCGCCACAUUGCACAUCCAGAUCAUAUACCACAUCAUAUACCACAUCAUAUACCACAUCAUAUCCGUCCUCCCCCCCGUUGCCCUGCCCUUUACGGCCCGUGUGGAAUUCAUUCCUGACGCCUGGAGCCUUGCAACCCCUGGCCCCCGGUCCCCUCUCCAACAGGAGUGGUGGUUACUCUCAAGGACUUGGUUUUGGAGCGUGCGCUGGUGUUCACAGCCGUAGACACGGACCUACAACCCAUUGCCAGAGAUGCCGAGCUGGCACUGCAGCCAUCCAUAUUCCACAUGCGGCAAGGGAGCCGCUUGGUGCUGCAGAAUGUCACUGUGCAGACGCGGUGCUCCACGCUGACUUACUAUUGGAAUCGGGUGCCCGGGUUUCAGGUAAGGUUGAUAAUAAAAAUACUCGCACACCCCGCCCAGGUAGAGACACCAGAAGGGGCUUUUGUACAACGUUUGGUUUUGAGAACGGUAUUUUCCGCGUUUUUUUCUGAUCUGGGUUUCGGAGCCAUCAGCCCCUGGGAGGAUGCGUGACCCAGGUCCCGCGUUGGUGGACAACCCAGAUGGGUUUCGGAGAGCCAACGACAGGUUCUUGUGGAUGAUCAGGCGGAUCGCAGCAUCGUGCCCCUCCGGAAAAGAGCUCUAGCCGCAGCGGUGCGCGUUGGUCUGCUUUCGGACUGGAUGCGUAGGCAUGGAAAGUCAUCCAUCCAUCCAUCCAUUCCUCUCUCCUGGCUUGGUGUGCCUGCCAAUGCGCAGUGGGGUUUCCUAUCUUUCAUUGCAUUUCACCCCCGGGGUGGGGGAGGACUGCGAGUCGCGGGCUUUUCCACACCGCCCCUAUUGAAGACAUGCGUCCCGUAACACGUCCUCCUGUUGUUGCUGCUCCUGUUGCUGCUGCUGCUGCUAUUGCUUCUGUGCUUCCUUUGCCCCGCAGCAUUCUUCAGCUCAACUCAUGCCGCCGUUGAUGUUCGCUAACGCCACCCAUGGCGCUGUGACGUUGCACAACGUCUCAGUCCGGUGCGACCAGGGCCUGGAACCCUCUGGUCCUGUGGAGCUCUUCGUGCACACCGCCCCAAUGCUACGGGCUUUCAUGGCCGCUGCCAGCGCGCUCUCCAUUAGCACCACAAUCAACAUCAUGGAGAAUCUGACGCUGCCGUAUGUGCCGUGGCCGCCAAGCAAUGCGGAACCUGCGGAUCAGCGGGAUGGGUUGGCGACGGCGGACACGUUCAUCGUCGGCAGGGAGCCAGGCGCGGAAUUAGGCAAGAUUACUUAUGUAGACGCCAACUUCACGGCUGCGUGGCUAACGGUGCAGAGCCCCGCGCGUCUGACGCUGCGACGGCUCUUGCUCACACGGCUUUACACGACGGUCGUGACACCCGGAGGCGGCAAGGGAUUGUUGGCGGGUGCGCUGCCGCUUCCGAUGGUUCAGGUCACUGGCACGCCCGCGCAGCCGUCAAGGUAUUUCGAGGAUGUAACGCUUGUCGUACCGCAGUACGAAGUUACGGAAAUGACGUACUGGUGCAUCAUGAUCAAUGUGGGCACUCCGGAGGUUAAAGGUGUUGCGGAUUUUCUUCGACCGUACGUUUGGCCCACCGAGUUUGACGUGUUGGGUUCAACACAGCUGUACUUGAAACGCUUGAGGACCGCAUCCAGUAUGUUCACCCGGGUGAUGCUUACGAGCCAACCUCCCGCCGGCGUCCCAUUCGAAGACUCGGAGCCGCCGGCAACCGUUGCGUCGUACCAGCAUGUCCAACCGCCGUUGUACAUCGUCACCAAGGGCAAUGACUGGGCGGAUGCAGUGGCACCUGUUCUUCCGCAGGAUACGGGGUCAACGGCAGGUGGCUUGGCGGCGGCGGCGUCGUACGACGCCGCCAGCGGCGGCAGCAGCAGCAGCAGCUCGCCUUCUUUACCAGUGCUGGUGCUUGUGAACGGCACGGUGACGUUAACUCCGUCGGACGUGCAGGUGUCACGGUACGGCGGCGGUGCCCGUGUCGUACGGCGCAGCGUAGUGGUGGCGUCGAUGCGACAGGGGUGCGGCGGCGGGGGCGGCACAGAUGCCGCCGCCUGUCCGCCUGCAGUUCUGGACUUGGCUGGUAUCACGGAUGCCAUGCGGCUGUCGGGUCUCACCACCACCGUGGUUUUCAUGGGUGUCACAUUGCGCAAUGUCUCCUCCGCGUUGAUUGAACAGACGCUGGGUGCGAAGAACGCGGACCUGGGCUCCAUUGGAGGCUUUUUCAUCUUCAACAGGUUUGAGCGGGAUUCGAACGGGGGAUUGGUGGCCCUGGGCGAUGGGUUGUGUUGUUUCGUGUUCCCGUCGUGUGUGUACGCGGUGCCGUCCAUCUCCAUCCUGUGCCUUCUUGCCAUUCCUCGAUUUAUACCUCAAAACGGCGCAGGAAAAACAAUUUAGCGGAAUAAGCAGAAAGACGUUUCUUACGUUCCUUGCGAAUACAUACGUACUUGUGACGGACAUUUCCUUCAGAGCAGAGAACGCGUAAAAAUACGUAAAGAGAGUAAAUGGAAAUGGGAAGUGUUGCAUCUUGAAUGGAUGGCCUGUACUUCUUGUUGAUGGGGUGUUACACUGUGGGCGGCUCGUCCCCUCUUGUUGUUGUUGUUGUUGUUGUUGUUGCUGUUACAGCGGUGGGCUACCCAGCUUCUAUGUCUGGGAGCAAAGAAGCCAAGAGCCAAAGGGCACAUCGCCUGACGCUGCCGCUACUUGUGUUGUGUGCGCAGGUCAACGGUACGGCUGUCCUUUGAGUCCGUCACAGUGGAGCUGAAAGCGAGUGCCUUUGCCAUCCUGCUCAGAGUCGCAAAACAGAAUCCGCUUGGCGGCAGCACCGGUGCGGGGGCGCUGGUUUUUGCGAGGGGAGGGGAGGGGAGAAAAUCUUCUGCAAGGAUUUGCAUUUGGAUUUGCAUUGUUCUUCCUCCGCCAUCCCAUUUUUUACACGCGCCCUCACCCCAGCUUGCCAUGCCACGGGAGUGGAGUAUCGCGGCUGCAGCCGUGCACGCGCACGGUCACCUCGUCUUUGUCUCUAAUUCCUAUGACCCAUCGCCUGCAAAGCUCCUUUGCACUUCUGGGCGGUAUCCACGCGCCCAUUAUGGUGGAUUUACGAAAGGAAAAUCACCAUAAAUGGAUAAAUUUUAGAUAAUAAUACUACAAUAAUAAUAAAAAUAAAUAACAAAAAAUAAAAGUUUAUUCGUACUUGUUGAAUUCGUACGAUGAAUGAUGUCUCAAUGCACUGUCCAACUUCGGGUCUUUAAUAAAAUAUACGAAAUGCAGGUGACCUCGUCGUGAUAGACGCCACUGACAGCCUCAUACAGCUGGCGAGCUUCCAAUUCGGGGGAGUGCGCGGGAGCUUUGUGAACUUCACGAAUGCGGGCGGCCGCGCUCCAGGACCGACCGCGCUCGUACAGUCCGCCGCCCCCGGAGGCGGCGGCGGUAGCGCCGCAAGUGGUGCCGUACCAGUUAUAGUGGGCGCCGUCGUCGGGGGCAGCUGCGCGCUGCUUUUGGCUGCAGGCGUCGUGACGUGGCUCGCGCGGGCCCGGCGGCGGCGAGCUGAGUCGGGCGAUUUGCCUUCGGCGGGGGAGGGCAGCGCAGAUGGCAAGCACGGCGAUUCUCGUACUGCUAGCAAGUCGGCGGCAGCCGACGUGUCCUUAGAAGGCAGCGGGGCGAGUACUUGCAACGUGUACGGCAGCACUCAUCAUGUACGGACAGGAGAGGGGAACGGGAGCGGCGGCGGAGCCACCGCUGCCGCUGCAGCCGCAGUGGCGCAUGCCGCGGCCGUGGCGGCGGAGGAAGAAGCGUCUGCCGUUCGGCCGGGCCCUUGCAGCCAUAGCAAAGCCUGCGAGGAGGGGAGUCCGCAAUGUACGACUUGUACGGCUAGCGACCUUAACAGCAGUGAAACGACGACGACGCCGCUGAUGGGAGUGAUGUCGCAGUUGGCGCCGGCGUUGCCAGUGCCGCCGUUGCCGCUGGCUAUGGGUGGCACUUCUGCGCAGAUGCAGCGCCACGUCUUCUCCGUGUCUCGAUCGGAGUCUGCAGGGGAGGUGGCAGCGGGAAGAGCUAGCAUGGAUAUCAGUAUCGUAAGAGGCGACGACGGAAGCGCCUGCUCUACGUCAGCGAGCGGCGUCGGACGGCGCCUUCUCUUAGAUGCACCCGGAAGCGGCGAAGUCGCGGCAGGGGCGAUUGCGGCGGCGGGUGCAGUCACCACGCGAUGUGGCUCCAGGCUGCUGCCCAACCUGUUAGACUCGGCACCGGAGGCAAGCGGCCGCGGUAGCAUUGGCAGCGGUGGCGGCGGAAGCGGCGCCUCGGCGCGCCGAAUAAUCUGGACGCCGUCGGGCGGGAGAUCGCACUUGUACGGCAUGGGGGAGGCAGGACGGUCGGCGUCGGGGUUGCGAGUACGAGCAGCGCUAGGUCGGUCGCCGUCAAGGCCGGCGCGUUCCGUCACCAGCAGCAGUGCCAGCGGGCCGUCCGCUACACUGCCGGCGCCUCAGCCCGCCAUGCUUGUGGCGCCGCCGUCGCCGAGUACGACAGCGCCGCCGUCGAUUGCAACGGCCCCGGUGGCUUCGGGCAGCUCGACGCGGUACCACGCCCACAGUCACUACUUACGGUCGCAACAGGGUAAUGCGGUCCAGCGGCGGGAGGGCUCGACACCGACGCUUGUCGGCGGCGGCGGCAGCGUCGUCGGUGUGUCGGGUUGCGGGGAGCCUGGCGCCGGCGAAGGUACGGCAUCGCACUCGACGCAGCUCAUGGCGACUGGCGGGACGCUUGACCCGCUGCUGGGUCAAACCUUGGACGCGGAAUGUGUCUCGCCUGGGCUCUCAAUGUCGAUCUCGAAGGUUCCGGAGCCGGCAAGUGAGGUACAGCGACUGAUUCAGGAGCUGACCAUGCACGGCACGGAUCAGCUGGUUAUUUUGGAGCCGAUAGGCCAAGGCGGUUACGGCAUGGUGUACAGAGGUACGGCAUUGGAUCCGUACGACAAUAAUUUUACGCAGGGACAGUGCUUUUGGAAUGAAUGAAAAUCUGUGUGCGCCAGCUUUUCGGGCGAAUAAACUGAAAGGUACUUUUCUAAAUACCUUACUAUCUGGGACUUGCACUAGUACUAACCUGGUGCGAAAGGCCAAAUUUGUGAGGACUUGUAUCGCAUGGGGUUGCGCACGCCGGCUUUUCAUCUUGGGCUCACAUCCGUGCUGUGUGUGUUUUCCUUUUCCGUACACCACCCCACCACCAAGCAUGGGCCACAUUUCCUCAUCACGGCUCAGAGAUCGUCAAAACCACUUUGCCGUACAUUUGCACAGGCGUCUGGCGCAAUCUGGACGUGGCCGUGAAGACGAUCUUGUUCCAGAACCGAGCCCACAUGACCCAGCCGCAGCUUUGUUGCCCGCUACCCACGUGCAAUCCCAGCACCGGCCAAACGGUGCAAACGUCGGUCAUCCAGGAAGCGGAGGAGGGCGGUCAAAAGGUUGGUGUCGAUAUAUGGGCUCCGGUUUGUGGCAUCGCUUUGUGCACGUGUCCUUUCCGCCGCCCCGCAAAAAAGCCGUUGCCGCCCCGUUUGCCGCCUCCGCAAAGCGCCUCCGCGGUUGGUGUCUGUCCUUACACAUCCAAAACGCUUUGACGUCCACCAUUUCGAUGUCAAUAUGUCAACAUGGCUCCGGAGUCCUCGUUUCCACCAGACGUGUGCGGCCCCACCAGCGCAGCCCUUUUUGUACUCAUUCCUCCUCCACCUCCCCCUCCUAGCUCGCCCGCGCCUCUUCCCUUCCCCACCAUGCCCUGGCCUUCCUUAGUCCAAUCCCGGAGUAUCCGUGUCUAUAUCCGGUAUCUGCUUCACUCGUUUUCCGUGGUUCGUCUUGCCCACCUCCCUUAGGCGUGCUUCUGCUCACAGCCCGGGAGUAUCCACCUCAUCCCCUCGCACACGUCCCCCCCGACGGCGCCCAUGGCGCCCACGAGCGGCGCCUCGGCGGCGAACUGGGCGGGGACGCCGGCGGCGACCGGAACAGCCGCCGGGCUCGGGCUCGGGCUCGGGGCUGCAGCCGCUGGUGGCGGUGGUGGCGGUGGUGGUAGGGAUGUUCACGCUAGCGGAGGUGGAGGCGGAGGCAGCACUCAUAAUUGGACAGUUGCCAGUCAGCAGGCGGCCAACAGCGGCAGCCUGCCUAGUGUGAGCGUGGCGGGUGAGUGAGUGCAAGACACCUCCAUAUUCCGCUGCAUAGCAUGGUGUGAAUUGUUUUAUAUGUUUACACACAAUAUGUAAAGCGAGGCGCCGCGCCGCCGCCGCCGCCGCCGCCGCCGGCCCCCGUUUUGUUGUCAUCAGAGUCAUGCAGGGAGCCCGGGCAAUCAAAAUUUGGCUCAUGUUGGUUUCGGAGCCCUCGUCGGUGUCGGUGUGUGUGUGUUCGUGUUUCUUCCGGGAUCCGGGGACGGGCAGGCGACUAACGUCUAACCGCCUCCCAACGGCCUCAUGGUUUUAGGAUCUUCUAAGUUUCCAUGGCGGCUUUUAUGCUGCCGUGGCACGUUGAGUAGUACCAAGGCUUUAAACACGGGGGUGCUUUCGGGUAUAUCGGACAUGCGGGUGAACACUAGGCAUCGUCCCCCGUAUCUUUGGGUACGCUGAUCAUGCUUCGCAUUUGCAUGGCAAGAAUCGCAGAAUAAGGUUCGCAGGUUGCUGCUCGACUCCUCCAGUUGCGCUCGCAUCCAUCAUCUUCCCUCAGUGGAAUCUGUUAACUGUUAACGAGUCCUAGUCCUAGUCCUAGUCCUAGUCCUCGGCAUGUACAUGAAAAGCUCAGAGCAGCGCCCACAUACCCACGUGCGCGCGUGCGCGCGUGCUCUCCUCCACCCUCCACUCCCCUCCACUCCCCUCCACCCACGGACGUAUGCAGGAGGAACAGGAGGCCCCCUUGGCGUGGCGUCGCAGCAGCGCGCCGUGUUGGAGGCCGCCGUGAGCUGCUCCGUCACCCACCCGAAUGUGGUCGCCACGUACCACUAUGACAUCACGCCCGUACGACCAUCGGGAGUGGUGUGCUCGGGGGGGCUGCUGGUAAGCGACGGGAGCUAUCUGCGGGCUGCAGCAGCAGCAGCGGCGGCGGCGGCGGCGGCGGGGGGCGGCGGCGGCGGCCCCGCGGGUCUUCUUGGCGGACCCGGUCCGGCCGCGGUCAGCGACUGGAAACUCUACUUGGUGCAGGUGGGGUGGUGGUGGUGGUCUAGGAGCUUGGAGAUGUCUCUAUAUUGUUUAUGUGGACUAUAAUAUAGUCCACAUAAACAAUAUUGGACAAUACUUGGUGGGUGAUGUAGAUUUAGUUGGCGAUGUGCCGUGGUCCUGUGUUGUGUAGUGCAGCAGACGGUGCGUUUCCCGUCGCACAGCAGACGAGGAAACGUUUUGUAUUUCUUCCUUCUGCUGUUUAUCUGCUCUGUGUGUGUGUGUGUGUGAAGGGAGGGAGAGAGGAAAAAUGCGGGGGGCCCAUGUGAGUUGGUUUCGUGGGUACAGCAGCACUCUGAGACGUGUCUUCUAGCUUCCUUCCUUUCUUCGUCCUUCGUCCUUCGUCCUUCGUCCUCCAUUCAUUCGUCCUCCAUUCAUUCAUUCGUCCAUCCAUCCACCUCUCUCCUGCUGGCGCUCCGCCGCGCUCCUGCCGCCAACCCCCGCCCGCGGGGCCCCCCCCCCCCAGGAGUUCUGUGACGCGGGAUCGCUUGCCAACGCAUUGGACGCACGAGCCUUCCACGACCCGGCUGGGAUGCCUAACCUGGUGCGUAUGUAUGUAUGUAUGUAUGUAUGUUGUUUGUUUCGUUGUUCGUUUGGAUGCAUGCAUGCAUGCAUGCGUGCGUGGAUGCCCGUAAGUGCGAGGGCUUUUUACGGUUAGCCAACUUUGGGGCAGUUUUUUUCAAAAAAUGCAGUGGCCUCGCGGGCAGUGGCCGUUGCACAGCCGCCAUCUCACCCGCAAGUAGUAAACAGCCGCAAUAGUGCAGAUAUAUAUAUAUAUAUAUAUAUAUAUAUUAUAUAUAUAUUAUAUAUAUAUAUAUAUUAUAUAUAUAUAUAUAUAUUAUAUACCUCUAGUUUUUCCCCUUUGUGGAGUCUAUAUAUAUAUAUAAUAUAUAUAUAUAUAUACCUCUAGUUUUUCCCCUUUGUGGAGUCUAGGGGCUGCGGAGGAGUUAAGAGGAGUUUCCCUGCACGCAUCUGGUUCGCUCCUUUCCAUUCUCCAUUUCUUCCUGUCCAUGGUUUUGCCUAGUGCCUCCUCGUAUUUACCCGCACACAUGUACUCACACAUACAUACACAUACAUACACAUACAUACACAUACAUACACAUACAUACACAUACAUACACAUACAUACACAUACUCACACAUACAUACACAUACAUACACAUACAUACACACACACGCGCAACGCAGCACAACACAACACAACAAAACUCUUCGCCCCUCGCAGGCCCUUACCCUGUGCGCGCUGGCGGACAUUGCCCGCGGCAUGGCGCACAUACAUUCGCGAAGCAUCGUACACGGCGACCUCAACCCCACCAACAUUUUGCUGCGUUCGGUGAGCAGCAGUAACGGGGGCAUCGUGCCCAUGUGGAACCGCGUGGCGCUGGCGGGCGGCGGCGGCGCCGGCGGUGGCGGCGGCGGCAGCGGUGGCGGCAGCGGUAGUACGACACCCGGCGGGUCCAUUAGCGCCGCCGCGCAGCUGCGUCACGAGCUCGGCGUGACGUUGGUGGCCAAGGUGGCGGAUUUCGGGCUGUGCGGGAUGUUAGCACCGGGCAAGCGCCACGUCAGCAAUGCGUUGCGUGGGACACCGUUCUACACGGCGCCAGAGACGGUGGCGACUGGUGGGUUACUGUACGUGUACGUGUAGUGUACGUCGUGUGUGGGCGUGGGCGUGGGCACCACCACCGCCGGCGCUGCGUGGCAGGCAGGCACGCUCUUUAGUGAACUAGGGCGCGGGGAGGGGUGGGAUGGGGGAGGGUGCAGUGCCGGGGAACGUUGCCACGUGCCUCUGCCACUUCUGUCCAGUCUGUGUGGCCUUGCAAGUUCGCCAUCGGCGACCCAAUUAGCCUCUCAUCCCAAAGCUCCUUUCCAGGCGUUUCCAGACCUUUUGUUUUUUCCCUUGUCCGGGCAAAAUAAAAUGAGAAUUGACGCUUUGUUCGACCCCGGGUUCGAACCCUUGCACACGCAGGCACCAUGACCCUGGCCUCGGACGUGUAUUCCUUUGGCGUCAUCGCCUGGGAGGUCUACACGGGCCGGCCGCCCUUCCAGCACGUACCUGACCUGGGGUUCGUGCGGGACGAGAGCUUUCCGCGCCUGCCGCCGCACGUGCCCGCCACGUUUGCCAACAUGGCGCUUGCGUGCGUGAACUCGGACCCGGUCGCUCGACCCACUUUUGAUCAGGUGCGUGUGAACGUAUGUAUGUAUAUAAACAUAUGUGUGUAUGUAUAUGUAUGUAUAUAAACAUUAUAUAGACGCAUGUUUUCAAUAAACCUCCAUUUGUGUGUAACUGUGCUUUGUCUGCGGAAGCGGAAGGGGUCAGGGUGUGGGCCGUGUGUGUGUGUGUGUGUGUGUGUGUGUGUGUGUGUGUGUGUGUGUGUGUGUUGGGCGGCGGGUUGGGGUUGGUGUCGAGGGGUUCGGUACUGGGUAUACGGCGGCACAGGGGGAGAGUUCGGUCGCCCCUGAAACUGCUAUCUGAAACUGCAAUUUCUACACUGCUUAGGAAUUUAUCGAGAAGCCCUCCAAUGAUUUAAUUAACUGAAUACCGGUGAGCACCUGGGGUUUGCCGCCUGCUGGCACUGGUGUGGCCUUUGUUGGCGGUUGGCGGUUGGCAUAGGGGGGUGGUUAGAGGGACCGGGGGUCCGCCCUGGCCAGGGGGAGCCUCCCUCCUUCCGCCCCUCCCCUUCCUUCCUCUCUUUCCUUGGCAGCAGCUUCACUCGUUUUCGUGGUUCGUCUUUCCCCCCCUCCUGCCUUCCACCGCACCCCGGUAGUGGUCCUUUCUGCAUCCGUCGCCACCUCGCCAUCCCUACCUAAAACGUAGGGAGUCCCCCUGCCCUAAGCCCCUCCCCCCCAUUUCUCUCUCUUCCGCUGCCACACUGCUCCUUCCCGUCCCUGCUGCGCCAUGUCGAUCCAGAUCCUUGACCGCCUCAUGACUCUUCAGUCCAAACUCGCCGUCAGCCUCCAGCAGCGGCUGACACGCUUGAUGGCCGGUGGCGGGUCCCUUUUCGGGUGCGCCGCGUCACCGCUCGGACCUGGCACCGCCUCGUCAACCUCCCACGGCGCGGCCACGCCCGCAACCACCACAACCGUCACAACCACCACCGCAGGUCCCGGCGCCCAGUGUGUCUCCAUGCCACCGGAGUCAAUGUACUGCGGCGCCGGCAACCCGGGGUUGGGGGUAACGGGAAUAGGCCGGGGAAUUUUGGGAGCGGCGACUGCGGGUCCCUCGGCGGGGGGGAGAGGGGGAGGAUCGGACAGUCUGGGGCUUUCGGGAGCUGUCGGCGAUGUGCCGAAUUUUCCGUUGUCGACGCCCUGCGUGCUGUCGGCUGCCGCGUCGCAGGCUGUAGCAGCUGCCGGUGGCUCUGGGGGUGGACGGUGAUUGGCGGGGGGGGAUUGGGGCCUGACAGCCCUGCGGUGUACGUCCUGUGUUUUUUUUCCAUGAACUGGGCCCCCGCGAUGUACGUCUGCGAUGUACGUCUGUUUGUAUGUAUGUACGUGCGUGCGUGCGUGCGCGUGUGUGUAUGUCUGUUGCUGUGUAUGUGCUCGAUUAUGAUAACGAGUAUGAGAGGGUGAAGAGGAUGAUGACAGGAUAAGCUUCAAGGUAACGGAAAGAGGGUGGGUGAGGCGGAUGGGGAGGAGAAAGAGGAGGAGGGGAGGGCAGAGAGAGAAAUAUAUCUUGUGCUGUGCGGUGCGGUGCGGUGCGGUGCGGUGGAGGUGAGAGGGAGAGAGGGUGUGUGUUGUUGAAGGUAUUUAUUGAAGGAUUCCCCGGGCUUGUGGCAGUGCGUGUGGGUGCCUGGGAACGCAUGUGCACUCUUCGUCCGCAGACAGCCUGUCCUGCUACCGUACGGCGAUAGAGGAAAGAAAGAGAGAUCAGUGACGAAUGCGAGUGAUGAUGGGAUUUGUAACUGGAGGGGCAGUUGAGGUGGCGCACUUGAAAACGACUUUUGCGCAAUAACACGUAGUACACGUAACGUGGACGACGCUUACGUACGCAGUAUUGUACGGUGUCGUACGAUUAUAUACAUCAAUUUACUGAGUUGUCAUGGCUGCGGGUGUGUGGGGGGACGUGUGUACGGCGGUCGGUUUAUGGUUACAACACCACGAGGACGUCGUGUGCAUACGUGUACGACCGUUGUCGUACAAACCUUCCGUGUACGGCAGGAGGGUCUGUUGUCGCAUUGUCAAAUGCGGGAGGACAAGUAUAUCGAAUGAUGAAACGCGGAUGCGUUGUGUCUUAAAAAAGUGUUGUGUUCAAGAAAGAGUUGGCGGAGAGGUCGAUGAUGAUGAUGAAGGUGCUGGCUGCCUAGAUACACUGUGAUGUCAUCUUUUCGGGUAGUGGUAGCGGUACUGGUACUGGUACUGGUACUGGUACUGGUACUGGUACUGGUACUGGUACUGGUACUGGUACUGGUACUGGUACUGGUACUGGUACUGGUGGUGGUGGUGGUGGUGGUGGUGGUGAUGUCCCUCCAGCCGGACGUGGCGGAAAGGAAAUGAGAGAACGAUGAUGAUGACGCACGACGCGCGUGCCGAUAGUAAGUAGCUACGGUACUUCUGACGCCCCGGUACUUGGUGCCACAAAAAAGGGGAGACCACCGCCUCCCCGUUCCUCUCCGGCCCUCGUAGCGGCUUUAUGCGCAUCUUCAGACAAAAGGUGCUGCAGUAACGGGAAAUAAAGACUCUGUCGGGGGGUCCCAUAUCGCCGCCAGUGCAUAUUCAAGCACGAGAGGUGAAAUUGAGGCCACCUAUAAGACACAGCAGUAGCAGUAGCAGCAAUAGCAGUAACAACAGUAGCAACAGUAGCAGUAACAACAGUAGCAGUAGUAACAUGAGGAGGCGGAGGAUGGAGAGGGGGAGGUUGCCAGUCCCCAGCCGUCAUGGAAGCCGCUGCGGGGGCGCUUGUGGCGCUGCGUCUCGCGGUUUGCUGCGCGCUUGGUAGUGAGUGGAGCCGUCGUCGUUAGGAAGGAGGAAGAAGAGGGGGGCGAGUGUGUUUGUGUCCGCACUGUCCUCUCACGGACACAUCAGGAUACCAAUUGUUUGGGGCGGCAUACCCCGGAAUGUGUGUAUGUAUGUGUGUGUGUGUGUAUGUGUGCUGGGGGUGGAGGGUGGGGGUGGGGGGCGCUCUCCGUUCUCAGAGCGUCUGCGGCGCUCUGUGCACCUCUGUGACCAACAACUGUGAGUGUAUUGCUCUGUGUGUGUGUGCCUGUCUGUCCGUCUGUCUGUCCGUUUGCUGAGCUGGGAUUUCUCCUCUUCUCCUUUUUCGCUUUGUCUCGUAUUCUCUGACCCUUUCGGGCAAUGGUCCAUAUUUUUGUCUCUUAUGUUCUUUUUUCUGUCCGUCUGUCUGUGCUCGUGUCGUGUGUGUGUGUGUGUGUGUGUGUGCGAAGGGGGGGCGGAAUGUGUUUUGCGCGCUUGUCGGGUCGCAUGUCGGCUUUGGACUCCCUGCGGGUGGUGCGUUGUGUUGUAAAACCCCGCGACUUCUUUCAGGACGGAGGUAGCAAGCGCAAAUGCAUGUCUACAUACAUACAUACAUACAUACAUAUGUACAUACAUACAUGUGGGUAUGUGUGGCCGUGGUGGUGGUGAAAGCGGCGGCGGCUGUCUACAGCGGGGGGCACAUCAGGCAGAUGGUCACAAGUCCUUUCCCCUCCCCCCCCUCGACCACACCACACACACACACACACACACACCNNNNNNNNNNNNNNNNNNNNNNNNNNNNNNNNNNNNNNNNNNNNNNNNNNCGGGCCCCCCGUCAGCAAGGCUCACACACGCUACCUGCCCAGUCACCUGCUAGCUCCUGUCCGGCAUGCGCCGCACCGGCCUCGCUCCUUUGUUUGUUGGUUGCCAGCUGGAGCUUGGUGGGCCCUUCACGGUGCAAGGAUUGUUGUGUAGUGGGGGGCUUUAUUGGGAAGGAGGGGGAAGAGGCGGGGGAAAGGGGGAACGAGGAGGAGGUGCUGUGACACGGGGGGUUUAGCUGAGGGUAGUCGUUUGUAAGAGGGUAAUUGUUUACCAGGCGUGUGAGGUUCCCCGGGCCAGGUGGCUGUUCAUCCUCUCGCUCCAUGCAGAAGAAGCACGGGGGGGGCGGGUUUUGGUGCUGGUGUGGUCUCUGCGCGCAUGCGUGUGCGUGUGUGUGUGCUUUUCUCUGUGUGUCUGUGUGUGUGCGUGUCUGUGUGUGUGUGUAUUGCAUCUUCGGACCGGACCUGACGCGAGCCAGGGCUUUCCUUAUGUGUACGUGCAUGUGCCGUACGUGUGAAAUUGUUGCGUGUGUGGCACCUGGAGGGGUGUUGUGGGGGUUUGGGAAGGAGGUGUACGAAUGUGGCGGGCUGUGCACACAGCGCCGUCAGCAGCAGCAGCAGCAGCGCUUUUUUAGCUCUGGUGUAACCGAAAUUUCGUUGGCCACAACAAGCAUAUUCUAUGCCAUAUAACCAUCCAGCGUGUCCGAUGUCGCGGUUUUUAAAGCACGGGCGGCCAGAAGUUGUGCUUCUGUGCUGCGGCCUGGUGCAGCGAGGAGGCGCAGGCGGUAGGGGGACUCGUGGUCCCUACCCAUGUACCUUUGGAACUACAGCUGCUACAUCUUAGGGGGGUCGCAGUCUUAGCUGCGUUGAAAGCAAUGUUGGUGGUGGUAGUAUUAGCAUGGCCGCAUUCUGGAGACUGAACGAAGGGAACCGGAGGGAACCGCCUUCUGGAGAGUUUUUAAGACGAAAAGGCGACUCUUGUGGAUGUCGCUUUUUGGCUUGCUAAUGGCUAGUCGGUUGGGCGGAUGUGGUGCCGUACGGUACGGUACGGUACGGCGCCGUAUAGAACCCCGUGGACGUAAUCGGUUGACCGCAGAGAGUGUUGCACUGUACGGAUACGUCUGAGAGCGCGUGGUGUGCGGCACUGAGGGGUGGGUGGUUGAAAGGGGUGAAGGGGUAGCGCGCUCUGACCACGUGUGUGCACGGAAGCGCGCGUACGGUGCUUGGCGGUUGUACGGAUGUAUGUAUGUUGUUACAGGGUGGUUAACUUCGCCAGCGGCCCCCUUUCCCGGGGCAGUCCCUGCUCUCCCCUGCUAGAGGGGCACCCUAAUCCGUCACCCCAUCCGACUUCGGAAUGUAUUCGUUGGGUUCGACAACUCACCACCAGCAUCCAACCAAAUCUAGCGGAUCAACGGCGCAUCAACUUAGUUCCUGGUCAGCUCGCAAGUUGAUAUUAUCACGUCCUACACCGUCCAUAUGAUGGGGGGCCACCUCCCAUUUCAUCACUCCUCAAACACCCGAGGAGCCGGCAGGCGGAUUUGAACCCGGGUCGACUGGGUCGACUGGGAGCAGAAGUCAGGCCUUAU